CACCUCCUCCCCCAGUUUACCUGUCUCCACCUCCACCCUAUCAUCACUACUACGGUUCUCCUUCUCCUCACCACUACUAAGCAAGUGCAUAAGUUUUGAGGUAAUAAUACCUAUCCAAAACUUUAUCAACACAAACUGCCAUGUAUAUCAUGCUAAGGACGUACACUUGAUCCAUGAAAAUGACUAGUAGAAGAUUUUUUUUAAGAACCAAAGAAAUACAUUAUUUUUUCGGUCUGUUUUCAAGAAUUUGAGCAGUAUACAGAUUAAAGAGUGUUUUUUUUUUUGUAAACUUGCUUGUCAACUUAAAAAUGCACAUAGCUGAAAGCCAACUGAAUAUUUGCAGGCAAAGGAGAAGGCAAUCGGUGUUUGAGACCUUCAAGAAGAUGUAGAAGAAUAAGAAUAAAAGCCCAAUGCGAGGAUGAUUCCAAGUUUCUACGUUACCAUUUCUACAUCUAAAUUGACUUUAGCUCCUGAGUUCCAUGUUUAUGGGGUUUGUACCGUUUUACGUACCAUGCAGUACAUGCUUGCAAGGUUUUCUGUCCUGUUGGCAAACUGCAGGUCCAUAUAAUAAAUGAAUACUAUUUACAUUACGACACUUUUCUCUUUUUCUCUUAUAUUUUGUCUUUAAUAUUGUUGAUCAUUUUUUUUUUAUCAAAAGCAUCAAAUGCUUAGGUAAUUUGGUCUAAUGCUAAUUGUUUUACUUUUAUUUUUCACCUACACCCCUUUUCAACUCAAAGGAUGCUAUAGUUUGUGAUAAUUGUUUAAGACCGAAGCAUGAUACUAAUAAAUAUCUCAUUGAAAGUCAAGGAAACUAACAUUAGGAAAAGUUUAAAUCUUGAUUUGAUGAAACUAUUUAUUCGUGGAAUUUAGAGAUACAAAACUCAAAUUGUGACGGUGUUGUUGCUAAAUUAUUAAGGACAUUAUCACCAUUAUUUUUCCCUGAUCACUAGUUUCAACUGCAAUGAUCUCAAUCUUUUUGUGACUAAUUCUUUCCUUAAUAAUUUAUAAAGACAAAACUCACAAAGAAUAUGUGACUAAUUCUUUCCUUUCGUCUUCUAAAGAAAAUGCCAACUGUUAGUUUAUCAAGGGGAAAAAGGAUCGACAUCAGUUAUUAUUGAAACUAGUAAGGAAUAAAUAAUGGUGAUAAUGUCCUUAAUAAUUUAACAACAGCACCAUCAGAAUUUGACUUUGAGCUUCGGUCUUAAACAAUGAUCACAAACUACAGCAUCCUUUGAGUUGAAAAAGGAAGUAGGUGAAAAGAAAAGUAAAAAAUACAAUUAGCAUUCCCUCAAAUUGUAGAAAGUUAGGUAGCAUUAUAGACAAGUUGAUAGCGGCAAUUUUACAUUUCAAACUUCACCUAUUCAAUAACUAAUUCGAUGGCUUGCUACAUGGUCAAUCUUUGGACCCCUUCCUGCCUCCAGAUAUCCCUUUCCUCAAUCAGGGGCUUCUACAAUUACCAGUUUCAAUUGUAUGGUAUAGUGUAAAUAUCAACAAAUUAGAUGUAGAUGCUAACAUAAUAAAUGUGAAUGCUAAGACAGCAACAUACAAUCGAACCUGCAAUUGUAUGAACCCCAAUCUCGCUUCCUAGUCCACCAUCUUUCUCUAGGUAAUAAUCUCCCUUCUAAUUUAUUCACAAAAUGCACCUUUCAUCACCUCCAAUAGCGUCGACAUGAUCUUUACCCUAGAAGACUAUUCACCGACUCUCAAUUGACGUCAGAAAAUCUAAGAGUAAUUCUACUUUACCCUAAGAUUGAUAUCAACAAGACAAGGACAAUUUAGAAUUAUUACACGCCUCUUCUUAAUAGGAAAAAGAAAUAGAGAAGAAAGUCAGGCCAGGUCUAAUUUCUUUUCAAAGGCAAUACAACAUUACGAAAUCAAGCAUUCAUUCAUACAAAUAUUUCAUAGUCACCGGUUUGCUGAGUAGAAAAAUUUAGACAAAAACUUAAUAUUAUAUUGUUUAAGAGUUAACAAUUUAGAGCUUAAUCUCCUUGUACUUUGGAGUUAACAAUUUAGAGCUUAAUCUCCUUGUACUUUGGACUAAACUUGAACGUGAAAGGAAAUCCCAAAACCAUAUUGGGCAUGAAUUCACACUUAAUAUACCCAAUAAAAGAUGGCGACUGGUGAAAGGCAGUGGAGACUGGUGGAGAGAUUUGAGGAAUAGAAGCAGACGGAAAAGCAACAAAUUUUUGCCGAAAAACGGUCACUUUCAUGGUUAAUUUUGCUACUCUCCAAUUGUACUUGACCAAUUACAACAAUUUCAUGGAGUUUGAUACGUGAAAAGAAUUUUUUAUAAAUUUUAUUUUGAUCCAUAAUGUUAUCUUUACAUAUAUAAAACAUUUUACAAUUUUGAUUUUGGCGCAGCUAACUUUUGGUUAACAAAAAUGCUCAUGUUUAAAAAACCAGAAAUAAAACAAAACAAGAAACAAAAGAAAUAAGAGGGUAGCAUAGACAUUUUGGAUUUUUCCGUUAAUUUGGAUGAUUUCCACCCACGUUCUAAUUUAAUCCAAAACACAAAGGAAUUACGUAGAGGUUUUAAAUAAUCAGGGAGCUUCAUGAUCGAACCCCAAACCACGUGAUAGCAUACAAGAGUUCUAUUUCACUAUCGGUAGACAAAGACUUUCUAUGGUUGAUGUACCGUAGGAAAAAAUCUGCCUAUACAACGUGAUAGCAUUUUUUCAAAAACACAAGAUGGAAAAUUGCCCCCUUAAACGUGGAAAUUCAUGAUCUUUCCUCGAACAAAGAAUACUCACGCCUAUUCAAGAUGGAAAAUUGCCCCCUUAAACGUCUAUUUGUCAAUUCUUGAAAAAAGAAUACUCACGCCUAAAACACGGCCUCUUCAUCUGCAGAAUUCUAAAAAGUUACGUAAACUCUAUAAACAAGUUGAUAGGUACAAUCGUACCCAAGAUCAAGUACAGAUAGUUGUACAUUCACUGCUGCAAUAACUAAUCUGAUGACUUACAAACAUAUCAUGGUCAAUCGUUGAAUGGUAAUGAGUCUUUUGUUAUGCAUUAGUAUUAGUGUGUACACUCUAAUAGAUUGAUACUUAUACUCUUUAAAUUAUCAUAAUAAUACCCUUAAUUAACUUUAACUCUUAAAAAGAAUACGUGUUAAUACACGAGAGUGUGUAACCUGAAUUGUUACUUAUACAUUAGUGUGUAAUAGAUAGGGAUGGCAGUGAGGGCGAGUGCCCGCGGGGGGCUCUCGGGGCGGGGGCGGGGGAGAAUUUUUUCCCCCCGUUUAGAAACGGGGCAGGGGACGGGGGAGUAUACCCCCGCCCCAUCCCCCGCCCCGCCACCCGCAAAAAAAAUUAUAUAUAUAUAAUUAUAUAUAAUAUGUAAUUUAAUUAGUUAUAAACUUAUGAUAAUGAUAUUAUUAGUUAGAUGUAUUAUAUAAUGUAUAUUAGUGUAUGUAAUAUAAUUAAUAUUAUCAAUUAUACGAAUAAUUAGACAUGUCCACUAAUAGAGUUUAUUAAUUAGUUAUACUAAAUUUACUAAUACAUUUGUACUAAAUUUCUAAUUACACUUAAUAGAAUAACACUUUUUUCUAAAAAAAAAAGCACAAACACAAUAAUGAAUUAGUGAUUGUAUUUGUACCAAAAGUGAAAACUUAACUAUUUUAGUUGUAUUUAUUUCAUCAUGUUGGAUUGUAUUCAAAUAAUUUUUGUUUGAUUGUUUUUAUGAGUUUCAAUUGUAAAAUUAAAAUGAAUAAUAACUUGAUGAUGUGUUGAUAUUUUAGUACUUGAUUAUUUAUUGAUUUAACUAUAAUAAAAUUUUAUUUUAUUAAAAUUUAACUAUAAUAAAAUUUUAUUAACCAAACGAGUUAUUAAUCCCGCGGGGGCACCCACGGGGGAAGCGGGGCGGGGCGGGGGAGUGGGAGGCGGGGGACGGGGCGGGGGUGGGGGGAGUUGUAGGUAGCGGGGCGGGGGAUGGGGGAGGGGUCCCCCGCCCCAACCCCGCCAUCCCCCGCCCCGUUGCCAUCCCUAGUAAUAGACUGGCAAGCAUUGUGGUGGUCAUUGAGAACUUACUGGAGAAAUAGUCCUAUAAGCUGUUCAAUGAGCAAUCACAACUUGCUAAUUGGAUGACUAAUAUAGCUCUAGCUGUAAUGUUUUAAUUAAAUUACAUCACUAACGUUGGGAUGACUUUUUAACCAAAAAAAAAUGCCUUAGUUCAAGCUUUUCCCUUUAUUGUGCAUUUUUUAAAGCAUUUGAUAGGCACUGCAAAUCUGUCAUUUUGGACAUUUUAUUAUUGACUAACAAUGAAAGCCGUGACGUCUACCCAUAACCAACACAAGAUUAAAUUAAUAUUAGAAAAAAUAAUUGAGUAAUUGGAAAAAAAAAAAGAGACUCAUUUUCAUUGAAACCCACCGACAAACUAAACGUGUCCAUGGCUUUUGAAUAGUGCAUUCAACGUUUAAUUGUAUAGUCCAGUUCAUUGCAGAUUACAUGGAGUAAAGAUUGUGCUCUUUCCUUUUUCACCCCUUUUGGAAUCGAUACUGUGGAGAAUUGGGUUUUUCCCUUCUUUUUUUCUUUUCUUUCCUUCUGUGCUUUGCAAAACAUAGGUAAAAAUAUGAAAUCCGAAGCAUUCUUUAAUUGGGAUUAAGUAUUGUUGUUGAAAUUAAAAAGAAAAAAGAAAGAACAACAAAAUUCCCAAUCUGGGUUGAUUGUUGAGCUCUAGAUUGGUUGCAUCGUGCUUCCAUAGAAGCUCUCUUAGUGUGAUACACUGCUUUCAAUCAGUUUAACACGGGAAAAAAAAAAAAAGAGAUGAAAAGCAAAUUUGGUGGGGAUAAUUUCAGAAACCUCCCCUGAAGAUUUUGACUAUUCUACUGGUCUCCCUUCAGAUUUUAAAAAUUACACUAAUCUUCCUUGAAGUUAAUUAUCUUGUAACAUUUAAAUUCAAUCAAUAAUUUAAAAAAUGAUAUUAUGAGAGAGAAAAUAAUGAUUUUAUCAUUGCCCCCCAUCUUACUACAUUAUUUAAUUAAUUUAAUAGCAACCCACACAUUAAAGAAAAAUAUUAAAAUUUGUUGUUUAUCAUUAAAGAUCAAAUCGCUUAUAACAUCAAAUAAUAGUAUAUUAUUUAUAUUUUUCACUCAAUAUAAUAUCCAAAUUACUCUUUUCAAUUACAUACCCAUUGUUAGACAAUCAACAACAAAUAACCAAAAAAUUUGCAACCAAAAUAUUACAAAAAAAUAAACUUUAACAUAUAAAUAUUCUUAUCAACAUAUUAAAGUUAGUUACUGAAAUUUUUAUGCUGUUAAACUUCACUCUUUUUGGUUACAGAUUUUUUUGAUUAUUUGUUAUUAAUUAUGUUUGAUGAUGGAUUUAUAAUUGAAAAGAACAAUUUGAAACUUACAUUAAGUAAAAUAUAUAGAGUGAUAUACUAUUUUUUAUAACAUAUGUGAUUCAAUCCUUCUUGAUAGGAUUGGUAAUAGAGGUAGAGGGGGGAGCCGGCUGCAUCCGGUCUACUUUUCAUAGAUAGUACAAUAUUGCGAAAUCGAUCGCAUUCACGCAAUAUUAUUUCCAAGUCAUUGCAUGGCUAAGCUGCAAAAAAAGUACGAACACAUGUUAUUAUAUAGCUUACGAUUCAAAACUUUAGAGCAUAACCCUCCACCUAACACAAUUGAAUAAUGAACAUUCACGUUUGUCAAAUCUGUCAAAGCACAGUUUGAGGACAACCCAUUCCAACCUGCAAAAGAUUUUUUACUUUUCUAAAGUUGUUGAGAGCUGUAAAAAGACUUACCAUGCUUGCAUCCUCCGAGCCUUGGGAGUUAAAAAUGAAGGCACUGAGUGCUAUAAAAAGGGGAAUAGAGGCUGCCUAGAAGCAUAUCAGCCUAAAACAAGAAUUUGUAGUUAAGAUGGGAAGCAAAGCAAAAGCAAUGGGGUCUGGGCUGACUCCUCUUCUUGCCACUGUUUUAGUGGUGUUUGUUGCUCUUGGCUUGCCCUCACAAACUGCAGCUGAUGAUCACUACAAGUAUUCAUCUCCUCCUCCUCCUUACCACUAUCCCUCACCACCACCACCAGUGCAUAUACCUCCACCUCAUCCUGUUUACAAGUACAAAUCUCCACCACACCCCCAGUACAAGUAUAAGUCACCACCACCACCUCCUCAUCCGGUAUACAGUCUCCUCCGCCACCACACACCCAGUUUACAAGUACAAGUCACCACCACCACCUCCUCAUCCGGUACCACACCCAGUUUACAAGUAUAAGUCUCCUCCGCCACCAGUUUACAAAUACAAGUCUCCUCCACCACCACCUCCAGUGUACAAAUACAAGUCUCCACCACCACCAGUUUACCACUACAAGUCUCCACCACAGUUUACAAAUACAAGUCUCCACCACCACCCCCAGUUUACAAAUACAAGUCUCCACCACCACCAGUUUACCACUACAAGUCACCACCACCUCCUCCCCCAGUUUACAAAUACAAGUCUCCACCACCUCCUCACCACUACUAAGCAAUUGCUUCUGAGGUAAUAACACUUGUUCAAUAUACCCACUUCUGCAUGAUAAAGCAUAUCUCUAUCAACACAAACUGUCAUGUCUAUCAUGCUAAGUGCCUUCACUUCAUCCACCAAAAUGACUGCUAGAAAAUUUUUUUUAUGUUACCAAAGAAAGGCAUCAUUUUUUCCCUCUGUUAUCAAGAACUUGUACAGUAUAUAGAUUAAAGAGUAUUUUUUUAACUAGCUUAUCAACUGAGAAAUGCAUAUAGCUGAUAGCCAGCUGAAUAUUUGCAGGCAAAGGAGAAGGAAACCAGUGUUUGAGACCUUCUUGAAGAUGUAGAAGCAUAAGAAUUAAAGCCCAAUGUGAAGAUGAUGAUUUCAAGUUUUUCUACGUUACCAUUUCUUUAUCUAAAUUGGUUGUAGCGCCUUAGUUCCUUUGUUUAUGGGAUUUGUAUCGUUUUACGUACCAUGCAGUACAUGUCAUGUUUGUAAGGUUUUCUAUCCUGCCGGCAAACCGCAGGUUCCAUGUAAUAAAUCAAUACUAUUUAUAUUACGACACUUUUCUCUGUUUCUCUUAUAUUUUGUCGUCUUUAAUAUUCUUAAUCAUAUUUUUAACAAAAAUAUUCAAACACUUAGGCAAUCUGGUCUAAUGCUAAUUGUAUGUUUUACUUUUCUUUUUCACCUGCUCCCCUUUUCAACUCAAAAGGAUGCAAUAGUUUGUGAUCACUGUUUAAGACGGAAGCAUGAUACUAAUGAAUAUCUCAUUGAAACUCAAGGAAACUAACAUUGCGAAAAGUGUAAAUCUUGAUUUGAUGCAACUAUUUAUUCGUGGAAUCUAUAGUUACAAAACUCAAAUUCUGACUGCGCCAUUGAUAAAUUAUUAAUGACGCUAUCAUCAUUAUUUAUCCCUAACUAGUUUCGACUACAACUGAACCCAAUAUUUUCCCCAUGAUAAAAGUUUUUGACUAUUUUACUGGCCUCUCUUCAAAUUUUAAAAAUUACACUAAUCUUCAUUGAGAUUAAUUAUCUUGUAACAUUUAAGUCCAAUUAAUAAUUAAAAAAUGAUAUUAUGAGAGAGAAAAUAAUAUAAUUUUAUCAUUGCCCCCCAUCUUGCUAUAUUAUUUAAUUAAUUUAAUAGCAACCCACACAUUAAAGAAAAAUACUAAAAUUUGCUGCUUUUCAUUAAAGAUCAAAUUGCAUAUGCCAUAAAACAUAGUAUAUCAUUCUAUAUGUUUCACUUAAUGUAAGAUCCCAAUUGUUCUUUUCAAUUACAAACCCAUUGUCAAUAACAAAUAACCAAAAAAUUUGCAACCAAAAUAUUACAAAAAAAAACUUCAACAUCAUAAAUAUUCUUACCACCUCUAGUGCAUUCACCCUCAUAAAAUAAUUCAAGACCCUACUGUCAUAAAAUGACUGAUCAACUCCCGUAAACCUAAUUUGACAACAUUUAAAUGGAGAACUUUAGCUAAAAGAAUUAUGGUCAAGCUAAAGAAAAAACCAGUUAUUUUCCAACAUAUGCAAUCAUUGAUCAGGGAAAAAAAAAAGAGCAAAAAGACAUCUUCAAUCAUUUAAUAGCUUACAGGGCAAAUUAACCCCUAAGCGAAAACUGGUUGCUCUAGAAUCAAAAUUUUACUUUAGUUACCCAGGCAACUUUUUUGUUGCUUUUUUUUUUUUUUUCCUUUAGUUUUGCCCCCUCUGUCAAGCUUAUAAAAUUAUUAAGAUAAUAAAAGUGCCUUGAAUAGUAUUAAUAUAUCCAUUGACUUGAGCUGUCGUCAGUUUGCGAUUCCAUGAGGCCUUUUCAAAGUACUCAGAAAAUGGGGAGUCAUGAAAUCCAUUUGUUCUAUUCAUUGCUAAGAUGCUUUUCUCUAUAAAGAGACUUCCUAACGAAAAUACUUUGUAGAUUUCUUUACUCCAAGUGGUGCAUGGAAAAUUAAUAUUUUCAAUUAUCAAAUAAAAUUCCCUUUUUUCGGCGUAGAUUUCAUCCAUCCAGCUGUUAACACAUUCUAUAAAUCCGAAUUGACUAAUCUUUUCGUUUCCAUUUUCCAACUUGCGAAUACGGCAUAUAGUGUCUGCUAAACACUAUAUAUUCUCUGCCAAAUAUGAAUACAUAUCACUUUUCUGAGCAAGUGCAGAGUCAUUAUCAUUUUUAUUCCCACCUAACAAAUUAGGGAUAAAAAAGUUAAUAAUCUUUACAUGCUAUCAGGUCACAAGUUAAUAAUCUUUUAAAGAACAUGUUAAAUUAAUUUAUUGGUAUGAAUAGUAGUCAAAGAAGUAUGUUAAAGUUAGUAAUCUUUAAAAUAAUAUGUUAAAAUCAUUCGUACAAAUUAGUCAGAGAAGUAGCAUAAACACCGCGAUGCAAUUAAUACUUUCAAUCUCAAGGUCUCUAUUAUGGAAAUUUGCAUCGGUCAAUAUACACUUGGCAUAAUAUAAUCUCCCAACUCAUUUCUUUACAAAUGCACCUUUAAUCACCACCAAAAGGUGUGGACAUGAUCUUUACCCUAGAAAACUAUUCACCGACAGGCAAAUUGACGUCAGAAAUACUGAGGAAUUCUAGUUUCCUUCGGGUUCAUGCCAUGUUGUAUCCUUCAACUGUAACUCGAUUUCUAAGCUGUAAUUUGUGACAUAAUAGUCCUUAAACUAUGAAACCCUUCUUACUUAAUUACAAUGGUUAAUACAAUGCCCGUGACUAGACAAGUAUGAAGCAACCAUAACAGAAAAAAAAUCCAAAAUUAGAGAAAAGAAAGAAGUUUCGCGACCACCACCAGUUUACAAGUCACCUCCACCACCUCCUCCAGUUUACAAGUCACCUCCACCACCUUACCAUUAUUCCUCACCACCACCUCCAGUGCAUUCACCCCCACCACCACCAGUUUACAAGUCUCCGCCACCACCUUACCAUUAUUCCUCACCACCACCUCCUGUGCAUGCACCUCCACCACCAAUUUACAAGUCACCUCCUCCAGUUUACAAGUCUCCACCACCACCUUACGAUUAUUCCUCACCACCACCUCCAGUGCAUUCACCCCCACCACCACCAAUUUAUAAGUCUCCCCCACCGCCUCCCCCAGUAUAUAAGUCACCACCACCACCUCCUCCAGUAUACAAAUCACCUCCACCACCUCCUCCAGUUGACAAAUCUCCACCACCACCAAUUUAUAAAUACAAGUCUCCUCCACUACCUCCUCCAGUGUACAAGUCAUCACCACCACCUGCUUACAAGUCUCCACCUCCUCCAGUUUACAGUUCCCCACCACCACCAAUCUACAAGUCUCCACCUCCACCCUACCAUUACUACUACAAUUCUCCUCCUCCUCCUCGUCACUACUAAGCAAUUGUAUCCAAGUUUUUGAGGUAAUAACGCUUAACCAAUAAAUUAACUUUCGCAUGAUAAACCUUAUCUCUAUCAAGACAAACUGCCAUGUGUAUCAUGCCAAAUACGUACACCUAGAUCCAUGAAAAUGAAUGGUGAGGAGGGCCAUUUAGGCUCGGAGCGCCCUAGGCCUAGUUCCCCACCAUUUCCUGAAGUGCCGCCUCGGGUAUUAUCCUGGAAGGCGAUCGCGGCCCAUUUACCACCUCGGCUACAAUGUCAGGUCGUAACACCGAGGUGGACAUUGAAUGACAACUACGAAAAGGGGAGAUGUGAUCUCUGACACCUGAGCAAAGGCUGCUCUGACCCGCCGCCUGAAUCUGACAGAAUGUCCCAUCACGUCUCUUCAUGGAGACCGGUCAAGUCCACCUGAUCCACUGACUAUCUCAGAUCUUUUGGGACCCGUGCAAACAUCUCCUCUCUCCUAUCAGUCCCCUAUAAAUACACGAUACUUCUACUGAAAAAGGAGAUGACCAAUUUCUGGUAAAACACACUCCACUCAUUAUUUACUUCUCUAUAUCCGAACUGACUUAAGCUUCGGAGUUAUACCGGGGGAUCCAGCCCCUUUCUUAUCCAAGCAGGUGACUUCGUCCAAGAGAGUUGCCCAAGGUAAAGAUAUUCUUCCAAUUGAGGUGACUCACUCCUGCGGGUCGAAAAUCACCUCUUCAAUUGGCGCCGUCUGUGGGAACCGCAAAGAUAUUAGAAGAUGAAGCCUGCGCGUUCUAGAAGCAGAAAAGCUCUCACUAUCGAGGCUGGGCAAAGCAAUGCAGCUCAACAAGAAAAUAUUUCUGAAGGGCAGGAGUCCCCAAGGACUCAGCCCGCAAACGAAAAAGCCAUAACCCGUAUGGCCGAGUUUGUGACCGAGAACCCCAACAUCUUUGAAGAGUUGGGAAGAUACCUGAAGAGGCAAGGCAAACAAAAGGCCGAGUCCUCUAAAAGGAUGUCAGAUGGGUCUCUUGAGGACUCAUCUGAGGAGGAGUCGGAUGGAAGGCACUUAAGCCGAAGUGCCUCAAAGCGAGCAUUUUCUAAGGCCACUUCUAAGGUAGCCUCCCUGACCAAGGCGUUUUCCCGAGGGCUCUUGGGCCGACGACCCGAGGAAGAACCUCGGCCCUUGGGAAUACCCGGGGUGGACUGCAUGAGGGCUCCACCGUUCACGGAUGAUAUAAACGAGGAAAGGCUUCCUCCCAAUUUUAAGCUCCCCGCAGUACAAUCUUACGAUGGCCGAGGUGAUCCCGAGAAUCACAUCCAUACCUUCAUCUCGGCCUUCCAAAUAUACUGCAUCCCAGACCCUGUCAUAUGUCGGGCCUUUCCAGUAUUCCUCAGAGGAACUGCUCGAAAAUGGUUCUGAGCUCUAGAACCUAGGAGCAUUUCGACCCUGGGUGAAUUAGUGGAGAAGUUUCUCCACCGAUUUGUCUCCUCCCGACCUACGACUAGGACCUCGGCUUACCUGCUCACCGUGCAGCAGAACCCGGGAGAGUCACUCCGGUCGUACGUCCGGAGGUUCCAUGAGGAAAGCGUUCAGAUACCUGACCCCAAUGAGCAGGUAACCCUCGCUGCCUUUACCCAUGGACUCGUUGCCGGGGAGUUCAAUACGGGGAUCCAUAAAAAAUACCCCCGCACACUGCAUGAAUUGUGGUUGAAGGUUGAAAAGGGCAUACAGGCCGAAGACCUCCAUCGCAUGAAGAAAGAGGUCCAAGCCACCCGUCCAAGGGCUGAGCCCAGAAAGGGAAAAGACGCUGGCCGAACUGAAGUAGGGUCGGGAAGUGGCUUCCGAAGUCCUGGCCGAGACCGCCGCAGCGUGUUCGACAGGAUAUCCAAGGGGAAGUCACCUAUUCCCGAGUCCGAGUUGACUCCUUUAAAUACUACCCGAUCUCACGUGUUGUCCGUGAUGGAACAAAACAACCUCGGCAAGGGCCCGCCGAGGAUGUUUGGAAGCAGAGACAAGAGGAACUCGAACCUCUACUGCUUGUAUCAUCGUGACAUUGGUCACGAAACUGAGGAUUGCAACGAUCUCAAGAAGGAGAUCGAGAACCUCAUUAGACGGGGACACUUGAAACAGUUCAUCCGCAGAGGUGGAGGUCACCAACGUGACGAAAACCGGCAUGACAAAUGAGGUGACCAACGCCGAGAUGAGCGGCGGAGCUCCAGAAGCAGUUGCCGACCUCCUGAGGAUCCCAGGGAGACGAAAAGGCCUCCCCCAGACGGAUCUUCGGGACAUGGGCCAACCAUUGCCCGGGUCAUUAACACCAUUGCCGGAGGUCCGACGGGAGGGGACAGUCAGAACUCCCGGAAGAGAACCUAUAAGCAGGCUAACCCGGAUCAGGCCGAGUCGAGUUCUCGCCUGUCCGAGGUGAUCACCUACGGGCUCAGUGAUCCCAUCCCAGCUGCAUCCAGCAGUCAUGAAACCUUGGUGAUUGAAGUCCUCACCAAUAACUACAUUGUGAAAAGGUCUACAUAGACCCGGGAAGUUCAGUUGACGUCAUGUACCUCCGUACCUUUGAGAGCCUUAAAAUGGCUAAGGGGUGCAUGACCCCGCUGAGAACCCCUCUUGUAGGGUUCGGGGGACACGUGGUGCACCCCGAAGGGAUGGUGACUCUGACAGUGACCAUAGGGCAUCACUCUCGCUGUAGAACCGUCCCUGUCAAUUUUGUGGUGGUUAAGGCUGACUCCCCAUACAACCUACUUUUAGGUCGGCCUACGCUCAAUGCCUUGCGGGCGGUCUACUCCACCUACCACCUGAGCUUCAAGUUUCCUACCCCAGCAGGGGUGGCCGAGGUCAGCAGCGACGUCUGUGCUGUCCGGGAGUGCUACCUCGCCACCCUACAAGCAGCCUCCCCGUCUACCUCCGGUGCGAGGUCCGAGAAGAGGUCAAAUAUCCUCUCAAUAGAUAGCAUCGAUCCUCAGUGAGCUGAGAAGGUCCCGAGGCUGGAGACUGGGGAUGAGGUGGAAGAGAUUCCCCUGGACCCCACGAAACCUGAUCAGACAGUUCGCGUUGGUACCCGAUUGCCCGGUCCUAUCCGAAGAGGUAUGAUGGACCUCCUCAGGGAAUACCGGGACGUCUUUGCUUGGGCCGCCGAAGAGGUCCAAGGAGUCCCGCACCAUCUCAUGAUGCAUGACUGAACGUCGACCCCCAAGUCCGUCCGGUCAAACAGAAGAGAAGGCACAUCGGCCCUGAGCGCAGCCAAGCUGUUGGUGAGGAAGUGGACAAGCUUUUACCCGCUAAAAUAAUCCGAAAAGUCCAAUACCCGAUCUGGUUGUCUAACUCGGUCAUGGUCAAGAAGGAUACGGGGGCUUGGAGAAUGUGCGUCGAUUUUACCGACCUCAACAAAGCCUGCUCCAAGGAUUGCUACCCCUUGCCCAAAGUCGAUACUUUGGUAGACUCAGCAAUGGGCUACGAGAUCCUCUGUUUCUGGGAUGCAUUCAAAGGCUAUCACCAAAUUGGGAUGAGUCAAGAAAACCAGGAGAAAACGGCCUUCUACACCGACCGCGGCACGUACUGUUAUACUACCAUGCCAUUCGGGUUGAAGAAUGCCGGAGCCACUUAUCAACGCUUGGUCAACCAAGCAUUCAAGUCUCAAAUCGGCCGGAAUGUUGAGGCCUAUGUAGAUGACAUCCUCCUCAAAAGCCAGACGAACUCCACCUUCCUGGCCGACUUGAAGGAGGUCCUUGACAUCCUGCGGAAGGUGAAAAUGAUGCUGAACCCCAAGAAAUGUGUUUUUGGGGUCACCUCGGGGAAAUUUCUAGGUUACCUCGUCUCAAGGCGAGGUAUCGAAGCAAAUCCGGAUAAGGUGCGAGCCAUCCAGGAGAUGUCUCCACCCCGGUGCGUCCGCGAUGUCCAAAGGCUGACAGGGCGAUUAGCCGCCCUGAAUCGGUUCUUAUCGCAGUCGGCAGCUAAAGCACUGCCCUUUUUCAAAGUGUUGAAGAAAGCUGACCAUUUCUCCUGGACGGAAGAGUGUCAACAGGCGUUUGAGCAGUUGAAGGAUUACCUUCACUACCUUCCAACGCUCACCUCACCUCGUCCGGGGGACAAAUUAAUCUUAUACCUUUCUGCUGCGGCCGAAGCGGUGAGUGCCGUGCUGAUAAGGAAGGAAGGGGUCCAAAUGCCCGUCUACUACGUUAGCCGAGUCCUCCGAGGUCCAGAGACCAGGUACACACAAGCAGAGAAACUUGUGCUAGCCCUGAUCCACGCCGCCCGCAGACUCAAGCCCUACUUCCUAGCUCACCACGUCUGCUUGAGGACUGAUCAACCACUUCGGCAGAUUUUGACACGACCAGAGGUUUCGGGACGUCUUACCAAAUGGGCCAUUGAGCUGGGGGAGUACGACCUAACUUAUGAGCCUCGCACAGCGAUCAAGGCCCAGGCUCUCGCAGACUUCGUAGCCGAGCUCACCUUUGACGAGGUGCAAGGAUCCGUCCCGGCUGCCACAUCGGCCACAGUUGAUGUGGCCACCACUGGGCUCCAGCGGUGGAUCCUACACGUGGACGGUUCGUCAACAGUGAGGGUAGUGGAGCAGGCUUGCUCCUCGAAGACCCCCAAGGAGAAAUAUGCUAAUAUGCCUUAAGAUUUGACUUCGCUGCUUCAAACAAUGAAGCUGAAUACGAAGCCGUCAUUGCUGGACUGCAGCUAGCUCGCAAGCUCGGGGCCGCACACAUCUUGGUUUAUAGUGAUUCCCAACUCGUCGUGUGCCAGAUAUUAGGUGAGUACGAAGCCAGGGACGAGGUGAUGCAUCGUUACCUCUCCAAGGUCCUCCAGUUGGCGACUCACUUCGAGUCUUUUGAAAUUCAAAGAAUACCGCUAUCGAAAAACAGAAGGGCUGACGCCCUCUCCCGGCUUGCCUCAACCUCUUUCUCUGACCUGAACAAGACGGUUCUCGUUGAAGUUCUAGCCGAACCAGGAUAUGUAGCCGAGGUAGUAUACCCCGUCUACCCUGGGGACACCUGGAUGGGUCCCCUGACUCGAUUUUUCAGCCAGGGUGAGCUCCCCGAAGACCGAGCUGAGUCACGGAAGCUCCAACGAAAAGCAGCACGGUACAUUCUCCGACAAGGCCUUUUAUACAAAAGGUCUUACCUCGGCCCUUAGUUGCGAUGUAUCACGCCCGAGGAAGGCCAGAGAAUCCUCCAAGACAUACAUGAGGGGCUCUGUGGUGCUCACGUCGGCUACAGAAUGCUGGUAAAAAAGGCUUUGUUACUUGGGUAUUUUUGGCCCACUAUGAGGAUAGAUGCCCAGGUCAUGGUCCUUUGCUGCCCCUCCUGCCAGCAUCACGCUCCUGAGCACCACCAGCCGACCAAUUUAAUGAUCCCUAUCACCUCGUCAUGGCCAUUUGAGCAAUGGGGAACGGACAUAAUUGGCCCCUUUCCCAGAGCUCCAGGCAAUUAUACCUACGUGGUGGUAGCAGUGGACUACUUCACCAAAUGGGUCGAAGCUGAACCCCUAAAAAAUAUCACUGGUGCGGCAGUCCAGAAAUUCUUCUGGAAGAAUGUGGUUUGCCGCUUCGGCCUACCCCGGGUGAUCAUCUCGGAUAAUGGCCGACAGUUCGCCGAUAAUCCUUUCAAGGCCUGGUGUGAGAACCUCGGGGUCAAACAGCAUUUCACUUCGGUGGGACACCCCCAAGCCAACGGACAAGCCGAAAACUUCAAUCGCACGCUCCUCCAUGGCCUCAAGACCAGGCUCCACCAGGCUGGAUCGUUUUGGAUGGAAGAGCUCCCCAGUGUGCUGUGGUCCUACCGAACUACGCCGAGAUCAGCAACCCAGGAAACCCCGUUUUCCUUAACCUACGGGUCAGAAGCUGUUGUUCCAGCCGAAUUCAUCACCCCGAGUCCACGAAUGGCCGCAUAUGCUGCCGAAGUCAAUGAAGAAGAACGGCGAGUUGACCUCGACCUCGUCGAAGAGAAGCGUGAUAUGGCCGCGGCCAAAGUUGCUGUUUACAAAAAUAUCGUAGCUGGCUACUACAACGCUCGGGUUAAACAUUUGCGGUUCAGUCCGGGAGACCUGGUGCUCAGGAAGAACUCAGUCAGCCGGGCUGAACCUCAGGGUAAACUAACCCCCAAGUGGGAGGGACCAUACCGUGUUGUUGAGUCCAGCCAAAAUGGAUAUUGUAAAUUGGCAUACCGAGAUGGGUCUCUGAGUGCCCCGAACUUGGCAUGCUGAAAAUCUUAAGUUGUACUACCCUUGAGGGUAUGUGCUUUUAAUCUUGAGUUAUUUCACACUUAUUUUCAUUUCAUUAUAAGUGAAAAAUAAGGGGACAAAGUAGCAGUAAAGAGGAAAACCGAAUUUAAUUAAAAAGAAAGCAAGAAUAUGAACUCAAUUCCAUUGAAUUACAUAAAAGUAGAAAGCCGAGGUCACCUUUAAUUAGGAAGAAAGCAAGAAUAUAAACUCAAUUCCAUUGAAUUACAUAAAAGUAGAAAGCCGAGGUCACCUUUGACCUCGGCCUACAAUGACAAAAAAAAAAACAAGUGCCUCUAGGCACUCCCUACCCUGACAUCCUGGCCCCCCGUGGUCGCGCCACCCGUUUCGGCACCCUGUCCACCCUCAGCUCCUCCACCGGCCUGGUCGUCUUCAGUACCAUCUAGUUCAAACUCCUGGAGCCAUUUGUUGAAUUCGGCUCGGACUUCGGUUAGGUCUUUCUCAGUCCGGAUGCCCUCAGCCAUGCUGUCGCAUAGCUCCUUGGCAUCCUCGUUAUAGUGCGAAGUGCUCUGAAGGGACUCCAGUUGUUCAGAGGGAAGAAAGGAUGCCGCGUCAUUAAUAGCCGACGUGUACCCGAACAUGAAGCUUGGCCGGGUGAGCUCGCCGAGGUCACGGAUGAAGGACUCUGACGUCCGGAAGGCUUCCACAGCAGUGACCCCGGCCUUGUCCAUGGCCUCCCUGUUUGACUGUUCUUCUUGGGCCCUCCUUUUUUUCUCCUCAUCAAGAGCAGUCACCAGGGAAUUGUUCGCGACCUCGGCCCUUUUGUUAGCCGCCUUGGCCUUGUCACGCUCCAACUCGGUUGCCUUCAGUUUUUCUUCCAACUCGGCAAUUCUCUUCUGGAGCUCGGCAGGAGGCUCAUAGUUUUCCAUGAACUUUCCAUACCGUUGAAUCAUCUCGACAAAAAAAGCCGUGGUAGAGGCCCAUGACACCGAGGCGCUCUGCAUCAACUCCCCUGCGGAGAGCUUCCUAGCAUAAGUGCUAUCUCGUGGCAGCACUGAAUGCACCAAGAGCUCCUGAGCGACCAAAGGGUUCUUGCAGCGAUCGUUGAAAUUAAUCUCCCACUCUGGACACCAGUGUGAUCCGGGGUGUCUCUUGUCCUCCUCAGCUGCCUUGAAAGGCACAUGAUGGAGUUUGAACAAAGAUGACCCCGUGACGGGGUUCUCCGGAAAUAUGGUCACACCCUGACCCCGGGGGGGAGUGGCAAUCGUGACCCAGCGAGAAGGGAUUCCCACCGGAAUUGCCGAGGCUCGGGAACCUCCCGGAGUGGCCGAGGUGUGCGAGCCCUCGCCCACGAUCACCACGGCAGGCUCGCGGUCGCCCGACGCCGCGGUGGUUUUCUUAGCCGGCCUGGAAGAGGACCCUGCAGUGUCCUUGCGCUUUUUGGGAGCUCUUUUGACCACCUCGACAUCUCCCGAGGUUAUCAGGUCGAAAAUCUUCGUCACUGCAAAGUAGGAGACGAAGUCAGUUAGAAUUCAAGAGGGAUAAACUAAAAGGGAAGAAAUGGAAAAAUACAAAGUCUGUGAAGCCUAGUCGAGAGUAAGACAGGCUGGUCAGAGCUCGUCAAGGCUCAACUGAUCCCGCCUUCCACGAGCACCACUUCGGGAAAAUCCCAGCAGUUUAUCCUGAGGCCCGACCCCGUUAACUUCUGGAAGUUACGCUCUUCUAACUUCCCUGGAGAUAUCUCCUUGAUCGAGGUGGGAGGCCUCCACCAGAAUCCGCGAGGGAAGUCAUCGGCCGAGACGAAGAAGAAGUUUUGCUUCCACUCCUUUAUUGAGUUCGGAGCAUCAACCACCAACUUCGGAACUUUGUUUCCGAAGUAGAACCAUCCUUUUUCACUUCUGCUGUUCUUGAGUGAGUAACAGCGGCGAAAGAGGUUGACCUAAGGUUGUAUCUCCUGAUGUCGGCAAAGUAGCUGGAAGCCAACGAGAAUGCGAAUAGCGUUAGGGGUGAGUUGAGUGAUUCUCACCCCCCAGUACCUCAGGCAGUCCCGAAGAAACCUCGUCGUGGGCACUCUGAGUCCGGCCUCCAGCUGUUCCUGAUAGAUAGUCACCUUGCCCUUUGGUGGCAGUGCGGCUGACUGAUGCGGUUGGGGUAUGUAAAUACUAUAAUCCCUUCUCCAGGGAUACCUGCGGACCACCUCGGCUAUUGAGGCUUGUCCCAUACCACUACUGAAGAACGGCAUCUGGCCGUAGUCGAGAGUUGCCACGUUUGGAGGAGUGGAAGGUUCUUGUACUCCCUCGUCUCUAGGGAUCUCAAUCCCGAGGUCAUCGUUGUAUAGGACCUCGGGCUGGACCUCGAUCUCCUCGGGCUGCACCUCAACCGCCUCAGCUCGGCGUGAUGCCUCGGCACCUCCACCCUCAGCUUGGUGAGAUGCCUCAGCACCUCCGCCCUCGGACGCGGUCCUUUCCUGGGAGGGGUCAGGCCUCUCUGCCUCAGUGAGGUCAGGUCUCACUGUCUCUUUGUGCGUACGAGCUGUUCUAGCCAUUGUAUCAGAAGGGGAAGAAGUGAACUUACUUAGAAUCUGCGACUGGAAGAAGAUGCCGAAGUAGACGUGGUUUAGAAAGGUUGCCGAAGUGAAAAGAGAAAGAAACAGAGUUCUGGGGUGAUUCUUGAUUUUUGGUGAAGAGUAAAACGGUGAAAAAAGACCACUAUUUAUAGGCCACCAGGGUGAAACCCAAGAGACGGCACCCUCUCUCUUCAUUAAUGGGAGGACUGUUCGUCUGCCAACACAGCUGACAGCCGUCCCUUCAGUUAUCACUCAGUCCCAUCUAUGCGGUCAUGACGUGUCCGUGUUCCGUGUUUUAUACGCUUCUCAGCUUCGGGAAGUAACGACCACGGCGGAUGCCCAUCUCGCCCUUCUCAAAGCUUGGGGGGCUUAGUGAGGAGGGCCAUUUAGGCUCGGAGCGCCCGAGGCCUAGUUCCCCAUCAUUUCCUGAAGUGCCGCCUCGGGUAUUAUCCUGGAAGGCGAUCGCGGCCCAUUUACCACCUCGGCUACAAUGUCAAGUCGUAACACCGAGGUGGACAUUGAAUGACAACUACGAAAAGGGGAGAUGUGAUCUCUGACACCUGAGCAAAGGCUGCUCUGACCCGCCGCCUGAAUCUGACAGAAUGUCCCAUCACGUCUCUUCAUGGAGACCGGUCAAGUCCACCUGAUCCACUGACUAUCUCAGAUCUUUUGGGACCCGUGCAAACAUCUCCUCUCUCCUAUCGGUCCCCUAUAAAUACACAAUAUUUCUACUGAAAAAGGGGAUGACCAAUUUCUGGUAAAACACACUCCACUCAUUACUUACUUCUCUAUAUCCGAACUGACUUAAGUUUCGGAGUUAUACCGGGGGAUCCAGCCCCUUUUCUUAUUCAAGCAGGUGACUUCGUCCAAGAGAGUUGCCCAAGGUAAAGAUAUUCUUCGAAUUGAGGUGACUCACUCCUGCGGGUCGAAAAUCACCUCUUCAAAUGGUAGAAAGUUUUCUUAAGAACCAAGAACAGCAUUAGUAUUCCCUCUGCUUCCAAAAACUUGUGUAUUAAAUAGAUUAAUGAAUUGUUUAACAUGCUCAUCUACUUGAAAAUGCACAAUACCCAUAACCCACUGAAAUUUUUGCAGGAAAAGGGAAAGAGAAUCUGUGUUUGAGAGCUUCAUGAAGAUGUUGAAGAAUAAGAAUAAAAGCCCAAUGCGAGGAUGUUUUCAAGUUUUUCUAUGUCCACUUUAAUUUGUAAAUUGAAUUUUACAACUCAAUUAAUUCCUUGUUUGUGAGGUACGUAUUGUUUUACGUACCAUGCCGUACAUGUUUGUAAGGAUUUCUAUCCUAUUGGCAAAAGUCGGUUCCAUACAAUUAAUCAAUUCAUUUCACUUCUAUUGGCUCUACUAUUUAUGCAUGUUACGACACUCUUUCCCUUAUAUUUUGCCUUUAAUAUUAUGAGUCAAUAGUAAUAAUGGGCCUUUUUCUUAAAAUUAUACUAUUAUACAUAGGUAGUUUGGUCUAACGCUAAAUUCAUGUUUGUCUUUCUUUUAUUCCCUUUACAUCUCAAAGUAUACUAUAGUUUGUAAUCAUUGUGGUGAUGAUAUUACCAGCUGGUACUUAUAGUUUAAGGCAGAGACAUGAUAUUAACAACUAUCUCAUUGAAACAUAAGUCAAAAUCAUGACAAGUGUGAGUCUUGGUUAAUGCACAAUUUGUUAGUGGAAUUUAUAUUUAUAAAACUCAAAAAAAAUUUUUGACAAUGCUAUUACUAAUUAAUUAAGGACUUCAUUGCUAUAAUUUAUCGCUUACUAGUUUAAACUAUAAAUGAUCUCAAUACUUUUCUCCAUGAUGUCGAUUUCUUUAGACUACGAAAGGGAAAAAUUAGUGACAUAUCCCUUACUGAUUACAACAUCAGCAAAAAUUAGUUAUAAACUUUUCCGGUGGUUUUAAAUCCCUCGGGCACUAAGGUUUUUUGCACAUCGAGUGAAUUAAGGAACAUAGGCAAUUCGUUCUGCAUACCAAGUCCUUGUUUAAGAUGCACGUACUAAAAUGCAUCCACUUCAUUAAUUUGGAAAAUUGCCAUAGUUUUUUUUAAGCAUUUUGAUUUUUUACAUGAUUCAAAAUUUUCUUAUUGGAUACAAUCACUUUGUGUCAAGAACACAUUUUCAAUCAUCUUUUUUAUCUUCUCAAUAAGAAAAUAAAAAUUUAUUCAUGCUUUUCUAACAUAUCCAAUCAUUGAUCUGAAAAAUAAAGAAUUAAAAAAAAAAGACAUUUUCAAUCAUUGCUUACAGGGCAACUUCCCCAUGUGAACCUCUUCAAACAAAGCCAAUAAUAUGAAGGAACAUCUAAAUACACUUUUGCCCUAAAGGCUGGUUGCCUUGGGGUCAAAAUUUAACCUUCGGGAGUAUAAUUACCCGCCAAAUUUAUUAUUUUUUAUGGGUAUAUAGUUCCAAUUUUGCCUCCUGUUAAGCUUAUAAAUAUAUUACGACCCAGAAAAUAAAGGAAUCUUGAAUAGUAACAUGUCCAUUGACUUGAGUUGUCAUCAAUUUGGCUACUUCGAUUCCAUGAGGCCAAUCCAAUUCACACUAGCUAGAGAAAAUGGUGAUAAAGGCACUUAGAAAUUUAUAUGUAAUAUUGAUUGGUAGUAACUGAUAAGUAUAUAUUUUACGUGUUUUAAAUAUGUUUUAUUAGUUAGUUUUGGUGUGUUUUAACUACUUUUAUAACUAAUUAACUAGGAAUCUAGUGAAAAUAUGCAUUUUGUGGUUUGAAGUGUGAAAAUUGUAUUUCUAUGGAUUUUAAUGGUGAAAACUUCAUGUUUUUGUAGGUUUAAUGAUUCAAUCAUCAAAUGACAUGAUUUGAGAAGAUAAUUAGAUGAUUGAUGAUGUUUUGAAGUGAUAAAAAGAGAAUACAAAGUGCAAGAGAGGAAAUGCAAUCAAGAAUAAAAGAAGAAAAUUUUUGUAGCUUUGACAUAUUGUGGUAUUUUGGCAAUAUAUUGAGCUACAAUGAUUGGAUUAAGGUGAUUCUUAAACCAUUUGAAGCUAAGAUAUAGAUCUACAUUUGGUAUGAAGGCAUCGAAACCCAUGUCAGUCAUUUUCCUUGUCAAAAUGUUGAAAUACAGAAGUGCAACUCUGUUCUCGAAAGCUAAAACAGAGCUCUGGCUAGUCGAGGGUAUUUUCAUCAUUUCUUAGUCCACAGAGCUCCAAAUGAGAUGAUUCUUAAGGCAUUAGAACCCUAACUCAAAGAGCUACAACUUUCAUAUUUUGUACAAGAGUUAGUUCGGCCUCCAUCAUUCAGAAAAUAGUAGUUGAAGUGGUGCCAAAUGCAUAGAAGUGAAAACGCGAGCUAUCAAUACUCGACCUGAAGUCGCGUAUUCCUGAGGUCAUGCAUUCUCUUCUAUUUUCUGCAACUUGCCCUGCUUUCACAUAAUUUUUUCAUCUCAAUUCCAACUAUCAAUUUCGGCUAUAUCUGAUCAAGAAAAGUGUGGAAAGUUUGAAAGACAACUCAUAGGAGUUUCAAGAGUCAAAAAUUACAAUUAGAAACAACUCAUUUGGCUCUUGAAUCCUCUAUAAAUAGAGGCCUUUGAAGAACAUUUUCACAACUUUGGAAGGUUAGAGAAACUCCACAAAAACAUAGUCUUCACUAGAAUUUCCUUAGUUCAUUAGUUAGGGUAGUAUAGUAUAGUUAGUGUAGCUUUUCCUUCUUGUAUUUAUAGUUAGGUUUGAAUGAAGAUUCAGGAGCAAAGAUAGAGAGGUUGAUCUCAUGUGACAAGGGUGAUAUCUCUUCUACUACUUUCUCUUUUGUAUUUGAUUUCAUAUUUAACUAUACUACAAAUUUGGCUUUGUUUUUUUUUUUUAUCAUGUUUAGUUAAAGUUUAUGCCUAGAGUAUGGAUGACCUUUCUAUAUCUUGUUUGUGAUAUUUAACUGGUUAUUUGAUGAUGUUAUUUUUGAGCAAGUUAUUUAUCACUUUUGCUUUUCUAAUCGUGAUUAACUGGCCAUUAGUUGUGAUUAUCUAAAAGUGUUAAGUUUGUAAUGAGAAUUGGAGUUUAACACUAGUUCAAGGAAGUGAUAAAUUUAGGGAGUUCACUCAUGAGAGUAGAGGAACACCUUUGUGACCUAAGUGACUUGUUUCAUAUAAUUUCAUAGAAAAAAUGAACUUGUAAUUAAUUUCAUAACCACGAGAGUAAGUAUGGUUUAGCUAUAUGUAUAGUUGAUUCACUACGAGAGUAGGUUUCACAUACAUUAGAAAAUUACAUCAUAACUAGUCAAGAUAAUAUCAUUCAUUUAAUCAGUAAUCUCAUUUGCAUGAGUAGUAAGGCAUUCCAUAUCUCUAGGAGGUUUUUAGUAUUAUUUUCAUUACUUUUAUGUUUAUGGUAGUCUAGAUAAUAAUGGAGUUCAAAAACUACUAGUAAUUGAAAAUUUUCCCUGUGGGAUCGACCUUUAAUACCCUAUACUCGCUCUCGACUCGUAUACUUGCGAAAAAUCACGUGUGCGGUAUUUAGAAUUUAUAAAUGUAAAACUUGACUGUAGAUGAACUAAUUGAUAUAUGUAUACCCCGCACUCGUCAGUAACCAGCUUGUAUUGAUCCCAUUAUUGUGGAUAAUUGUGCUCUUAUGAAAAAAAAUUAUAAAAAAAUUAGCAAAAUUUAUGAUAACAAAUUAAAUUUAUUCAUACAAAUCAGUGAAAGAAGUAGAAUUUUAAAGACCAUGAUGAAAUUAAUACUUUCAAGGGCUCUAUUAGGAAGACUUCACUUGUUGGUGAAACUACACUAGCACAGUUAUAUGCACAUUUACUGUUUUGGUAUCUAAUUUCCUUGCCUUAAGUUGGGUGCAGAUGUUUAUAUUACAAAUAGAUGGUAUCAUAAAAUUGUUGUAUUCACGUUUGUUCUUUUUUUUUCUUCCUUAAGUUUUUUUCUUUAUUCUCGUGACUUCAAAAAUACGAACUCAAGAAAUUGGCUGCUUAAUCAAUAUGUCAUACAGGCUUCGCUAGUGAGGUAUAACUUCACAACUAGAGUCAAUAGAAAUUAUCAAAUGAUUUUUUAACAUCCAAAUUAAGCAAUAAAUUUUGUUUUCAUUUUAUGACAUAUAAUAGUACUACUUCAUGAGAGAUUUUAUAGUUUCUUUUAGGUAUCAUACCUACAAGUGAUAUUUGUCAUUGGAUAGUGACAGAAGUGUUAAUGAUUGUAAGAUUAAAUAUUGUUAAAUAUUGAAAUUUAAACUAUUUAUCUUUAUUGAAAGAUACAAGUUAAAGAAUCGUUCAAGGGGGCAAUUUUCCAUCUUGUCUUUUUGAAAAAACGCUAUCACAUUGUAUAGGCAUGAUAGGUUCAAAUUUGUCAUUAAAUUUAUGAUUGAUUUCCCUUUUAUUCAAGCCAAAUAUUGUUUUAAUUAUCAAAUUCUACUUAUAUUUGGUUAAUUGUACUAAUUGUAGGGCGGUAGAGCAAAAGUUGCUAAAAAUAGGUGAUUUUCUGCAAAUUGGUUGUCAAGGCUGAAGGAUUUGGGAUUCGCAUGUUCAAGGCCUGUUUCCAAGUUUGAUUCAAACUCUGGACAGUUUUAGAGGAAGAUUUGGAAGAUUUGAAAUUUCAUUAUUAGUUUUAUGGUUGAAUUAGGAAUCUUGGAAUAAUUUCUUUUGUGAUUUAUUUUUCUAUUUAGGAGACUAGUUGUUAUUUAGUAGUAGACUUCAAUUAGAAAACAAAGAGAAAAAGAAGGCCGGAAUCCCGCUUGAUUAAUACCUUGGCCAGGGAACAAUCUCGGUGGGGAGGACGGCCACUUAGCCUCUCAAUUCAUCUUGCUUUUCGUUAGUUUGAGAGGAAAACCAAUUGCAACUAGAUUCAAUGGAGUCUGGCAGAAUUUCUUCUAGGAUGCGUAGCUAAAUCCUCAAUUUUUAGUCGAAGGUCAAUUUGAAAAUUCGGUUCCAAAUAUCUGUGAAAUCGAAUUAUUUUACUUAUUUCUUUUAUUUAUUGGUAUUCGCACGUUUUCUGAUUUAACUUUUUAUGAUUGUUUUGUUAUUUGAAUGUCAAGGGUCCGAUAUUCGAAUUAACUUAAUAAUCUACUGCCAAAUUAACCGGUUAAAUCCGUAAUUGUUUGAUUGAUUAAUAUCAGUGGCGACUAGCGUGAUUGGUCCCAUGUUAGGAAAACGUCUGAUCUAAUUUAAACAAACCGUCGUAGCGUGUUUGUUGAUUAGGGUUGGACUUUUCUAAUUCUUAAUUCAAUUGAGAAAUUAAAUCUCCCGGUCGUACCUAAGAUUAUUUUUUUGUUAGCGAAAUAGUUAAUGGUCGUACCUUGACUAUCGAAAAAGUAAGGAAGAGUUGAUUGUUUAUCGCGUGUACGACAACUAUAAUCAAUCUAUUAAUGAGUAAUUGAAUUAUCUUUGCAUCAGUAAUCAGUUGAAUGGACCGUGUCUGAAAAGUUGUACCUUUGGCUAGAGUCUUAUCUGUUGUUGAUUCAUUCAUAUCUAUCUUCAUGCGUUGUUUUAAUUUAGUUAAUUAGUUAUUUUUAUAAAAACCCCUCAUCUCUGGACUCUAAAAGAAAUAAAUUAUUUCUAGUUCCUGUGGAUUCGAUCCUACUCACCGCUAUAUACAAAAUUUGUAUUUUUUUGAAUAAAUAAUUAUUAUUACACAGGCUUGACACCUGUCAAGGCAAAAUUUCCUUAACUUCAUCAUCUGUAGACGUAAACUUUCUACGGGUGAUAUAAUAUAAGGAAAUUUUGCCUAUACGAUGUGAUAGCAUUUUUUCAAAAAAGACAAGAUGGAAAAUUGCUCCCUUGAACGGAAAAAAUCAUGAUCUUUCCUCAAACUAGUCUACUAGUCAAUUCUUUACAAAAGAAUACUCGCUCCUAAACAUAGCCUGUUCAUCUACACUGUCCCGCAGAAUUCUAGAAAGUUAGGCAAAACUAGACAAGUUGACAGGUAUAAUCAUACCCAAGAUCAGGAACAAGCAGUUGCACAUUUCAAAAUUCGCUGCUGCAACAGCUAAUUUGAUGACUUACAACACUACACGGUCAAACUUUGAAUGGCAAUGGAUCUUUUGUUGUACGUCAUGAUGUAAUUUUCAUGUUACAUACAUUAAUAGGUUGAUAUCUAUAUUCUUUAAAUUAUCAUGAUAAUACCCUUAAUUAGAUUUAACUGAUAAAAAGAACACGUGUUAAUAUACAAAAGUGUGUAACGUGAAUGUUACAUUACUGUAUUGCAGAAGACCUAUAGUCUCUUCAUAUCUCUUCCUGCACGUAUCAAUUCGUUUCCUCUAGAUAAUAAUCUCCCAACUCGUUUCUUUACAAAUGCACCUUUUAUGUUUUAUUACCUCCAAAAGCCUUUACAGGGUCUUUACCCUAAAAAUCAAUUCACCGACUCGCAUUUGAUGUCAGAAAUUCUUAAGACGAAUUCUACUUUACUCAAAGAUUGACUGUUAAUAAUGAGACAGCGACCAUUUUGUAUUAUUAGACCGUCCUUCUUGAUAGGUAAAAGAAAUAGAGAGGAAAGUGGGUCCGUAUAUGGUCUUUUAUUCAUAGAUAAUACAACAUUACGCCAUCGAGCAUUCACACAAUAUUUCAAAGUCAUAGCAUGCCUAAGGCCCUGUUUGAUAGCUCAAUUUCGUAAUUAAAUUUAAUAGAUUCAAAUUUUAACACAUUUAAAUCAUUUGAUAACAAAAAAUUGAAUAUUUAAAUUAAUUAAGUAACACUGAACUUUCUAAACAAAACUUGCUUUCAAAAUUAAGUGAUAAGUUAUUCACUUAUCUUUGAAUGUGAUAUGCACUCAAAUAUAUUAAAUUUAAUAAUUUAAUGGAUUCAGAUUUCAGAUUUCAGUUUUAUUACACACCCUAAGUUGCAAAAUAAUACCAAAACUUGUUAUUAUAUAGCUUGAGAUUCAAAAAUUUAGAGCAUAAUUCUCAACCUAACACAAUCGAAUAAUGAAUAUUCACGAUUGUUUCAAAGUACAAUUUGAGGACAACCCAUUCCAACGCGUACACGAUUUUUAACUUUUCUAAAGUUGUUGAGAGCUGUUAAAAGAGAUUUACCAUGUUUACAUCUUCCAAGUCUUGGAAGUGAAAAAUGAAGCCACUGAGUGCUAUAAAAAGGGGGCUAGAGGCUGCCUAGAAGCAUAUCAGCCUAAAACAAGAAUUUGUAGUAACAAUGGGGAGCAAAGCAAAAGCAACGGGGUCUAGGCUGACUCCUCUUCUUACCACUGUUUUAGUGGUAUUUGUCGCCCUUGGCUUGCCCUUGGAAACUGCAGCUGAUUAUUACAAGUAUUCAUCUCCUCCUCCUCCUCCUUACCACUAUUCUUCACCACCACCUCCAGUGUAUUCACCUCCACCAACCCCUGCUUAUAAGUUACCCCCACCAUCUCCUCCAGUUUACAAGUCCUCACCACCACCUUACCACUACUCACCACCUCCGGUGUAUUUACCUCCACCAUCUCCAGUUUACAAGUCACCACCACUACCCCCUCCGGUAUACAACUCCCCGCCUCCACCAGUGUACAAAUACAAGUCCCCACCACCACCUCCUCCAGUUUACAAAUCUCCAUCGCCACCAGUUUACAAAUACAAGUCACUCCCACCACCUCCUCCGGUAUACAAGUCUCCUCCGCCACCUGUUUACGAGUACAAGUCUCCUCCACCACCUCCUCCAGUGUACAAGUCCCCACCACCUCCAGUUUACAAGUACAACUCACCUCCACCUCCUCCCCCAGUUUACCUGUCUCCACCUCCACCCUAUCAUCACUACUACGGUUCUCCUUCUCCUCACCACUACUAAGCAAGUGCAUAAGUUUUGAGGUAAUAAUACCUAUCCAAAACUUUAUCAACACAAACUGCCAUGUAUAUUAUCAUGCUAAGGACGUACACUUGAUCCAUGAAAAUGACUAGUAGAAGAUUUUUUUUAAGAACCAAAGAAAUACAUUAUUUUUUCGGUCUGUUUUCAAGAAUUUGAGCAGUAUACAGAUUAAAGAGUGUUUUUUUUUUUGUAAACUUGCUUGUCAACUUAAAAAUGCACAUAGCUGAAAGCCAACUGAAUAUUUGCAGGCAAAGGAGAAGGCAAUCGGUGUUUGAGACCUUCAAGAAGAUGUAGAAGAAUAAGAAUAAAAGCCCAAUGCGAGGAUGAUUCCAAGUUUCUACGUUACCAUUUCUACAUCUAAAUUGACUUUAGCUCCUGAGUUCCAUGUUUAUGGGGUUUGUACCGUUUUACGUACCAUGCAGUACAUGCUUGCAAGGUUUUCUGUCCUGUUGGCAAACUGCAGGUCCAUAUAAUAAAUGAAUACUAUUUACAUUACGACACUUUUCUCUUUUUCUCUUAUAUUUUGUCUUUAAUAUUGUUGAUCAUUUUUUUUUUAUCAAAAGCAUCAAAUGCUUAGGUAAUUUGGUCUAAUGCUAAUUGUUUUACUUUUAUUUUUCACCUACACCCCUUUUCAACUCAAAGGAUGCUAUAGUUUGUGAUAAUUGUUUAAGACCGAAGCAUGAUACUAAUAAAUAUCUCAUUGAAAGUCAAGGAAACUAACAUUAGGAAAAGUUUAAAUCUUGAUUUGAUGAAACUAUUUAUUCGUGGAAUUUAGAGAUACAAAACUCAAAUUGUGACGGUGUUGUUGCUAAAUUAUUAAGGACAUUAUCACCAUUAUUUUUCCCUGAUCACUAGUUUCAACUGCAAUGAUCUCAAUCUUUUUGUGACUAAUUCUUUCCUUAAUAAUUUAUAAAGACAAAACUCACAAAGAAUAUGUGACUAAUUCUUUCCUUUCGUCUUCUAAAGAAAAUGCCAACUGUUAGUUUAUCAAGGGGAAAAAGGAUCGACAUCAGUUAUUAUUGAAACUAGUAAGGAAUAAAUAAUGGUGAUAAUGUCCUUAAUAAUUUAACAACAGCACCAUCAGAAUUUGACUUUGAGCUUCGGUCUUAAACAAUGAUCACAAACUACAGCAUCCUUUGAGUUGAAAAAGGAAGUAGGUGAAAAGAAAAGUAAAAAAUACAAUUAGCAUUCCCUCAAAUUGUAGAAAGUUAGGUAGCAUUAUAGACAAGUUGAUAGCGGCAAUUUUACAUUUCAAACUUCACCUAUUCAAUAACUAAUUCGAUGGCUUGCUACAUGGUCAAUCUUUGGACCCCUUCCUGCCUCCAGAUAUCCCUUUCCUCAAUCAGGGGCUUCUACAAUUACCAGUUUCAAUUGUAUGGUAUAGUGUAAAUAUCAACAAAUUAGAUGUAGAUGCUAACAUAAUAAAUGUGAAUGCUAAGACAGCAACAUACAAUCGAACCUGCAAUUGUAUGAACCCCAAUCUCGCUUCCUAGUCCACCAUCUUUCUCUAGGUAAUAAUCUCCCUUCUAAUUUAUUCACAAAAUGCACCUUUCAUCACCUCCAAUAGCGUCGACAUGAUCUUUACCCUAGAAGACUAUUCACCGACUCUCAAUUGACGUCAGAAAAUCUAAGAGUAAUUCUACUUUACCCUAAGAUUGAUAUCAACAAGACAAGGACAAUUUAGAAUUAUUACACGCCUCUUCUUAAUAGGAAAAAGAAAUAGAGAAGAAAGUCAGGCCAGGUCUAAUUUCUUUUCAAAGGCAAUACAACAUUACGAAAUCAAGCAUUCAUUCAUACAAAUAUUUCAUAGUCACCGGUUUGCUGAGUAGAAAAAUUUAGACAAAAACUUAAUAUUAUAUUGUUUAAGAGUUAACAAUUUAGAGCUUAAUCUCCUUGUACUUUGGAGUUAACAAUUUAGAGCUUAAUCUCCUUGUACUUUGGACUAAACUUGAACGUGAAAGGAAAUCCCAAAACCAUAUUGGGCAUGAAUUCACACUUAAUAUACCCAAUAAAAGAUGGCGACUGGUGAAAGGCAGUGGAGACUGGUGGAGAGAUUUGAGGAAUAGAAGCAGACGGAAAAGCAACAAAUUUUUGCCGAAAAACGGUCACUUUCAUGGUUAAUUUUGCUACUCUCCAAUUGUACUUGACCAAUUACAACAAUUUCAUGGAGUUUGAUACGUGAAAAGAAUUUUUUAUAAAUUUUAUUUUGAUCCAUAAUGUUAUCUUUACAUAUAUAAAACAUUUUACAAUUUUGAUUUUGGCGCAGCUAACUUUUGGUUAACAAAAAUGCUCAUGUUUAAAAAACCAGAAAUAAAACAAAACAAGAAACAAAAGAAAUAAGAGGGUAGCAUAGACAUUUUGGAUUUUUCCGUUAAUUUGGAUGAUUUCCACCCACGUUCUAAUUUAAUCCAAAACACAAAGGAAUUACGUAGAGGUUUUAAAUAAUGAGGGAGCUUCAUGAUCGAACCCCAAACCACAAGGCGAUUUACUAUAUUUUACUCUUAAAUUUUGGUUUCAUCUCAUAGCAUACAAGAGUUCUAUUUCACUAUCUGUAGACAAAGACUUUCUAUGGUUGAUGUACCAUAGGAAAAAAUCUGCCUAUACAACGUGAUAGCAUUUUUUCAAAAACACAAGAUGGAAAAUUGCCCCUUAAACGGGGAAAUUCAUGAUCUUUCGUCGAACAAAGAAUACUCACGCCUAUUCAAGAUGGAAAAUUGCCCCCUUAAACGUCUAUUUGUCAAUUCUUGAAAAAAGAAUACUCACGCCUAAAACACGGCCUCUUCAUCUGCAGAAUUCUAAAAAGUUAGGUAAACUCUAUAAACAAGUUGAUAGGUACAAUCGUACCCAAGAUCAAGUACAGAUAGUUGUACAUUAACUGCUGCAAUAACUAAUCUGAUGACUUAUAAACAUAUCAUGGUCAAUCGUUGAAUGGUAAUGAGUCUUUUGUUAUGCAUUAGUAUUAGUGUGUACACUCUAAUAGAUUGAUACUUAUACUCUUUAAAUUAUCAUAAUAAUACCCUUAAUUAACUUUAACUCUUAAAAAGAAUACAUGUUAAUACACGAGUGUGUGUAACCUGAAUUGUUACUUAUAAAUUAGUGUGUAAUAGAUAGGGAUGGCAAUGGGGGCGGGUGCCCGCGGGGGGCUCUCGGGGCGGGGGUUGGGGCGGGGGGGAAUUUUUUCCCCCCGUUUAGAAAUGGGGCAGGGGACGGGGGAGUAUACCCCCGCCCCAUCCCCCGCAAAAAAAAAAUUAUAUAUAAUAUGUAAUUUAAUUAGUUAUAAACUUAUGAUAAUGAUAUUAUUAGUUAGAUGUAUUAUAUAAUGUAUAUUAGUGUAUGUAAUAUAAUUAAUAUUAUCAAUUAUAUGAAUAAUUAGACAUGUCUACUAAUAGAAUUUAUGAAUUAGUUAUACUAAAUUUACUAAUACAUUUAUACUAAAUUUCUAAUUACACUUAAUAGAAUAACACUUUUUUCUAAAACAAAAAAGCACAAACACAAUAAUGAAUUAGUGAUUGUAUGAUAGGGUGUAAUUUUACUAUUUAUUUUAUUAUUAAUUUCCCCUAUCACCUGACCUGAUGUGGAUUAAUUGCUGGAUUCUGCUCACUUUUAGUACUUUGUAUUUAUUUCAGGGAGUAGAACGGAAAUUUGAUAACAGGUGCUAAUUUGGCAGAAAAAGAGUCCAGAUGAUAGAGCUUGCCCCAAGGGCAUUUUUGGAAAGGAGAACUUGUGCCCAUCUUGGUAAUUUGGGAGAAAAGGGAAACAGACAAAAUGGGUCUAACAUGGAUUGGAAGCGGCCGCACAGUAGCAGGGAAGAGGGCAGACGUAAAAGCAAUUGCAGGGGGGAAAAGGAGUUUUUUUAGUUUUUAGCUUAGCAUCUGAUUUUCCCUGGGAGACUUUUGUUAAAGAUUUCCUUUUGGCUGAUAUUACGCAUGGCAGAUGGCUUUUAACUUAUUCCUCCAUCUUUGACUUUUCUUCUUUAGCUUGUGGCAGUGGAUUGCUACUUACGAAUGUCAGCACUUAGCCAUUCGUGGCUUUUGAUCUUUUCUUCCUUAGAAAUUCUGAGUAACCUCUUUUCCUUUGUGCGCCAGACGAAGUGAAAACUAUAAACUUUUGUAGUUUUUCUAUUCAUUCAAUAUAUUGAGACGAGUUGGAUUCUACCAAAUUUCAACGGACAUGGCCGCUGGUUUCUCUUCAAUUUUAUAUGGGCUUUGUUCAUCCAACAUGAACUAAUUUCACCACUCUAGUCAAGGAGCAACGAAGGCUCUGAUUUGCCUAAAAAUUGUGAGAUCGUUUUAAUUUAAUCUUUUCCUUUUAUUUAUUGGUAUCCGCACAUUUCUUGAUUGCUAUGCUUAUGGUUAUUUAAUUAAUUGAUUGUCUUGGAUCCAGAUAAUUAAUUGAUCUGAUAGCCUAUUGUCAAUUAGGGCAUUUAAAUCCGUAAUUGUUUAAUUGUCCUGAAAUAGUGACAACUGGCACGAUUAGAUUCGUGCCAGGGGGGAUAUGCGGGCUAAUCUAAAAUAACCCUGGUAGUGUGUUAUUUGGUUAGAAUAGGGCUCCUCUAAUACUAAGGCAAUUGGGGAAUUAAAUUCUACGGGCGUACCUAGGAUUAUUUCUUAAUUAGAGCAGUGAUUAACGGGCGUACCUUGAUCACCGACACAGUAAGGAGGGGUUGACCGUCAUCGCUUGUUUGGCAGUUAUAACCUAUUUAUCAGUAAAUAAUUGGGAUUGCCUUGCAUCAAUGAUCAAUUAGGUGAACCAUUGUUGAAGUUACUUCUUGGUUAGAUCUUUAGUUAAUAUUACCUUGAUUUUGGUGAAUUGCCAUUUGAUUUUUAGUUGCCUACUUUAUUUUAUUUUUAAUUGUUUCCUUGCUUUAAUUGAGUUAGGCCUUUAAUUAUUGUUAUUCUAAGUUUAGUGAAUUGUGGUUUAAUUCCUAAUUAGUUAUUUAUUUUUACUUUCUUAUUUGAAUUUAUUUGCUUGUUAUCAUUCCUACGAAAUCACCCCCCUGUGUUACUUUGGAUUUCUUAAGAAACAAAUAUACCCAAUCCCUGUGGAUACGACCCUACUUGCUCUGUUCACGAAUUCAUAAUUAUUUGUGAAAAGAAAUAACCAUUCCACUCGGGUAUAUCGGAUCAAGCAAAUUCUUCGGGAACAGGGUGAAUCAAGUAACCCAAUGCACACCUAGAGUCCCUGCUCCAGUACUUGGAAUUGGGUUUUGGUCAUUUUAACUGGCAAUUAGGUUUAAUUUUAUUAUUGCACAGGCUGACGACCCUGUCAAUUUUUGGCGCCGUUGCCGGGGACUGGCGUUAUUAUUUGUUUCUUUUUAAAUUCAUUCUUUGUCCUAAUUUUCUGGUUUUCUUCUAGUGUAUGCCUCGAUCUUCUCGUACAGGUAAUUUGAUUUUUGACCCUGAGGUAGAGAAGACCGCAUGUAGAACGAGAAAGGAAACCAGACAGCUCAGAGAAGAGCACUCCAGUGCUACAUCUCAGAGACCCGAGUCAGAAGUUGAACUAACAGAUUCGUUUGGUAACACUUCGAGUGACUCUGACCAGGAGGAAGACACCAUGGCUAAUGCACGAACAUUAAGGGAGUUGGCUGCUCCUGAUUUAACUCAGCAGCCUUUAUGCAUUACUUUCCCCACUUUAAAUGAUAACAUUCCAUUUGAACUAAAAUCUGGUCUGAUUCAGCUUUUACCCUCUUUUCAUGGUUUACCAGGUGAAGAGCCGUAUAAGCAUCUGCAGGAGUUUGAUGUCGUGUGUAAUAGUAUGAAACCCUCGGGAAUCACAGAAGAGCAGAUAAAAAUGAGGGCAUUCCUCUUCUCCUUGAAAGAUUCUGCGAAGGACUGGCUGUACUACCUGUCACCAGGUAGCAUCACCACGUGGGACCAAUUGAAGAAAAAAUUUUUGGAUAAAUAUUUUCCUGCGUCCAGGGCUGCAAGUCUAAGGAAAGAAAUUUGUGGGAUCAAGCAGCAUCCAGGGAAGUCACUUUAUGAGUAUUGGGAACGGUAUAAGAACUUGUUGCGCAGGUGCCCCCAACACCAAAUAAGUGAGCAAUUGAUCAUACAGUAUUUUUAUGAGGGGCUCCUUUUUAGAGACAGGAGCAUCAUUGAUGCCAGGGGGGAGGGUUGGGAUGGGUGGUACGGGGGGAGGGAGUGUAAGCAAGAGGUCUCGGGUUCGAGUCCUCCCGCUUACACACAAAAAAAAAGAUGCUGCAAGUGGAGGGGCACUGGUAAACAAAACCCCUCAGGAAGCACGGGAGUUAAUAGAGGGGAUGGCAGAGAAUUCACAACAAUUCAGUACAAGAGAGGAUGUCCCAAUACGUAAGGUGAAUGAGGUAGAGACACCCUCUAUGCAGCAGCAGCUAACUGAGUUGACCGCGUUUGUUAGGCAACUGGCUGUGAGAAAUGCAUCACAAGCCAGGGUGUGCGGGAUUUGCACUGGUAUGGGUCAUUCUGCAGACAUGUGCCCAAUGAUUCAGGAAGAAACUGCAGAACAGGUGAACAUGGCUGACCACGCGCCCGCGCCAAGGAAGCAGUACGACCCUUACUCAAGCACCUACAACCCCGGGUGGAGAGAUCAUCCCAACCUCAGUUAUGGAGAAAAUAGGCAGCCCAACAUUACACCGAACAGGCAGUCUAACUUUGUGCCAAAUAGGCCACCAGGGUACCAGCAGCAAUAUCAACCCCGACCACCUCCGUCCCCAAGCUCUGGCCCAUCUUUGGAGGAGAUGAUGAAACAAAUGAUGACAACUAUGGCUCAAAAUCAGCAAAUGACGGAGGCAACCAUUAUGCAAAAUCAGCAAAGGACGGACUCCGAAAUGAAGGAUAUAAGGAAUCAGAUAAGUCAAAUGGUCACAACAAUCAACCGUUUGGAUUCCCAGAACCAAGGUAAAUUGCCAUUUCAGCCCGAAUUAAAUUCGAAGAACGUGAGCGCAAUGACCCUAAGGAGCGGGAAAGAAAUUCAGGGGUCUGAACCUGUGAUCCCUAAGGAUAAGGAUGAGGAAAAGAUCGAAAAUGAGCUUGAAAGGGAGGACAGCAAUGGUGCAGAUCUAAAGGUACUUCCUGACCCAAUAAUUACAGCUAAAACUAACCCGCCUCCUUUUCCUAGCAGGUUGGAAAAAUCGAAAAAAGAGGAUAAGGAGAAGGAGAUCUUGGAGGUUUUUCGCAAGGUUGAGAUAAAUAUCCCCCUCUUAGACGCAAUCAGACAAGUACCAAAAUAUGCCAAGUUCCUAAGGGACUUGUGUGUCAACCGAAGGCAGUUGAGGGAAGAUGAACGGGUUAUUGUUGGGGAGAAUGUGUCAGCAGUCCUGCAGAGAAAGCUCCCACCAAAGUGCGGGGACCCAGGUAUGUUUACUAUUCCCUGUAGGAUAGGUAAUACUGUGAUAGAAGGGCCAUGUUGGAUCUGGGAGCAUCAAUUAAUCUCAUACCUAAAUCUAUCUAUGCUUCUCUAAAAUUAGGUCCAUUAAAAGAAACUGGAAUAAUCAUUCAAUUAGUUGACCGAACUAAUGCAUAUCCUGAUGGGUUGGUUGAAGAUGUGUUGGUAAAAGUUAAUGAUUUGAUGUUUCCAGCUGAUUUUUAUGUACUUGAUAUGGAUGAUGAUCACUCCCCUGAUCCCUCACCUCUGUUAUUGGGUAGACCCUUUAUGAGCACAGCACAGACGAAAAUUGAUGUUAAUAAGGGUAUCUUGUUCAUGGAGUUUGAUGGGAAAAUUGUGCAUUUCAAUAUCUUUGAUACUAUGAAAUAUCCCUCAAACUCCAACUUUAGCACAGUUUUCUCUGUGAGUGCUAUUGACCCUGUAGUGCAGGAAGUGUUUGAAACUGAUGGCAGGGAUGAGUUGGAGGUGGCUUUGACCAAGCACCUCGAGUUGGAGACAACUCCUGAGGUGGAAUGGAGCGAGGACCUAAAAUGCACAAUAGGUGCAUUACACUCAUUGCAGUCCACCACGAAAAGGUAUGAAGUCUUACCUAUUUUUACUCCCGAACCUCACCAGAGGGUGUUGCCAUCUGUGGUGCAGGCACCUGUACUAGAAUUUAAACCUCUAUCAGAGCACCUGAAAUAUGCAUAUCUGGGUGAUAAUGAGACACUCCCGGUGAUUAUCUCAUCGACACUGUCAAAAAUCCAGGAGGAGAAACUGAUCCGGGUCCUUAGAGAGCAUAAAGAGGCGAUAGGUUGGACAAUCGCAGAUAUUAAGGGGAUCAGCUCGGCCAUCUGUAUGCACCGGAUUAGACUAGAAGAGGAUGCCAAACCUGUUAGGCAGGCUCAAAGGAGGCUCAACCCCCUAAUGAUGGAAGUUGUAAAGAAAGAAAUUUUAAAAUUGCUAGAUGUGGGGAUUAUUUUUGCAAUAUCAGAUAGCCCUUGGGUAAGCCCGAUCCAGGUAGUCCCAAAGAAGGCAGGGGUGACGGUGGAGGCAAACCAAACGGGUGAGCUCGUGCCAGUGCGCAAACCCACUGGAUGGAGGCAGUGUAUAGACUACCGUAGGCUAAACGCCGUCACCAAAAAGGACCAUUUCCCUCUCCCUUUCAUUGACCAAAUGGUUGAACGUUUAGCUUGUAGAGCUUAUUAUUGCUUUUUGGAUGGAUUUUCAGGAUACUUUCAGAUAGCAAUUGCUCCAGAGGAUCAAGAGAAGACAACCUUCACGUGCCCGUUCGGGACCUUUGCUUAUAGACGAAUGCCAUUUGCGUUGUGCAAUGCACCUGCAACAUUCCAGAGGUGUAUGGUAAGUAUUUUUUCUGAAUAUGUGGAGAAAAUUAUUGAAGUUUUCAUGGACGAUUUCAGUGUGUAUGGUGAUAGUUUUGAUACGUGUUUAGAUAAUCUGAAAUUGAUCCUGAUAAGGUGUAUAGAGACUAAUCUUGUGCUUAAUUGGGAAAAAUGUCAUUUUAUGGUUGAGCACGGGAUAGUCCUGGGUCAUAUUGUAUCGUCUAAGGGCAUAGAAGUUGACAAGGCUAAAAUAGAUAUUAUUUUUGCAUUACCUUACCUCGCGAGUGUGCGGAAGGUGCGUUCUUUUCUUGGACAUGCAGGUUUUUAUCGAAUGUUCAUCAAGGAUUUUUCAAAAAUUGGAGCCCCGUUAUUCCAACUCCUACAAAAGGAUGUGACCUUCGAAUUCGAUGAUAAGUGUGAGGAAGCCUUCAACAAGUUGAAAGAAUUGUUGACCUCACCCCCAAUUAUCCAGCCCCCUGAUUGGAGUCUACCAUUUGAGAUCAUGUGCGAUGCCAGUGAUCAUGCCGUAGGGGCUGUAUUGGGGCAAAGAGUAGGGAAGGCAGCUCACGUCAUCUACUAUGCAUCCCGAGCAUUGAAUGGAGCCCAAUUGAAUUACUCCACUACUGAAAAGAAGCUUCUUGCAGUUAUUUUUGCUUUAGAAAAAUUCAGGUCAUAUUUGCUAGGUGCUAAAGUAAUUGUAUUUUCUGACCAUGCAGCAUUAAGGUACCUAAUGACCAAGAAAGAUGCCAAACUGAGGCUCAUUAGGUGGAUAUUGCUACUGCAGGAAUUUGACCUGGAGAUACGGGAUAAAAGGGGCUCAGAGAAUUUAGUAGCUGACCAUCUGAGUCGUAUACCCGUUGGAGAGGAUAAUGAACCAUUGAGGGAUGCGUUCCCUGAAGAGCACUUAUUUUCUUUAAAUUCUCAGUUGCCUUUGUAUGCCGAUCUGGUCAAUUAUUUGGUAACUGGUAAUUUUCCUGCAGGUUGACCAAAAUCGAAGAGGGAUAAAUUGAAGAGCGACGCCAAGUAUUUUAUUUGGGACGACCCGUACCUAUGGAAGAGGUGUGCAGAUCAAGUGAUGCGGAGAUGUGUAAGUGAAAUGGAAUUUCAAUCGAUUUUAGCUUUUUGUCAUACUUUUGCCUGUGGAGGUCAUUUGGACCCAAGAGAACUGCUCAUAAGGUUUUAGAAAGUGGAUUUUAUUGGCCUUCAUUGUUUAAGGAUGCCUAUGUGUUUUGUAAGUCAUGUGAUCGCUGUCAAAGGGUAGGUAAUAUACCCCGUAGAGAUCAAAUGCCCCAAGUCCCGUUGAUUUUUAUUGAAAUUUUUGAUGUCUGGGGUAUAGAUUUCAUGGGGUCUUUUCCUACUUCAUUUGGUUUUUUAUAUAUUUUGCUGGCAGUUGAUUAUGUGUCUAAAUGGGUGGAGGCUAAGGCCACUCGAACUAAUGACUCGAAAGUAGUUGCAAAUUUUGUCAGGUCUAAUAUUUUUGUGCGAUUUGGAAUGCCUAGUGCUAUUGUCAGUGAUAGGGGAACGCACUUUUGCAACAAAAUCAUAGCUGCGUUGUUUCGCAAGUAUGGUGUACUCCAAUGGGUCUCAACGUCGUACCACCCUCAGACCAAUGGUCAAGCGGAGGUGUCGAAUCGAGAGAUCAAGUCUAUCUUGGAGAAAAUGGUGCGCCCCGAUAGGAAAGACUCGAGUCAAAGGCUGGAGGACGCACUUUGGGCCUAUCGGACGGCGUACAAGACUCCUAUAGGGAUGUCACCGUACAGGUUGGUAUUUGGGAAGCCGUGUCACCUUCCAGUGGAGUUUGAGCACAAAGCUUUUUGGGCGAUAAAGUAAUGCAACAUGAAUUUAGAGGAAGCCGGUGCCCAACGAAAGUUGGAUUUGCAAGAAUUAGAAGAGAUCCGGAACGAGGCUUACGAAAAUGCACUAAUUUAUAAGGAGAGAAGCCGGAUAUUUCAUGAUCAACAAAUUUCAAGAAAAUCCUUUGAAGUUGGUCAGAAGGUCCUACUAUACCAAUCCAGGCUCAAGCUAUUCCCAGGUAAACUACGUUCCCGUUGGAUUGGACCUUUUCUUGUUACUCAUGUUUUUCCAUAUGGUGCAGUUGAAAUCCGGAGCGCUAAAACAGACAACAAAUUUGUGGUGAAUGGACACCGUCUCAAGCAUUACUACGAAGGAUUUUCAGGUGAAAAGGUGGAGACAAUAAGUCUAGACGCGCCACCGUGUCCUAAUCAGUGACAUUUUACUAUGUCUAGCCAAAGACAUUAAAGACAGGCGCUCAUUGGGAGGCAACCCAAUUGUCCCUUUUAAUUAUUUGUUUGAUUUCGUGUGAUAGUUUAAAUAUGUUUUCCUUGAAUUCGACUGAUUUUGGGUUUCAGUUUUCGUUUUUGCUGAAUUGUAGGUGACCUUCAGUCUUGACGCGCCCGCGUGAUGACAUGCAGGAAGCUCACGAUCAGAAUCGUCUGAAAGCUCUCUUGCCCUUUUGACGCACCCGCGUGAUGACGUGCAGGAAGCUCACGAUCAGAAUCGUCUGAAAGCUCUCUUGCCCUCUUGACGUGCCCGCGUCACGUUCGCAGGAAAGGUACGGGUUUCAAAAAUUUAAAGAAAAAAUAAUAAUAAUAAUAAUUUAAAAUUUUGAAAUUAACUUCCGUAAAAAAAAAAAAGAAGAAAAAAAAUUUCACCGUGGCUUAAAUAGAGCCUAAAGAAGAGAAAAAAGAAACAAUUUCUUUCUUUUUUUUUUCUUUUUCUUCUUUCUUCCUUCUUUCUUUCUUUCUUCUUUCUCUUUUCCCUCUCUCUUCUCCCCUGUUUCUUCUCCCCUGUCCGUCGCCCGUGCGCCCCAUCGCUGCUCCACCUCCACACGCACGCCGACGCUGCGAGCCACCUGCGACCCCAGCGCCAGAUCUGGACCAUCGCCGAAACCCGCAGCCUCCGCCACCUCCACCUGAGCUCUGCCUCGCGCGCAACCCAGCUGCUCUGCGCCCGAAGCUCCACCGCCGCCACAGCCUCCCCACGCAGCUCCCUGCUCACGCGGCCACAAGCCCAUUGGAAACGGGACAGAGACUGCCGCCGAGCCACUUGCCCGCGUGACCGCCGCUGUUUUCCACCACCUCCCUCACGCGAGCUCUUUCCCUCUCAGCAGCAAUCCACUUCACAGCGCACCCGCUGCGCGCCGUCGCAGCCCUCGCAGCUCCAGCCCGUCUGGUCUAGUCCGCCGCGCGCACCAACCACCCACGGACGCUACCCCCAUCGCUAACCCACGCGGCCUCCACUCCAGUCUGUCCGCCGCCGCUGCUCGUGUCUCCCUUGCGCACCUCACGCCACCCGCUACUGUCCCCUUCCGUUUGGUUAGCAUCCACGGUGGAGGUAAUUGGAGGUUAUUUUCUCAAUUGUGUGACUUCCGCCUGUGAUACUGGUUGCAUUAUUUUUGCUGGGAAUUGCUACUUCUUUUGGGUUGGGUUCAACUGUGCAAUUAAUUGGCCAACUGGAGCCAUUUGUUGGGAUUUUGGGUGAGCUGAAAUACUGCAUUUGUGUGUUACAUUGGGAGGUUUAUUGGGUACAUUCUAACCGCUGUUUUCCAUUGUUACUCUCGCUGGGGUGUCUAUUAAAUUGCGAUUGAAGUAUUUUGGAUAUUGCAUGUUGAGAUUGAGGUUUCAUUGAAUUUGGCCUACGUUCUGCCCCCAGUGGUACUGGUGGGAAUAUUUUCAAUUGAAUUUGUUACCUCUAGUUGGUUGGCUACAUUAUUAUGGUCGAAUUCCUAAGUUGUCGUCAUUGCAUUUGUUGAUCUUGAUUUGGGGCAUUAACCGGCCAACUGGAGCCAUCUGUGCGUUUUUAGGCGCUAUUAUUGGUUUCUUCUCCCUUAACUUUGUCAACUAUAUUUGGUUGGGUAUUUGGUUGACUGCCACGGACUUGUAACUGUGUUUUGCUUCUAAUUGACCAGUUGCACAGCAGUUUUUUUUUAAUUGAUAGGGUGGUUAUACCUCUGGAUAUUUGUAUCCACUGGUUUGAGGACAUGGUGAGACCAAAAUCCUCCUCUAGGUCUAGGACCCCUAGAACCUCGCAAUCCCAACCCCAAGCCUCUACUCUAGUCAAUACCCCUAUAAAUCAACCUACUGCUCCCGGUGUCCGAACCUGGUUAGGUAGGGGUAGAGGUGCCCACGUGGCUUCCGCCACUCACUUGGGAGGGCAUUUGGAAUUCACUAGAGCCGCCGAUCAGCGACGCUAUGCUCAAGCUUGUGAGCGGCGUAUCAUUCCGUGCAAAUGCGCGGACCACAUUACUAUGGUUUUUCUGGGGAUCCAAGGGGAGGUUGAGCGCAUGUACACCGCCAUUGGAUGGCGCCCCUAUCUGGAUAUUUUCCAGCCAGCCUUUGUCGAGUUGACUAGAGAGUUUUACACCACUUUUAAGUUUGAAUUACCGACUAGGUAUACUGUUGCGACUCCCGAUAUCAUUCACUUCCGUCUCAUGGGCCAGGAAUUCAAUUUCUCUAUCACCCAGUUCAAUCUGGCUUUCGGUUUCAUCACUCGGGAGUAUGCAGAGACUAGGGAAUACGGUGAGAGUGCCUGCGAUUUUGUGGAACCUUUCCUUACCGCCUACCGUGAGGUGUGGGAGGACAUGUCUGUGGACAUGCAGCGUUACGAUCCCUCUCGGUCUCGGAGCUCCUUUCUAGAGGACCCGAGUGCUCGGUAUGUUCAGCGGCUUUUAGCAUAUAGCUACUCGGGCAGAAAGAACAGCUUCGGUAUUAUCUCUCGGCCGGAGCUCUUCUUCCUUUGGUGUAUGAAGAAUGGGUUCAAGGUCAAUUUGGGUUGUUGGUUGGCGGCACAGUUCAAGACCGUCAUGGCAAAGAAGAACAAGCCGUUGAUUCUUGGGUCGUAUAUCACGUACUUGGCGGUCCAGCUAGGCGUUCUGAAUCUACAGGAUCACGAUUUGCACUUGGCCUGCGACAUGGAGUAUCUCACUGCUGACCGGCUAGAGAAGAUGGGGGUUCUGGAGCUUGUCGAUGGCCACUACCGAUUUGUGCCCCCGGGACCGCCCCGCGCCCCGCCUCGCUCUUCCUCCACCCAUUCGGCCCCAGUUGGCGGUGAUCCUGGCCCGUCGACAUCCGCUCAGCUCCCUCCACCAGCAGGGGCUGAAGAUUGGCACCAAAUCAGGACGCAGAUUCAGAAUUUGGACGCCCGGAUGAUUAGCAUCGAGAGCAACGUGGCGGCUAUAUCACAGAAUCUGGCGGCAUUCCUGCAGCACUCGGGUUUCCCGCCCCCAAUCCCACCUCACCCUCCACUAUGACCCGGUUUCAGGGAAGUUUGGUUACUUUCUCCCUCACUUUUGUUGUUUUUUGACACAUUGAGGACAAUGUGUCCUAUAGGUGUGGGGGGGUCUAUAGUCUUUCUAGUUUUUAGUAGUUGUUAGUUUUUAGUUUUUUAGUAGUUUUAGUUUUAUUUCUAGUUGCGUAUUUUCUUUCUUUUCUUAGUGCUUAUUCCCCAUGUGAAAAGAAAAAGAAAACAAAAAAAAAGAGAAAAAAAUGUUGGUUUAUUGACUCUAACUCUACUUUUGCCAAGUUUUUUUUAAAUAAAAAUGUAUCGGGUUAAUGUGGUUGGAUCCAGAAUAUCUCCCUGGUGAAUAUCGGAUUGCUUGGCUCUUUUGAUUUCUGUGUUAAUUUCUCUAGGCAUAGGGAAUGACUGUUGGCAUUUUAAUGUGAACUGGUCCAAUAUUGACUCCAGUUCUCUAUGUUUGGCAAUAAUGAGGCGAGCUGUUCCUAUUUUUGGUUCUUAGUGUUGUUAUUAUGUGUUUUUGGCUUUGUUUGGCUGUGAAUAAUCUGGACUGUACUCCGCUAUGAGUUACUACUGAGUAACCGAGGAUCGGCACCUAAAAGUGUCGAUUCUCGCGUCAAAAGGUGGUACUUUAUAUGAGUACGUGGUCGUAUAGCAGUAGGAGCUGAGUAACCGGGCUCCUUCAUCUAAAAAUGUUGGAGUUCGCGUCAAAAGGCCCCGACGGCUAACGACUAAGUCUUUUUGUGUUAAUUAUUAUUGCUUUGAAAAACAAAAAAAAAAAAGAACGAAAAAAGAGAGAAUAAAUAAUAGGAAGGCUUGCCGGUUUAUGGACUUAAUAUGGAGACUUGUGUGAAUAUUUGGACCAUUAGCUAAUAAAUGUUGUGCGCCAUUCCCUUUUCUUAGAGUAGUUAACCUGGAAAUUGAAGGAAUUUGCAGUUUAGGGGCUAACCGGGGGGGAGGCUUCUUGGAUUUUAAUCACCAAUGCUCGAUAUAUGUUUUUCUCUUGAAGAUCUUGGCAAUAUAGGAGAUUGGACAAUGGCCAUCAUCGAAUUUUGGUGUUCGUUUACUAUUCUUAUGCUUGAGGACAAGCAUGGUUUAGGUGUAGGGGGAAUUGAUAGGGUGUAAUUUUACUAUUUAUUUUAUUAUUAAUUUCUCCUAUCACCUGACCUGAUGUGGAUUAAUUGCUGGAUUCUGCUCACUUUUAGUACUUUGUAUUUAUUUCAGGGAGUAGAACGGAAAUUUGAUAACAGGUGCUAAUUUGGCAGAAAAAAGUCCAGAUGAUAGAGCUUGCCCCAAGGGCAUUUUUGGAAAGGAGAACUUGUGCCCAUCUUGGUAAUUUGGGAGAAAAGGGAAACAGACAAAAUGGGUCUAACAUGGAUUGGAAGCGGCCGCACAGUAGCAGGGAAGAGGGCAGACGUAAAAGCAAUUGCAGGGGGGAAAAGGAGUUUUUUUAGUUUUUAGCUUAGCAUCUGAUUUUCCCUGGGAGACUUUUGUUAAAGAUUUCCUUUUGGCUGAUAUUACGCAUGGCAGAUGGCUUUUAACUUAUUCCUCCAUCUUUGACUUUUCUUCUUUAGCUUGUAGUAGUGGAUUGCUACUUACGAAUGUCAGCACUUAGCCAUUCGUGGCUUUUGAUCUUUUCUUCCUUAGAAAUUCUGAGUAGCCUCUUUUCCUUUGUGCGCCAGACGAAGUGAAAACUAUAAACUUUUGUAGUGUUUCUAUUCAUUCAAUAUAUUGAGACGAGUUGGAUUCUACCAAAUUUCAAUGGACAUGGCCGCUGGUUUCUCUUCAAUUUUAUAUGGGCUUUGUUCAUCGAACAUGAACUAAUUUCACCACUCUAGUCAAGGAACAACGAAGACUCUGGUUCGCCUAAAAAUUGUGAGAUCGUUUUAAUUUAAUCUUUUCCUUUUAUUUAUUGGUAUCCGCACAUUUCUUGAUUGCUAUGCUUAUGGUUAUUUAAUUAAUUGAUUGUCUUGGAUCCAGAUAAUUAAUUGAUCUGAUAGCCUAUUGUCAAUUAGGGCAUUUAAAUCCGUAAUUGUUUAAUUGUCCUGAAAUAGUGACAACUGGCACGAUUAGAUUCGUGCCAGGGGGGAUAUGCGGGCUAAUCUAAAAUAACCCUGGUAGUGUGUUAUUUGGUUAGAAUAGGGCUCCUCUAAUAUGUAAGGCAAUUGGGGAAUUAAAUUCUACGGGCGUACCUAGAAUUAUUUCUUAAUUAGAGUAGUGAUUAACGGGCGUACCUUGAUCACCGACACAGUAAGGAGGGGUUGACUGCCAUCGCUUGUUUGGCAGUUAUAACAUAUUUAUCAGUAAAUAAUUGGGAUUGCCUUGCAUCAAUGAUCAAUUAGAUGAACUAUUGCUGAAGUUACUUCUUGGCUAGAUCUUUAGUUAAUAUUACCUUGAUUUUGGUGAAUUGCCAUUUGAUUUUUAGUUGCCUACUUUAUUUUAUUUUUAAUUGUUUCCUUGCUUUAAUUGAGUUAGGCCUUUAAUUAUUGUUAUUCUAAGUUUAGUGAAUUGUGGUUUAAUUCCUAAUUAGUUAUUUAUUUUUACUUUCUUAUUUGAAUUUAUUUGCUUGUUAUCAUUCCUACGAAAUCACCCCCCUGUGUUACUUUGGAUUUCUUAAGAAACAAAUAUACCCAGUCCCUGUGGAUACGACCCUACUUGCCCUGUCCACGAAUUCAUAAUUAUUUGUGAAAAGAAAUAACCAUUCCACUCGGGUAUAUCGGAUCAAGCAAACUCUUCGGGAACAGGGUGAAUCAAGUAACCCAUUGCACACCUAAAAUCCCUGCUCCAGUACUUGGAAUUGGGUUUUGGUCAUUUUAACUGGCAAUUAAGUUUAAUUUUAUUAUUGCACAGGCUGACGACCCUGUCAUUGUAUUUGUACCAAAAGUGAAAACUUAACUAUUUUAGUUGUAUUUAUUUCAUCAUGUUGGAUUGUAUUCAAAUAAUUUUUGUUUGAUUGUUUUUAUAAGUUUCAAUUGUAAAAUUAAAAUGAAUAAUAACUUGAUGAUGUGUUGAUAUUUUAGUACUUGAUUAUUUAUUAAAAUUUAAUUAUAAUAAAAUUUUAUUAACUCAACGAGAAAAAUUUUAUUAAUCCCGUGGGGGCACCCGCGGGGAAAGCGGGGCGGGGCGAGGGGAGUGGGAGGCGGAGGACGGGGCGGGGGCGGGGGAUGGGGGAGGGGUCCCCCGCCCCAACCCCGCCAUCCCCCGUCCCGUUGUCAUCCCUAGUAAUAGACUGGCAAGCAUUGUGGUGGUCAUUGAGCAACUUAUAGGAGAAAUAGUCCUAUAAGCUGUUCAAUGACCAAUCACAACUUGCUAAUUGGAUGACUAAUAUAGCUCUAGCUGUAAUGUUUUAAUUAAAUUACAUCACUAACGUUGGGAUGACUUUUUAACCAAAAAAAAAAAGCCUUAGUUCAAGCUUUUCCCUUUAUUGUGCAUUUUUUAAAGCAUUUGAAAGGCACUGCAAAUCUGUCAUUUUGGACAUUUUAUUAUUGACUAACAAUGAAAGCCGUGGACGUCUACCCAUAACCAACACAAGAUUAAAUUAAUAUUAGAAAAAAUAAUUGAGUAAUUGGAAAAAAAAAAAAAAGAAGAGUCUAAUUUUCAUUGAAACCCACCGACAAACUAUACGUGUCCAUGGCUUUUGAAUAGUGCAUUCAACGUUUAAUUGUAUGGUCCAGUUCAUUGCAGAUUACAUGGAGUAAAGAUUGCGCUCUUUCCUUUUCACCCCUUUUGGAAUCGAUACUGUGGAGAAUUGGGUUUUUCCCUCCUUUUUUUCUUUUCUUUCCUUCUGUGGUUUGCAAAACAUACGUAAAAAUAUGAAAUCCGAAGCAUUCUUUAAUUGGUAUUAAGUAUUGUUGUUGAAAUUAAAAAGAAAAAAGAAAGAACAACAAAAUUCCCAAUCUGGGUUGAUUGUUGAGCUCUAGAUUGGUUGCAUCGUGCUUCCAUAGAAGCAAGAUUUGUAAAAUCGGAAUCCUACAUAGGAUCGAUUUUAGUUUCACAGGAUCGGAUUGUAAAAUCGUAAGAUCCUACCAAAAGCUCUCAAUUGCAAUUAAAGGUUGCAAUUCUUUAAUAAAUUACAAAUAUACCACAAAUAUUUUCAUUUACUUGCAAAAUGGAGCUUCGUAUUUCACAAAUUUACAAAAAAAUUGUAGGAUCGUACGAUCCUACCGAUCCUACGAUCCUACACGAUCCUACCGAUCCUGCUACGAUUCUAUGCGAUCCUACAAAGAUUAAUAUGAUUUGCGACUCUGCAUACGAUCCGGAUCGAUUUUGGUUAUCCGGAUCGUAGGAUCGUAUGAUCCUACGAUCCGGAUCGCGAUUUUGACAACUAUGCAUAGAAGCUCUCUUAGUGUGAUACACUGCUUUCAAUCAGUUUAACACGGGAAAAAAAAAAAGAGAUGAAAAGCAAAUUUGGUGGAGAUAAUUUCAGAAACCUCCCCUGAAGAUUUUGACUAUUCUACUGGUUUCCCUUCAGAUUUUAAAAAUUACACUAAUCUUCCUUGAAGUUAAUUAUCUUGUAACAUUUAAAUUCAAUCAAUAAUUUAAAAAAUGAUAUUAUGAGAGAGAAAAUAAUAUGAUUUUAUCAUUGCCCCCCAUCUUACUACAUUAUUUAAUUAAUUUAAUAGCAACCCACACAUUAAAGAAAAAUAUUAAAAUUUGUUGUUUAUCAUUAAAGAUCAAAUCGCUUAUAACAUCAAAUAAUAGUAUAUUAUUUAUAUUUUUCACUUAAUAUAAUAUCCAAAUUACUCUUUUCAAUUACAUACCCAUUGUUAGAGAAUCAACAACAAAUAACCAAAAAAUUUGCAACCAAAAUAUUACAAAAAAAAUAAACUUUAACAUCAUAAAUAUUCUUAUCAACAUAUUAAAGUUAGUUACUGAAAUUUUUAUGCUGUUAAACUUCACUCUUUUUGAAUACAGAUUUUUUUGAUUAUUUGUUAUUAAUUAUGUUUGAUGAUGGGUUUAUAAUUGAAAAGAACAAUUUGAAACUUACAUUAAGUAAAAUAUAUAGAGUGAUAUACUAUUUUUUAUAACAUAUGUGAUUCAAUCCUUCUUGAUAGGAUUGGUAAUAGAGGUAGAGGGGGGAGUCGGCUGCAUCCGGUCUUCUUUUCAUAGAUAGUACAAUAUUGCGAAAUCAAUCGCAUUCACACAAUAAUAUUUCGAAGUCAAUGCAUGGCUAAGUUGCAUAAAAGUACGAACACUUGUUAUUAUAUAGCUUAAGAUUCAAAACUUUCGAGCAUAACCCUCCACCCAACACAAUUGAAUAAUGAAUAUUCACGAUUGUCAAAUCUGUCAAAGCACAGUUUGAGGACAACCCAUUCCAACCUGCAAAAGAUUUUUUACUUUUCUAAAGUUGUUGAGAGCUGUAAAAAGACUUACCAUGCUUGCAUCCUCCGAGCCUUGGGAGUUAAAAAUGAAGGCACUGAGUGCUAUAAAAAGGGGAAUAGAGGCUGCCUAGAAGCAUAUCAGCCUAAAACAAGAAUUUGUAGUUAAGAUGGGAAGCAAAGCAAAAGCAAUGGGGUCUGGGCUGACUCCUCUUCUUGCCACUGUUUUAGUGGUGUUUGUUGCUCUUGGCUUGCCCUCACAAACUGCAGCUGAUGAUCACUACAAGUAUUCAUCUCCUCCUCCUCCUUACCACUAUCCCUCACCACCACCACCAGUGCAUAUACCUCCACCUCAUCCUGUUUACAAGUACAAAUCUCCACCACCCCCACCACCACACCCAGUUUACAAGUAUAAGUCACCACCACCACCUCCUCAUCCGGUAUACAAGUAUAAGUCUCCUCCGCCACCACCACACCCAGUUUACAAGUACAAGUCACCACCACCACCUCCUCAUCCGGUACCACACCCAGUUUACAAGUAUAAGUCACCUCCACCACCUCCUCAUCCGGUACCCACAGUUUACAAGUAUAAGUCACCACCACCACCUCCUCAUCCGGUAUACAAGUAUAAGUCUCCUCCGCCACCACCACACCCAGUUUACAAGUAUAAGUCACCACCACCACCUCCUCAUCCGGUGCCACACCCAGUUUACCACUACAAGUCACCACCACCACCUCCUCAUCCGGUACCACACCCAGUUUACCACUACAAGUCACCACCACCUCCUCACCCAGUUUACAAAUACGAGUCUCCACCACCACCAGUUUAUAAGUACAAGUCACCACCACCUCCUCCACCAGUUUACAAGUAUAAAUCUCCUCCACCACCACCACCAGUUUACCACUACAAGUCUCCACCACCUCCUCCCCCAGUUUACAAAUACAAGUCUCCACCACCUCCUCACCACUACUAAGCAAUUGCUUCUGAGGUAAUAACACUUGUUCAAUAUACCCACUUCUGCAUGAUAAAGCAUAUCUCUAUCAACACAAACUGUCAUGUCUAUCAUGCUAAGUGCCUUCACUUCAUCCACCAAAAUGACUGCUAGAAAAUUUUUUUUAUGUUACCAAAGAAAGGCAUCAUUUUUUCCCUCUGUUAUCAAGAACUUGUACAGUAUAUAGAUUAAAGAGUAUUUUUUUAACUAGCUUAUCAACUGAGAAAUGCAUAUAGCUGAUAGCCAGCUGAAUAUUUGCAGGCAAAGGAGAAGGAAACCAUGUUUGAGACCUUCUUGAAGAUGUAGAAGCAUAAGAAUAAAAGCCCAAUGUGAAGAUGAUGAUUUCAAGUUUUUCUACGUUACCAUUUCUUUAUCUAAAUUGGUUGUAGCGCCCAAGUUCCUUUGUUUAUGGGAUUUGUAUCGUUUUACGUACCAUGCAGUACAUGUCAUGUUUGUAAGGUUUUCUAUCCUGCCGGCAAACCGCAGGUUCCAUGUGAUAAAUGAAUACUAUUUAUGUUACGACACUUUUCUCUGUUUCUCUUAUAUUUUGUCUUUAAUAUUCUUAAUCAUAUUUUUAACAAAAAUAUUCAAACACUUAGGCAAUCUGGUCUAAUGCUAAUUGUAUGUUUUACUUUUCUUUUUCACCUGCUCCCCUUUUCAACUCAAAAGGAUGCAAUAGUUUGUGAUCACUGUUUAAGACGGAAGCAUGAUACUAAUGAAUAUCUCAUUGAAACUCAAGGAAACUAACAUUGCGAAAAGUGUAAAUCUUGAUUUGAUGCAACUAUUUAUUCGUGGAAUCUAUAGUUACAAAACUCAAAUUCUGACUGCGCCAUUGAUAAAUUAUUAAUGACGCUAUCAUCAUUAUUUAUCCCUAACUAGUUUCGACUACAACUGAACCCAAUAUUUUCCCCAUGAUAAAAGUUUUUGACUAUUUUACUGGCCUCUCUUCAAAUUUUAAAAAUUACACUAAUCUUCAUUGAGAUUAAUUAUCUUGUAACAUUUAAGUCCAAUUAAUAAUUAAAAAAUGAUAUUAUGAGAGAGAAAAUAAUAUAAUUUUAUCAUUGCCCCCCAUCUUGCUAUAUUAUUUAAUUAAUUUAAUAGCAACCCACACAUUAAAGAAAAAUACUAAAAUUUGCUGCUUUUCAUUAAAGAUCAAAUUGCAUAUGCCAUAAAACAUAGUAUAUCAUUCUAUAUGUUUCACUUAAUGUAAGAUCCCAAUUGUUCUUUUCAAUUACAAACCCAUUGUCAAACAUGAUCAAUAACAAAUAAUCAAAAAAUUUGCAACCAAAAUAUUACAAAAAAAAACUUUAACAUCAUAAAUAUUCUUACCACCUCUAGUGCAUUCACCCUCAUAAAAUAAUUCAAGACCCUACUGUCAUAAAAUGACUGAUCAACUCCUGUAAACCUAAUUUGACAACAUUUAAAUGGAGAACUUUAGCUAAAAGAAUUAUGGUCAAGCUAAAGAAAAAACCAGUUAUUUUCCAACAUAUGCAACCAUUGAUCAGGGGAAAAAAAAAAGCAAAAAGACAUCUUCAAUCAUUUAAUAGCUUACAGGGCAAAUUAACCCUUGAGUGAAAACUGGUUGCUCUAGAAUUAAAAUUUUACCUUAGUUACCCAGGCAACUUUUUUGUUGCCUUUUCUUUUUCUUUUUUGGGUAUAUAGCUCCAGUUUUGCCCCCUCUGUCAAGCUUAUAUAAUUAUUAAGAUAAUAAAAGUGCCUUUAAUAGUAUUAAUAUAUCCAUUGACUUGAGCUGUCAUCGAUCGGUUUGGGCUACUUCGAUUCCAUGAGAACAAAUGGUAAUAAAAGUACUCAGAAAAUGGGGAGUCAUGAAACCCUUUUGUUCUAUUCAUUGCUAAGAUGCUUUUCUCUAUAAAGAGACUUCCUAACGAAAAUACUUUGUAGAUUUCUUUACUCCAAGUGGUGCAUGGAAAAUUAAUAUUUUCAAUUAUCAAAUAAAAUUCCCUUUUUUCGGCGUAGAUUUCAUCCAUCCAGCUGUUAACACAUUCUAUAAAUCCGAAUUGACUAAUCUUUUCGUUUCCAUUUUCCAACUUGCGAAUACGGCAUAUAGUGUCUGCUAAACACUAUAUAUUCUCUGCCAAAUAUGAAUACAUAUCACUUUUCUGAGCAAGUGCAGAGUCAUUAUCAUUUUUAUUCCCACCUAACAAAUUAGGGAUAAAAAAGUUAAUAAUCUUUACAUGCUAUCAGGUCACAAGUUAAUAAUCUUUUAAAGAACAUGUUAAAUUAAUUUAUUGGUAUGAAUAGUAGUCAAAGAAGUAUGUUAAAGUUAGUAAUCUUUAAAAUAAUAUGUUAAAAUCAUUCGUACAAAUUAGUCAGAGAAGUAGCAUAAACACCGCGAUGCAAUUAAUACUUUCAAUCUCAAGGUCUCUAUUAUGGAAAUUUGCAUCGGUCAAUAUACACUUGGCAUAAUAUAAUCUCCCAACUCAUUUCUUUACAAAUGCACCUUUAAUCACCACCAAAAGGUGUGGACAUGAUCUUUACCCUAGAAAACUAUUCACCGACAGGCAAAUUGACGUCAGAAAUACUGAGGAAUUCUAGUUUCCUUCGGGUUCAUGCCAUGUUGUAUCCUUCAACUGUAACUCGAUUUCUAAGCUGUAAUUUGUGACAUAAUAGUCCUUAAACUAUGAAACCCUUCUUACUUAAUUACAAUGGUUAAUACAAUGCCCGUGACUAGACAAGUAUGAAGCAACCAUAACAGAAAAAAAAUCCAAAAUUAGAGAAAAGAAAGAAGUUUCGCGACCACCACCAGUUUACAAGUCACCUCCACCACCUCCUCCAGUUUACAAGUCACCUCCACCACCUUACCAUUAUUCCUCACCACCACCUCCAGUGCAUUCACCCCCACCACCACCAGUUUACAAGUCUCCGCCACCACCUUACCAUUAUUCCUCACCACCACCUCCUGUGCAUGCACCUCCACCACCAAUUUACAAGUCACCUCCUCCAGUUUACAAGUCUCCACCACCACCUUACGAUUAUUCCUCACCACCACCUCCAGUGCAUUCACCCCCACCACCACCAAUUUAUAAGUCUCCCCCACCGCCUCCCCCAGUAUAUAAGUCACCACCACCACCUCCUCCAGUAUACAAAUCACCUCCACCACCUCCUCCAGUUGACAAAUCUCCACCACCACCAAUUUAUAAAUACAAGUCUCCUCCACUACCUCCUCCAGUGUACAAGUCAUCACCACCACCUGCUUACAAGUCUCCACCUCCUCCAGUUUACAGUUCCCCACCACCACCAAUCUACAAGUCUCCACCUCCACCCUACCAUUACUACUACAAUUCUCCUCCUCCUCCUCGUCACUACUAAGCAAUUGUAUCCAAGUUUUUGAGGUAAUAACGCUUAACCAAUAAAUUAACUUUCGCAUGAUAAACCUUAUCUCUAUCAAGACAAACUGCCAUGUGUAUCAUGCCAAAUACGUACACCUAGAUCCAUGAAAAUGAAUGGUAGAAAGUUUUCUUAAGAACCAAGAACAGCAUUAGUAUUCCCUCUGCUUCCAAAAACUUGUGUAUUAAAUAGAUUAAUGAAUUGUUUAACAUGCUCAUCUACUUGAAAAUGCACAAUACCCAUAACCCACUGAAAUUUUUGCAGGAAAAGGGAAAGAGAAUCUGUGUUUGAGAGCUUCAUGAAGAUGUUGAAGAAUAAGAAUAAAAGCCCAAUGCAAGGAUGUUUUCAAGUUUUUCUAUGUUUCCACUUUAAUUUGUAAAUUGAAUUUUGCGACUCAAUUAAUUCCCUGUUUGUGAGGUACGUAUUGUUUUACGUACCAUGCCGUACAUUUUUUUUUUCCAACAAACGGUAUCAUGUUAUAGAUAUUAACACUUGACCUUACAAGGAUUAGUUACAAAAAGGGGAUACUACCCUCAACUCUGUCCUAGCUAAAUCAGUCAGCCAUAUUGGGAAAUUAGUUUCCCAUUCAAUAUCAUGUACAAGCUUCACAGCAUAUUGUGCUAAUUGAUGGCUGAUGUGAUUUUCAGUUCUAGGUAUAAACACAAAAGAACAUUUUUCAAAAGCUAGACUAAGUUCCUGCACAUCUUCUAAGAUAGUUGCAGUCGUGUAGUCAUACUCCUUGCGUUUAGUAAUCUGCUCUACCACUGAUUUGCAGUCUGUAUGGACUAUAAUUUGUGUCCAACCUGCUUGGGUAGCCAUCAGCAGAGCAUUUCUCACAGCCCGAGCUUCCACUUCACUUGCCGAUCCCUUUCCCUGUGUGACAAUUCCUUUUGCUUUCAAAAGCUGUCCUUUCCAAUUUCUUGCUAUAAUCCCUUGUCCGGUCCUGACUCGUUUAGCUGAUAUCGCUGCAUCGGUAUACAGCCUUAUCUCUUCCUUCCUUGGCCGCACUCUCCUGGUAGGUAAGGCAUCAUUCAGCUUCCCUGCGAUCUCCUUCUGGUCUGUACUCCCUACCUGUUCAAACUCAAGCCAUUCCUCCUGUGCUUUCCUUACUAUUUUUACUGGAUCCUGGUUGGCUUGUUCAAAAAAUUUUUUGUUCCUGGCUUUCCAAAUUUGCCAAAGGAUAUUGAUAGUAAGACUAACUCUCUCCUGACCUUGGUUCAGUGCCAGCGAUUGUGUGACUUGUUCCCACCAUAACCAAAAGUUAUAUUGCAUACCCAGUAAUCCAUCCCACCUGACCGGUGCUAGCUUCCACGUUUCCACAGCCUUUUCACAGAAGAAAAACAAAUGCUCAAUAGUUUCCAUAUCUUCACCACAGCAACCACAUCUGCCUUCCCCUCUAUGUAGCCUUUUCGACAUCUGUUCAUUGACUGGCAGACAAUUUUGUAAGCACUUCCACAUGAAGUGUUUUAGUUUGGCCUUCACCUUCAAAUGCCAUAGCUGCUUCCACACAUUUCGUUUUCGUAUCUCCCAACUUGUUUCUGCCUCUUGGCCUGUCCUUGUACCUGCUUUUCCUUCCCGUUGCCUUGCUAAAGCAUAACCAGAUUUCACGCUAUAAAUUCCAGCUUUGGAAUGCCCCCAUACCAACCUAUCCUUUCUUCUUCCUAUACUUGUUGGAAUUCCCUUUAUGUGCUCUGCAUCUUUUGCACAAAACCACUUGAGAAGCAAAUCAUUUUUCCAUUUCCCUUCCUCUAUCAGCUCACUUACCCAUUCCAACUUGCAUCCCACAGGUUGUGUGGUUGAUGCAAAGCCGGUAUCUGAACCAACUAUCCAUCUGUCCCGCCACAUGUUGACUGACUUGCCAUCUCCAAUUCUUUUCCAAAGACCAUCAUACAGAAAGGAGGCUGCACUAUGAAUACUCUUCCAACACCAUGAGGCUGAAGAGACUGGCUUCUUGUCCAUCCAUUUUUCAUCACUCAUAUACUUCGCCUUCAUUACCUUACUUACUAACAAAUUUGGAGCCAUUAAGAAUCUCCAAAUUUGUUUUGCCAGUAAUGCUGUGUUGAAGGCCUCCAAAUCUCUAAAGCCUAAACCUCCUCUUCCCUUAACUUCUAAGAGCUUCUUCCAGCUUGCCCAAUGUACACAGGUACCCUUUUCUCCCUUCCCCCACCAGAAACUCGCUAUUUUACCUGUGAUUUGUCUACACAAACCCCUUGGAAGUCUAAAGCAAGCCAUCACAUAUGUUGGCAUAGCCAUAAUCACUGAUUUGACCAGAAUUUCUUUCCCUCCUUGGCUCAACAGUUUUUGUUUCCAACCUUGCAACUUGUUACUAAUUUUGUUCUGGACAAAUGCAAAGACCUGUGUCUUUGAUCUUCCAAUUGCCAUUGGGAGUCCUAGGUAGGUUCCAUUCCUUGCCUCUUUAAUGUUAUCUAAUACCUCCCUCACUCCAUUCUUCCUUUGAUCAGUGGUAUUUUUGCUAUAGAAGAUAGCUGACUUUUCAAAAUUCACCACCUGUCCGGAUGCUUGACCAUAUCUUUCCAAUAUGCUUUUGACCUUCCUCGCCUCCUGCUUGGUUGCUUGGCAGCAUAGUAGAGAAUCAUCUGCAAAAAAUAGGUGAGAAACCAUCGGACUGUCCUUGCAUAUUUUGAUCCCUGUAAUUUCCUUGUUCAUCAUAGCUUUAUGGAUCAAACAUGAAAGACCUUCAGCGCAUAUAAUAAACAAGUACGGGGAUAGGGGGUCUCCUUGUCUAAGCCCUCUACUCGGUUGAACACAGCCUACCUUUUGCCCAUUUAAGUUGAAGGAGUAAGUCACAGUAGAUAGGCAAGACAUGAUCCAUUUAACAAAAAUUGGACAAAACCCCAUUUUCAUCAUAACUCUCCCCACAUAUUUCCAUUCGACUCUAUCGUAAGCUUUGGACAUGUCCAGUUUAAGAGCCAUAAAUCCUACCCUUCCCUUUCUCCUAUUUUUCAAAAAAUGCAGGAUUUCAUGUGCAACUACUACAUUAUCAAGAAUUUGACGGCCUGGGAUAAAAGCGGAUUGAGAGGGACUAAUACAAUGAUGCAAGACACCUUUCAAUCUAUUAGCUAUGAUUUUAGAAAUGAUUUUAUACAGGACAUUGCACAAGCUAAUAGGUCUAAAAUGCACCACAGAUUCAGGAGUAUCAACUUUAGGAAUCAACGAAAUAAUAGUAUCAUUCACAGCUUUGAGCAAAUGCCCAGUAUGAAAGAAACUCUUAAUAGCUGCUACCACAUCAUCCUUGAUAAUAUCCCAAUAGUGUUGAAAAAAUAGAGGAGACAUACCAUCCGUUCCUGGUGCUUUAUUAGGGUGCAUCGAGAACAAAGCUUUCCUGAUCUCACUUUCCUCCACUUGUCGUAUCAGUUGUCCAUUCAUAUGACUCGAAAUAGUGCUUGGAAUUUCAGCUAGAAUGUCCUCAAAGCAGUCCGGGUUAGUAGUGGUAAAAAGGUCUUUAUAGUACUCACAAAGUUCCUCCUCAAUCUCAUGUUCCUCCUUGCACCAUGUCCCAUCUUUUUUCUGCAAUAUAGUGAUCUUAUUUCUCCUCCUCUUUGCCAUGACCGAAGAAUGGAAAAAAGCUGUAUUCUUGUCCCCUUCUUUGAGCCACUUGUUCCUGGAUUUUUGACUCCAAAACAUCUCUUCCUCUGCAUAAGCUUUAUUCAAUUGUGCUUUUAGUUCAGCCACUUGUACUCUUUUCCCUUCAUCCUUUCUUGCUUUCACUUCAGCCAAUUUCUCCUUUAACACUUUAAUUCUAACCUUUGAGUUUCCCUGCACCUUUUUCCUCCAAUCCAGAAUAGCCAUGCGACAUUCCUUUAUUUUUGUAGCCACUCUAAACAUCCUGGACCCUGACUUCACCUUUGUCCAUGCUCCUUGAAUCACCCUUUUUGCUUCUGGAUUUAGCGUCCAUCGUUGAUCAAAGUAAAAUCUCCGUUUUCUCCUUGUGUUUUCCGGGUUUGUAUCCACAAGAAGCAUUAGAUGAUCAGAGGCUUCAGUAUCUAAAUGAGUACACUGUGCCUUUUCAAAUCUUUGCAGCCAUUCGGUGCUGCAUAAACAUCUAUCCAACCUCUCUUUCACUUCCCCAUCCCCCUCCCAACUAUUGCACCAAAUCCACGGGACCCCUUGAUAACCUAAGUCAACCAGGUUAUUGUCUUUGAUAAACCUGUUGAACUCCCUAAAACAUCUUUCAGCUCUAUCCCUUCCUCCCCACUUCUCCUCACUAGACCUCAAAUCAUUAAAAUCUCCUACAAUGAUCCAGCCAUCCCCCCAGUCCCUCAUCCUGUCCUCUAAAUAUUUCCAUUGUGCUUUUCUAAUGUUACUAUCUGUGCUUGCAUAAACACACACUAGCCCCCAGUAUCCUUUAGUAUCCUUGUCCUCAACUCUAGCACUAAUACACCAAUCAGUACUUACAAUCUGGUCUAAAAUCACCUCAUUGUUCCAGAAUAAUGCUAGACCGCCUGCUUUACCUAUUGAAUUCACAAAAAAGCUAUUGUCAUACUGAAUCUUCCUUUGAACCUUGCCCAUAAACCCUUCCUGAUUCUUAGUUUCACAAAGGAACACCACCUUAGGAGAGUGGAAGUUAGUCACUUCCUUUAGUUGGGGACUUGUCAAGGGGCCUCCUACACCUCGACAAUUCCACACCACAACCUUCAUUUACACUUUGGAGGCUUUCCGGGGCUAGCCUCCAUUUCCCCUAUUGUACUAACAUUUAUUAGAUCCAGUUUCAUAACCUUUACCUUCGGUACAUUAUCAUCAUCCUCCUCUAUCGGUUGUGUUCCCUGAAACAUACCAUCAGCCUUCCUUUUAGCACACGAAACCUGCGUUACUUGUCCAUUUGUAUCUGCCUUUAAGGAUGUUUUAGCCGGCCUCCCUCUUCUUUUAAAACUGCUUCUUUUUUCAGCUUUGUUAUCUUCUUCCCCUGGAGUAGCCUCCUUUCUUGGCAUUCUUGCAUUUGUCUCCUCCUGCUUUAUUGACCCUACCCGCAAACUUUCACAUUCCUGUUUUGAGCUGUCCGUUUCCAUAUCCUCAUAAUCUACUGGUGGGAUUACGCUGCUCCCUCCUUUACUCCCUUCCUGUACCCUACCCUCCUUUUCACCAUUUCCCUCCAUUAAGACCACAGCCAAACUUUCCACCCGUUGGUUUGCCUUUCCAUACUGCCUGCUGUCUUUUAGAAUCUCAUCCCACCUCUCUUCAUAUUGUCUCGUCAUCAUUUUCUCCUUAUCCCCCCUUUCCUUUCCCCCCAAGACUCUACCAUUUUUUCCCCCAAGAGUUAAUGUAUCUCCAGCCAUUUGUACUCCAGUUUGAACUUCACUACUAGGAGACCCUGCCCCCACCCUCCUUGCAUCAAUUUCACUUACUCCUUCCAGCCGUCCCUUUAAGGGAGAUACCAUUAUAUUUCCAGCUCUCAUCCAGGCACCAUAUUGUUCCUCUCGCUUCUCCCCCCCACCCUUCCUACCACAGUACAAGUCCUAUCACUAUGCCCAAUGAUACCACACCUAUAACAGAAAUCAGGGCAGCGUUCAUACCUGAACUCAACCCACACUGCCUGGUUCUUACAGUUGAUCUUUGUCCCUCUAACCAGUGGUUUCGUUAUAUCUACCUCAGCCAUAAUCUUCAUGUGGCGACCCUCUUUCCCACCACUUCCUGGGAGAAUCACUCCCCUCACUGAUUUAAAGAUCCCUCCUAUUUUCAAACCCACUGCUCUGCUCAACCAGUGCACCGGUAGGUUCCAUAGUUGAAUCCAAAGAAAGGAAUGCUGGAAAAAGCUGCUGUUUGUAUCAUACCCCUCUACCCACUCCUUCACUAUCAGCAACUGGUUGUCCAUGACCCAAGGCCCUCCAGAUAAGAUCUUUUUCUUUUCCCCUUCAUCUCCCAGAUGGAAAUGGAAUAAGUUAGGACCUAACUCAGUCACUUUCAUCUUUGAGGGGUAUCCCCAUGCAUGAUUUGUAAAGUUCUUUAACCCCGUAAAGUUGGCAAUUUUUUCACCAAUCAGCUUUCCUACCAGGCUUCCUUGACACUCAGAGACGCCUUCUUCCAGGUCCUCACCACUCAGAUCGACACCUCCUAACUCUGUUUCAGACAAGUCAAAAUUUUGAAAGGCUCUUUCUAAAGCAUCCGCCAUUGCUGUGACGAGAGCUCCUUGAGAAACCAAGCACUAUUUCUGAGCUAUGAGUGACCCACUGACAGACCUGUGAAGAAUUGCAAAGACAGACAAAGCUGUGUUAUCCGUACACACUAAAAACCAACCAGAAAAACAGAGAGGAACUCGACAGAAAAAGCACAGGCACAAGAAGAAACGAAAGAAAAAAGAAAAACCAACAAACCACUAUCCCACUCCCGACCACAUAACAGCAUUAAAGAAAGGGACACAAAUACGACACUCCAACUUCCGAUCACAUGCUCUGACUCAAUGGAUCAUAUCUUGCCCAAAGCGUUUACUCCUCCAACCGAUUCCAAACCACUACAGACAUUGUCUCCCAUUUUGAAGCCGGAAGAAAGGUGGCUUCUGGACAGGGAACAUGAAAGCAAAGGUUGAACUAAAGAUUUGAUUUUAGAUCUGAAAAUUACGCUGUAGGAAAAAGUGCUAUGUGUUUGUACCUCACCCACUCUCCCACACCGAGGAGGGGAACCUCUAAAGUUAGAGAGAGAAGCUCUCAAGUUAGAGAGAAGCUUUGGAAGUUAAUUACCAACGUACCAUGCCGUACAUGUUUGUAAGGAUUUCUAUCCUAUUGGCAAAAGUCGGUUCCAUACAAUUAAUCAAUUCAUUUCACUUCUAUUGGCUCUACUAUUUAUGCAUGUUACGACACUCUUUCCCUUAUAUUUUGCCUUUAAUAUUAUGAGUCAAUAGUAAUAAUGGGCCUUUUUCUUAAAAUUAUACUAUUAUACAUAGGUAGUUUGGUCUAACGCUAAAUUCAUGUUUGUCUUUCUUUUAUUCCCUUUACAUCUCAAAGUAUACUAUAGUUUGUAAUCAUUGUGGUGAUGAUAUUACCAGCUGGUACUUAUAGUUUAAGGCAGAGACAUGAUAUUAACAACUAUCUCAUUGAAACAUAAGUCAAAAUCAUGACAAGUGUGAGUCUUGGUUAAUGCACAAUUUGUUAGUGGAAUUUAUAUUUAUAAAACUCAAAAAAAAUUUUUGACAAUGCUAUUACUAAUUAAUUAAGGACUUCAUUGCUAUAAUUUAUCGCUUACUAAUUUAAACUAUAAAUGAUCUCAAUACUUUUCUCCAUGAUGUCGAUUUCUUUAGACUACGAAAGGGAAAAAUUAGUGACAUAUCCCUUACUGAUUACAACAUCAGCAAAAAUUAGUUAUAAACUUUUCCGGUGGUUUUAAAUCCCUCGGGCACUAAGGUUUUUUGCACAUCGAGUGAAUUAAGGAACAUAGGCAAUUCGUUCUGCAUACCAAGUCCUUGUUUAAGAUGCACGUACUAAAAUGCAUCCACUUCAUUAAUUUGGAAAAUUGCCAUAGUUUUUUUUAAGCAUUUUGAUUUUUUACAUGAUUCAAAAUUUUCUUAUUGGAUACAAUCACUUUGUGUCAAGAACACAUUUUCAAUCAUCUUUUUUAUCUUCUCAAUAAGAAAAUAAAAAUUUAUUCAUGCUUUUCUAACAUAUCCAAUCAUUGAUCUGAAAAAUAAAGAAUUAAAAAAAAAAGACAUUUUCAAUCAUUGCUUACGGGGCAACUUCCCCAUGUGAACCUCAUCAAACAAAGCCAAUAAUAUGAAGGAACAUCUAAAUACACUUUUGCCCUAAAGGCUGGUUGCCUUGGGGUCAAAAUUUAACCUUCGGGAGUAUAAUUACCCGCCAAAUUUAUUAUUUUUUUUAUGGGUAUAUAGUUCCAAUUUUGCCUCCUGUUAAGCUUAUAAAUAUAUUACGACCCAGAAAAUAAAGGAAUCUUGAAUAGUAACAUGUCCAUUGACUUGAGUUGUUAUCAAUUUGGCUACUUCGAUUCCAUGAGGCCAAUCCAAUUCACACUAGCUAGAGAAAAUGGUGAUAAAGGCACUUAGAAAUUUAUAUGUAAUAUUGAUUGGUAGUAACUGAUAAGUAUAUAUUUUACGUGUUUUAAAUAUGUUUUAUUAGUUAGUUUUGGUGUGUUUUAACUACUUUUAUAACUAAUUAACUAGGAAUCUAGUGAAAAUAUGCAUUUUGUGGUUUGAAGUGUAAAAAUUGUAUUUCUAUGGAUUUUAAUGGUGAAAACUUCAUGUUUUUGUAGGUUUAAUGAUUCAAUCAUCAAAUGACAUGAUUUGAGAAGAUAAUUAGAUGAUUGAUGAUGUUUUGAAGUGAUAAAAAGAGAAUACAAAGUGCAAGAGAGGAAAUGCAAUCAAGAAUAAAAGAAGAAAAUUUUUGUAGCUUUGACAUAUUGUCGUAUUUCGGCAAUAUAUUGAGCUACAAUGAUCGGAUUAAGGUGAUUCUUAAACCAUUUGAAGCUAAAAUAUAGAUCUACAUUUGGCAUGAAGGCAUCGAAACCCAUGUCAGUCAUUUUCCUUGUCAAAAUGUUGAAAUACAGAAGUGCAACUCUGUUCUCGAAAGCUAAAACAGAGCUCUGGCUAGUCGAGGGUAUUUUCAUCAUUUCUUAGUCCACAGAGCUCCAAAUGAGAUGAUUCUUAAGGCAUUAGAACCCUAACUCAAAGAGCUACAACUUUCAUAUUUUGUACAAGAGUUAGUUCGGCCUCUAUCAUUAAGAAAAUAGUAGUUGAAGUGGUGCCAAAUGCAUAGAAGUGAAAACGCGAGCUAUCAAUACUCGACCUGAAGUCGCGUAUUCCUGAGGUCAUGCAUUCUCUUCUAUUUUCUGCAACUUGCCCUGCUUUCACAUAACUUUUUCAUCUCAAUUCCAACUAUCAAUUUCGGCUAUAUCUGAUCAAGAAAAGUGUGGAAAGUUUGAAAGACAACUCAUAGGAGUUUCAAGAGUCAAAAAUUACAAUUAGAAACAACUCAUUUGGCUCUUGAAUCCUCUAUAAAUAGAGGCCUUUGAAGAACAUUUUCACAACUUUGGAAGGUUAGAGAAACUCCACAAAAACAUAGUCUUCACUAGAAUUUCCUUAGUUCAUUAGUUAGGGUAGUAUAGUAUAGUUAGUGUAGCUUUUCCUUCUUGUAUUUAUAGUUAGGUUUGAAUGAAGAUUCAGGAGCAAAGAUAGAGAGGUUGAUCUCAUGUGACAAGGGUGAUAUCUCUUCUACUACUUUCUCUUUUGUAUUUGAUUUCAUAUUUAACUAUACUACAAAUUUGGCUUUGUUUUUUUUUUUUUAUCAUGUUUAGUUAAAGUUUAUGCCUAGAGUAUGGAUGACCUUUUUAUAUCUUGUUUGUGAUAUUUAACUGGUUAUUUGAUGAUGUUAUUUUUGAGCAAGUUAUUUAUCACUUUUGCUUUUCUAAUCAUGAUUAACUGGCCAUUAGUUGUGAUUAUCUAAAAGUGUUAAGUUUGUAAUGAGAAUUGGAGUUUAACACUAGUUCAAGGAAGUGAUAAAUUUAGGGAGUUCACUCAUGAGAGUAGAGGAACACCUUUGUGACCUAAGUGACUUGUUUCAUAUAAUUUCAUAGAAAAAAUGAACUUGUAAUUAAUUUCAUAACCACGAGAGUAAGUAUGGUUUAGCUAUAUGUAUAGUUGAUUCACUACGAGAGUAGGUUUCACAUACAUUAGAAAAUUACAUCAUAACUAGUCAAGAUAAUAUCAUUCAUUUAAUCAGUAAUCUCAUUUGCAUGAGUAGUAAGGCAUUCCAUAUCUCUAGGAGGUUUUUAGUAUUAUUUUCAUUACUUUUAUGUUUAUGGUAGUCUAGAUAAUAAUGGAGUUCGAAAACUACUAGUAAUUGAAAAUUUUCCCUGUGGGAUCGACCUUUAAUACCCUAUACUCGCUCUCGACUCGUAUACUUGAGAAAAAUCACGUGUGCGGUAUUUAGAAUUUAUAAAUGUAAAACUUGACUGUAGAUGAACUAAUUGAUAUAUGUAUACCCCGCACUCGUCAGUAACCAGCUUGUAUUGAUCCCACUAUUGUGGAUAAUUGUGCUCUUAUGAAAAAAAAUUAUAAAAAAAUUAGCAAAAUUUAUGAUAACAAAUUAAAUUUAUUCAUACAAAUCAGUGAAAGAAGUAGAAUUUUAAAGUCCAUGAUGAAAUUAAUACUUUCAAGGGCUCUAUUAGGAAGACUUCACUUGUUGGUGAAACUACACUAGCACAGUUAUAUGCACAUUUACUGUUUUGGUAUCUAAUUUCCUUGCCUUAAGUUGGGUGCAGAUGUUUAUAUUACAAAUAGAUGGUAUCAUAAAAUUGUUGUAUUCACGUUUGUUCUUUUUUUUCUUCCUUAAGUUUUUUUCUUUAUUCUCGUGACUUCAAAAAUACGAACUCAAGAAAUUGGCUGCUUAAUCAAUAUGUCAUACAGGCUUCGCUAGUGAGGUAUAACUUCACAACUAGAGUCAAUAGAAAUUAUCAAAUGAUUUUUUAACAUCCAAAUUAAGCAAUAAAUUUUGUUUUCAUUUUAUGACAUAUAAUAGUACUACUUCAUGAGAGAUUUUAUAGUUUCUUUUAGGUAUCAUACCUACAAGUGAUAUUUGUCAUUGGAUAGUGACAGAAGUGUUAAUGAUUGUAAGAUUAAAUAUUGUUAAAUAUUGAAAUUUAAACUAUUUAUCUUUAUUGAAAGAUACAAGUUAAAGAAUCGUUCAAGGGGGCAAUUUUCCAUCUUGUCUUUUUGAAAAAACGCUAUCACAUUGUAUAGGCAUGAUAGGUUCAAAUUUGUCAUUAAAUUUAUGAUUGAUUUUCCUUUUAUUCAAGCCAAAUAUUGUUUUAAUUAUCAAAUUCUACUUAUAUUUGGUUAAUUGUACUAAUUGUAGGGCGGUAGAGCAAAAGUUGCUAAAAAUAGGCGAUUUUCUGCAAAUUGGUUGUCAAGGCUGAAGGAUUUGGGAUUCGCAUGUUCAAGGCCUGUUUCCAAGUUUGAUUCAAACUCUGGACAGUUUUAGAGGAAGAUUUGGAAGAUUUGAAAUUUCAUUAUUAGUUUUAUGGUUGAAUUAGGAAUCUUGGAAUAAUUUCUUUUGUGAUUUAUUUUUCUAUUUAGGAGACUAGUUGUUAUUUAGUAGUAGACUUCAAUUAGAAAACAAAGAGAAAAAGAAGGCCGGAAUCCCGCUUGAUUAAUACCUUGGCCAGGGAACAAUCUCGGUGGGGAGGACGGCCACUUAGCCUCUCAAUUCAUCUUGCUUUUCGUUAGUUUGAGAGGAAAACCAAUUGCAACUAGAUUCAAUGGAGUCUGGCAGAAUUUCUUCUAGGAUGCGUAGCUAAAUCCUCAAUUUUUAGUCGAAGGUCAAUUUGAAAAUUCGGUUCCAAAUAUCUGUGAAAUCGAAUUAUUUUACUUAUUUCUUUUAUUUAUUGGUAUUCGCACGUUUUCUGAUUUAACUUUUUAUGAUUGUUUUGUUAUUUGAAUGUCAAGGGUCCGAUAUUCGAAUUAACUUAAUAAUCUACUGCCAAAUUAACCGGUUAAAUCCGUAAUUGUUUGAUUGAUUAAUAUCAGUGGCGACUAGCGUGAUUGGUCCCAUGUUAGGAAAACGUCUGAUCUAAUUUAAACAAACCGUCGUAGCGUGUUUGUUGAUUAGGGUUGGGCUUUUCUAAUUCUUAAUUCAAUUGAGAAAUUAAAUCCCCCGGUCGUACCUAGGAUUAUUUUUUUGUUAGCGAAAUAGUUAAUGGUCGUACCUUGACUAUCGAAAAAGUAAGGAAGAGUUGAUUGUUUAUCGCGUGUACGACAACUAUAAUCAAUCUAUUAAUGAGUAAUUGAAUUAUCUUUGCAUCAGUAAUCAGUUGAAUGGACCGUGUCUGAAAAGUUGUACCUUUGGCUAGAGUCUUAUCUGUUGUUGAUUCAUUCAUAUCUAUCUUCAUGCGUUGUUUUAAUUUAGUUAAUUAGUUAUUUUUAUAAAAACCCCUCAUCUCUGGACUCUAAAAGAAAUAAAUUAUUUCUAGUUCCUGUGGAUUCGAUCCUACUCACCAUACAAUCCAACCUGCAAUUGUAUGAACCCCAAUCUCGCUUCCUAGUCCACCAUUUUUCUCUAGGUAAUAAUCUCCCUUCUAAUUUCUUCACAAAAUGCACCUUUCAUCACCUCCAAUAGCGUCGACAUGAUCUUUACCCCAGAAGACUAUUCACCGACUCUCAAUUGACGUUAGAAAAUCUAAGAGUAAUUCUACUUUACCCUAAGAUUGAUAUCAACAAGACAAGGACAAUUUAGAAUUAUUACACGCCUCUUCUUAAUAGGAAAAAGAAAUAGAGAAGAAAGUCAGGCCAGGUCUAAUUUCUUUUCAAAGGCAAUACAACAUUACGAAAUCAAGCAUUCAUUCAUACAAAUAUUUCAUAGUCACCGGUUUGCUGAGUAGAAAAAUUUAGACAAAAACUUAAUAUUAUAUUGUUUAAGAGUUAACAAUUUAGAGCUUAAUCUCCUUGUACUUUGGAGUUAACAAUUUAGAGCUUAAUCUCCUUGUACUUUGGACUAAACUUGAACGUGAAAGGAAAUCCCAAAACCAUAUUGGGCAUGAAUUCACACUUAAUAUACCCAAUAAAAGAUGGCGACUGGUGAAAGGCAGUGGAGACUGGUGGAGAGAUUUGAGGAAUAGAAGCAGACGGAAAAGCAACAAAUUUUUGCCGAAAAACGGUCACUUUCAUGGUUAAUUUUGCUACUCUCCAAUUGUACUUGACCAAUUACAACAAUUUCAUGGAGUUUGAUACGUGAAAAGAAUUUUUUAUAAAUUUUAUUUUGAUCCAUAAUGUUAUCUUUACAUAUAUAAAACAUUUUACAAUUUUGAUUUUGGCGCAGUUAACUUUUGGUAAACAAAAAUGCUCAUGUUUAAAAAACCGGAAAUAAAACAAAACAAGAAACAAAAGAAAUAAGAGGGUAGCAUAGACAUUUUGGAUUUUUCCGUUAAUUUGGAUGAUUUCCACCCACGUUCUAAUUUAAUCCAAAACACAAAGGAAUUACGUAGAGGUUUUAAAUAAUGAGGGAGCUUCAUGAUCGAACCCCAAACCACAAGGCGAUUUACUAUAUUUUACUCUUAAAUUUUGGUUUCAUCUCAUAGCAUACAAGAGUUCUAUUUCACUAUCUGUAGACAAAGACUUUCUAUGGUUGAUGUACCAUAGGAAAAAAUCUGCCUAUACAACGUGAUAGCAUUUUUUCAAAAACACAAGAUGGAAAAUUGCCCCCUUAAACGGGGAAAUUCAUGAUCUUUCCUCGAACAAAGAAUACUCACGCCUAUUCAAGAUGGAAAAUUGCCCCCUUAAACGUCUAUUUGUCAAUUCUUGAAAAAAGAAUACUCACGCCUAAAACACGGCCUCUUCAUCUGCAGAAUUCUAAAAAGUUAGGUAAACUCUAUAAACAAGUUGAUAGGUACAAUCGUACCCAAGAUCAAGUACAGAUAGUUGUACAUUCACUGCUGCAAUAACUAAUCUGAUGACUUACAAACAUAUCAUGGUCAAUCGUUGAAUGGUAAUGAGUCUUUUGUUAUGCAUUAGUAUUAGUGUGUACACUCUAAUAGAUUGAUACUUAUACUCUUUAAAUUAUCAUAAUAAUACCCUUAAUUAACUUUAACUCUUAAAAAGAAUACGUGUUAAUACACGAGAGUGUGUAACCUGAAUUGUUACUUAUACAUUAGUGUGUAAUAGAUAGGGAUGGCAAUGGGGGCGGGUGCCCGCAGGCAACCGCCCCGCGGGGGGCUCUCGGGGCGGGGAGGGGGGAAUUUUUUCCCCCCGUUUAGAAACGGGGCAGGGGACGGGGGAGUAUACCCCCGCCCCAUCCCCCGCAAAAAAAAUUAUAUAUAUAUAAUUAUAUAUAAUAUGUAAUUUAAUUAGUUAUAAACUUAUGAUAAUGAUAUUAUUAGUUAGAUGUAUUAUAUAAUGUAUAUUAGUGUAUGUAAUAUAAUUAAUAUUAUCAAUUAUACGAAUAAUUAGACAUGUCUACUAAUAGAAUUUAUUAAUUAGUUAUACUAAAUUUACUAAUACAUUUAUACUAAAUUUCUAAUUACAUUUAAUAGAAUAACACUUUUUUCUAAAAAAAAAAGCACAAACACAAUAAUGAAUUAGUGAUUGUAUUUUUACCAAAAAUGAAAACUUAACUAUUUUAGUUGCAUUUAUUUCAUCAUGUUGGAUUGUAUUCAAAUAAUUUUUGUUUGAUUGUUUUUAUGAGUUUCAAUUGUAAAAUUAAAAUGAAUAAUAACUUGAUGAAUAAUAAUGUCAAUCGUUGAAUGGUGUGUACACUCUAAUAUUAUGCAUUAGUAUUAGUGUGUACACUCUAAUAGAUUGAUACUUAUACUCUUUAAAUUAUCAUAAUAAUACCCUUAAUUAACUUUAACUCUUAAAAAGAAUACGUGUUAAUAACUCUUAACCUGAAUUGUUACUUAUACAUUAGUGUGAAAUAGAACGGCAAGCAUUGAGCAACUUAUAGGAGAAAUAGUCCUAUAAGCUGUUGGAUGACUAAUAUAGCUCUAGCUGUAAUGUUUUAAUUAAAUUACAUCACUAACGUUGGGAUGACUAAUGGUUUAAAAAUAAUUGAGUAAUUGGAAAAAAAAAAAGAGACUAAUUUUCAUUGAAACCCACCGACAAACUAAACGUGUCCAUGGCUUUUGAAUAGUGCAUUCAACGUUUAAUUGUAUAGUCCAGUUCAUUGCAGAUUACAUGGAGUAAAGAUUGUGCUCUUUCCUUUUUCACCCCUUUUGGAAUCGAUACUGUGGAGAAUUGGGUUUUUCCCUUCUUUUUUUCUUUUCUUUCUUUCUGUGCUUUGCAAAACAUAGGUAAAAUUAUGAAAUCCGAAGCAUUCUUUAAUUGGGAUUAAGUAUUGUUCUUGAAAUUAAAAAGAAGAAAGAAAGAACAACAAAAUUCCCUGAUUGGUUGCAUCGUGCUUCCAUAGAAGCUCUCUUAGUGUGAUACACUGCUUUCAAUCAGUUUAACAUGGAAAAAAGAAAGAGAUGAAAAGCAAAUUUGGUGGGGAUAAUUUCAGAAACCUCCCCUGAAGAUUUUGACUAUUCUACUGGUCUCCCUUCAGAUUUUAAAAAUUACACUAAUCUUCCUUGAAGUUAUAACAUUUAAAUUCAAUCAAUAAUUUAAAAAAUGAUAUUAUGAAAGAGAAAAUAAUAUGAUUUUAUCAUUGCCCCCCAUCUUACUACAUUAUUUAAUUAAUUUAAUAGCAACCCACACAUUAAAGAAAAAUAUAAAAUUUGUUAUUUAUCAUUAAAGAUCAAAUCGCUUAUAACAUCAAAUAAUAGUAUAUUAUUUAUAUUUUUCACUUAACAUAAUAUCCAAAUUACUCUUUUCAAUUACAUACUCAUUGUUAGACAAUCAACAACAAAUAACCAAAAAAUUUGCAACCAAAAUAUUACAAAAAAAAAUAAACUUUAACAUCAUAAAUAUUCUUAUCAACAUAUUAAAGUUAGUUACUGAAAUUUUUAUGGUGUUAAACUUCACUCUUUGUAAUAUUUUGGUUACAGAUUUUUUUUGAUUAUUUUUUAUUAAUUAUGUUUGAUGAUGGGUUUGUAAUUGAAAAGAAUAAUUUAAAACUUACAUUAAGUGAAAUAUAUAGAGUGAUAUACUAUUUUUUAUAACAUAUGUGAUUCAAUCCUUCUUGAUAGGAUUGGUAAUAGAGGUAGAGGGGGGAGUCGGCUGCAUCCGGUCUUCUUUUCAUAGAUAGUACAAUAUUGCGAAAUCAAUCGCAUUCACACAAUAAUAUUUCGAAGUCAAUGCAUGGCUAAGUUGCAUAAAAGUACGAACACUUGUUAUUAUAUAGCUUAAGAUUCAAAACUUUAGAGCAUAACCCUCCACCUAACACAAUUGAAUAAUGAAUAUUCACGUUUGUCAAAUCUGUCAAAGCACAGUUUGAGGACAACCCAUUCCAACCUGCAAAAGAUUUUUUACUUUUCUAAAGUUGUUGAGAGCUGUAAAAAGACCUACCAUGCUUACAUCCUCCGAGCCUUGGGAGUUAAAAAUGAAGGCACUGAGUGCUAUAAAAAGGGGGCUAGAGGCUGCCUAGAAGCAUAUCAGCCUAAAACAAGAAUUUGUUGUUAUGAUGGGAAGCAAAGCAAAAGCAAUGGGGUCUGGGCUGACUCCUCUUCUUGCCACUGUUUUAGUGGUAUUUGUUGCUCUUGGCUUGCCCUCAGAAACAGCAGCUGAUGAUCACUACAAGUAUUCAUCUCCUCCUCCUCCUUACCACUAUCCCUCACCACCGCCUCCAGUGCAUUUACCUCCACCAGUGUACAAAUACAAGUCCCCACCACCACCUCAUCAUGUUUACAAGUACAAAUCUCCACCACCCCCACCACCACACCCAGUUUACAAGUAUAAGUCACCACCACCACCUCCUCAUCCGGUACCACACCCAGUUUACAAGUAUAAGUCACCACCACCACCUCCUCAUCCGGUAUACAAGUAUAAGUCUCCUCCGCCACCACCACACCCAGUUUACAAGUAUAAGUCACCACCACCACCUCCUCAUCCGGUACCACACCCAGUUUACAAGUAUAAGUCUCCUCCGCCACCAGUUUACAAAUAUAAGUCUCCUCCACCACCACCUCCAGUGUACAAGUACAAGUCUCCACCACCACCAGUUUACAAGUACAAAUCACCACCACCUCCUCCCCCAGUUUACAAAUACAAGUCUCCACCACCACCAGUUUACCACUACAAGUCACCACCACCUCCUCACCCAGUUUACAAGUACAAAUCUCCUCCACCACCAAUUUACCACUACAAGUCACCACCACCUCCUCCCCCAGUUUACAAAUACAAGUCUCCACCUCCUCCUCACCACUACUAAGCAAUUGCUUCUGAGGUAAUAACACUUGUUCAAUAACACUUGAUAGCCAGCUGAAUAUUUGCAGGCAAAGGAGAAGGAAACCAGUGUUUGAGACCUUCUUGAAGAUGUAGAAGCAUAAGAAUUAAAGCCCAAUGUGAAGAUGAUGAUUUCAAGUUUUUCUACGUUACCAUUUCAAUAUCUAAAUUGGUUGUAGCGCCUUAGUUCCUUUGUUUAUGGGAUUUGUAUCGUUUUACGUACCAUGCAGUACAUGUCAUGUUUGUAAGGUUUUCUAUCCUGCCGGCAAACCGCAGGUUCCAUGUAAUAAAUCAAUACUAUUUAUAUUACGACACUUUUCUCUGUUUCUCUUAUAUUUUGUCUUUAAUAUUCUUAAUCAUAUUUUUAACAAAAAUAUUCAAACACUUCAGCAAUGGUUCACCUAGUUGAUCAUCGAAGCAGAGGCAAUUCCAAUUAUUUAUCAAUAAAUAGGAUAUAACUACCAAACAAGCGAUGGCAGUUAACCCCUCCUUACUGUGUCGGUGAUCAAGGUACGCCCGUUAAUCACUGCUCUAAUUGAGAAAUAAUCCUAAGUACGCCCGUAGAAUUUAAUUCCCCAAUUGCCUUACAUAUUAGAGGAGCCCUAUUCUAACCAAAUAACGCACUAUCAGGGUUAUUUUAGAUUAGCCCGCGUAUUCCCCUGACAUAAAUCUAAUCAUGCCAGUUGUCAUUAUUUUGAGGUAAUUAAACAAUUACGGAUUUAACACCUCAAUUGACAAUAGAUUAUUAAAUUAAUUAAUUAUUCGGAUCCAAGACAAUCAAUUAAUUAAACAACCAUAAGCACUACAAUCAGAGAAUAUGCAAAUACCAAUAAAUAAAUAAAAAAUAAAAUUAAAUCGAUCUCACAAUUUUUAGGCGAAUCAGAGCAUCCGUUGUCCCUUGACUAGAGCAAGGAAAUUAGUUCAUAUUUGAUGAACUAAACCCAUACAAAAGGGAAGCGAGAAAUGCAGCCAUUAUCCUUUGAAAUCUGGAAAAUUCAACUUGUCCGAAUAUCGAAUAGAUAGUAAUACUACAAAAGGUAAUUCAUAGCUUCCCUUUCGUCUGACACACAAGAAGAAAAAAAAGGGCUGCUAAUAACUAAAGGAGGAAAAGUCAAAGUCCUAAGCUAUGCUACAAGACGAAAAACUAAAGAAGACAAAAAGGCAGUGCUCAUUCCCUGCAAUCUCAAUUCCUAUUCUAUCUAAGUGCUCUCCAAUGUGCGGCGGCUCCCCUUCCGGAGAGGACGAAGUGGCACCCUUUUUUCCUGCGCAAUUUUCCUAUAUAAAGUAGUGCUCCUUGCAGCGGCUCCUGUGCGAAAAAAUGAAGACUUCGGCCCAAUUUGCCUAACAAGGGCUCACGUUUUGUUGUUCUAAAAAUGUCCCUAGGACAAACUCUAUCAUCUGAACUCUUUUCUUGCCAAAUUAGUACCUGUUAUUAUAUUUUCGUUCUACUCCCUGAAAUAAAUGCAAAAUAUCAAAAGUGAGUAGAAUCUAGCAAUUAAUCCACAUUAGGUCAGGUAAUAGGGAAAAUUAAUAAUAAAAUAAAUGAUAAAAUUGCAAUCUAUCACGGGACCACUGUGGUAAGGUGUGUUUCGCCUAUUAUAAGGAGUUCGGAGAGUUAGACGUGUUGGAGGCGGAGGCGCGGUCACUCCUGCACGCCCUCCAGCUGUGUGCAGAUCGCGAGGUACGGGCGUUGACUGUAGAAUCUGAUUCAAAGGUGCUUGUUCAACUAGUUUGCUCGGAUAUGAGGUCGAAGUGGCCGGUGUGUAUCGUAUUGCGGGAAAUAAGACAUUUGAUCCGGCGGAUGGGUGCAUCCCUUCAUCAUAUAUUCCGUGAGGCCAAUUCGGUGGCGGACGCAUUGGCUUCUCUGCAAUUGGGAGGGCAGCAGUACUACACCUCAGGCGUGGCGCUGCCUUUCAGGCCCAGAGGAGAGGCUCUGCUGGAUCGUCAAGGAGUACCUCGCAUCCGUGAGGCGCUCACUAAGGUUUGAUAGGCUAUGUCCUCCUUUCAAAAAACUUAUUUCAUCUACUCCUUGUAAUCAUUUUUCUUAUCAAUAAAUUGAGGCUUUUUAUUUAAAAAAAAACAUAUAAUUUAAGGCAAAAAUAUGAUCCUAGCGAGUAUCGCACUGAGACAUUAGGAAACAUCAUUAAAAGAGUAUUUCUUGAGUUAGUGCAACUAUUUCUUAGGGGAAUUUAUAGUUACAAAAUUCAAAAAUUUGAGAUUCUAUUACUGAUUAAUUAAGGGCGUUAUCACUAUUUUUCUUAUUAUCACCAUUAUUUACCCCACAUACUAUAAGUUUUUUUAGGGCACAGGAAAAGAGGUGGGCCGAUGUUUAGUUAUGUACAAAAGUUCAAAAUUUGUAGAUAACUUAUCAUGUGCCCUUAGAGCGUAGAAUACAGAAAAAAUAUCUUAAACUAUAACUAAUCCUAAUAUUUUUCUCUAUGAUAAACUAGCUCUUAUCCAUUUCUUUAGAUGAUGAAAGGAAAUAGUUAGUCACCUGUCCUCUAGUGAUUACAACAGCAUCAAAACAAAUUAGCACUCUUUUCCCGUAGUUUAAAAAUCCCUCAGCCACUAAGAUUUUGCAUGUCGAACGAAUUAAGGAACAUAGAAGGUUCGUGCUGCACCACAGUGUCCUUGUUGACGAUGCAAAGACAGAAAUGCAUCCGCGUAUACUUCCUUAAGCAUUUUGAUUACUUUAUGAUUCGAACUUUUCUUGUCUGACAGCUGGACUUAAUUGAAAAACACAAGUAACAAUAUUUCAAAGUUGAUUCGUCAAAGUUUACCCAAUUGGUGAAACUUUCUUCAUAGAGCUGACUUUGUAUUAGGUGACAAUGAUAUGGAAUUGAUGUCCUUCCCUUUUUCCUUUUUUUGUGUUGAAGACGCACAACGUUUUCAAUGGCAAAUUUAUAUGGGCUUUUCACGACAAAAUGUGUUCUGAAAAGUUCAUUCCAGAGGUUAAAAUUUUGUGUGUUAAAAAUUUGCUUCUCAGGACUUUGAUGGGAAAGUCUUGGUGUUUCCAAAAAGUUUAAGCAGGAUGCUUCUGGCUUUCUCUCCAUGUAUUUGUGAGUUAGAUCUAAAAUUAUCAGGGCUCCAGAGAUCUCUUGAAAUCGCAGCAUAUAUUGAAGUCUUUCCAGAAGGAGUCUUUUUUUUUUUUUUUAUGAAUUAUGAUAGAUAAUUAAUCUGACGGUGCAUAUAUAUAUAUAUGUGAUUUGCAGUAGGGUGUUUGACGAAAUGGUUAGGCUUCCUAAGUAAUGAUAGGAAUGCCAUUUGCAAAGAAGGACAGGGGGCUGGUGCUGUCAUAUUUUAUGCGAUUUGAUCCGUUGUUGUAUAAGUUUAAACUUUUGACGUGCAAUUGUGCUAUAAUAUUAUACUAAAUAUAUGUGUGAAAUAUUUUGUCUAUAUACAUCACUUUUAUCAUGAAUACAACAGCUGAGUAUAAUAAUAUAGUAUAAUGUAAUUGUACACCAAAUAAUGUAGCAAAUAUAACAAUUGAUCCGAAUUACACGGAACCAUAACAACAAGAUCACCGCCUCCCAAAUUUUACAAAAUUAGGUUUUUUUUUUUUCUCUUAGAUUAUUGAAAAUUUUCAAAAAUAAUCUACAUAAUUUAAGCUUUUGUCCUACAAAAAUUUGAAGAGAUUUUACAUUACAAGCUUAAGCUUAGAUAUAUUAAACUUUGCCCCCAAGAUUAAUUUUCCGUUUUUAUCUAUGAACCGAUCCAUAUAGCUAGUUAGACUGUAGUCCUCACAUUUGUGGGAUUUAACACCCAAGAUUCUCCUUCUUGGAAUGUAAAAUGUAGAUCUUCUAUGUUAAUAAUUCAAGACCCUACUGUCAUAAACGAAAUGACUGAUCAACUCCUGUAAACCUAAUUUGACAACAUUUAAAUGGAGAACUUUAGCUAAAAGAAUUAUGGUCAAGCUAAAGAAAAAGCCAGUUAUUUUCCAACAUAUGCAAUCAUUGAUCAGGAAAAAAAAAAAAAAGCAAAAAGACAUCUUCAAUCAUUUAAUAGCUCACAGUGCAAAUUAACCCCUAAGCGAAAACUGGUUGCUCUAGAAUCAAAAUUUUACCUUAGUUACCCAGGCAACUUUUUUGUUGCUUUUUUUUUUUUCUUUUCCUUUUUGGGUAUAUAUAUAGCUCCAGUUUUGCCCCCUCUGUCAAGCUUAUAUAAUUAUUAAGAUAAUAAAAGUGCCUUGAAUAGUAUUAAUAUAUCCAUUGACUUGAGCUGUCAUCGAUCGGUUUGGGCUACUUCGAUUCCAUGAGAACAAAUGGUAAUAAAAGUACUCAGAAAAUAGGGAGCCAUGAAACCCUUUUGUUCUAUUCAUUGCUAAGAUGCUUUUCUCUAUAAAGAGACUUCCUAACGAAAGUACUUUGUAGAUUUCUUUACUCCAAGUGGUGCAUGGAAAAUUAAAAUAUUCAAUUAUCAAAUAAAAUUCCCUUUUUUCGGUGUAGAUUUCAUCCAUCCAGCUGUUAACACAUUUUAUGUAUCCGAAUUAUAUAUUCUCUACCAAAUAUUGUAACUUUUCUGAGCAUCUUUACAUUUUUAUUCCCACCUAACAAAUUAGUUGUUGAGCAUCUUUACAUGCUAUCGGAUCACAAGUUAAUAAUCUUUUAAAGAACAUGUUAAAUUAAUUUAUUGGUAUGAAUAGUCAAAGAAGUAUAUUAAAGUUAGUAAUCUUUAAACACCACGAUGCAAUUAAUACUUUCAAGCUCAAGGUCUUUUUUUUUUUUUUUUUUGGUACUGUACUUCCUUGCUUUAUAGUAUGCACGUUUAUUUCUGUGGAUUGCUUAAGCUUAUAUUGUUAAUAAUUGGGCAUUUAACCAUAAAUUAUAAUGAUUAUGAAGUCAUAUAUAUAUAUAUAUAUAUAAGAAAAUUACCACAAUUAUUCAAUUUUUUUUGCAAAUUCAAAUUUUAUUAAUAAGAAAUAGGCAGUAAGCUUUUACAAACGGAAAAAAAAAAUCCUACAACAACUCUAGGACCUUUGAAAGAAAGAAAAAAAAAAGAAAAGAAAAGCUUAAGGACUCUACCUCAUAGAAGCUAAACAAUCCUACAAAUAAACUGCAAAAUAAAUCACAAUAACGCAAAAUUUUUGUCUUUCUUCCGUAUGAAAUGAAACUACGAAGUCAAGAAUUGACUCCUUUAACCGCUAUUGCCAGCGGGCUCCGUCAGCAAGAUACAACUUUGCAAUUUGAUUCAAUAGAAAUCCUCAAAUAGCUAUUUUGACAGGCAAAUUAAGCAUUAAUUUUGGUAUCCCUUCAUAAAAUACAAGAGUACUUUUGAUUAUAUCUAUAGAUCAACUUUCUAGGCUAUUUUGAUGUAUUAUAAGAAAAUCUGCCUCAACAAUUUUGAUAGCAUUUUUCCAAAAGCAGAAGAUGGAAAAUUGCCCAUUUGUACUGGGGAGUUCGUGAUCUUUUCCUCCUUCUAGUCUACUUACAAUUCUUGGAAAAAGGAAUACUCACAUCUCAAACAACUGCCUGUUCAUCUGCAAUGUCCUGCCGAAUUCUAGAAAGUUAGGUGGCAAUGCUAAUUACAUUUCAAAAUUGACUGCUGCGAUGACUAAUUCGAUGGCUUACUACAUGGUCAACGUUUGGAUCCCUUCCUGUCCUUUUUGGAUGCACAUUUUUUUUCUCUAGGCAAUAUAUAAUCUCCCAACUCAUUUCUUUACAAAUGCACCUUUAAUCACCACCAAAAGGUGUGGACAUGAUCUUUACCCUAGAAAACUAAUCACCGACAGGCAAAUUGACGUCAGAAAUACUAAGAGGAAUUCUAGUUUCCUUCGGGUUAAUGCCAUUUUGUACCCUUCAACUGUAACUCGAUUUCUAAACUAUAAUUUGUGACAUUAUAGUCCUUAAACUAUGAAACCCCUCUUACUUAAGUACAAUGGUUAAUACAAUACCCGUGACUAGACAAGCAACCAUAACAAAAAAAAAUCCAAAAUUAGAGAAAAGAAAGAAGUUUCGCGACCAAAGUAUGUAUCAAGGCAUAGUAUAGAAAUAAAAGUGUCCAAAUUAAGAGUUUAGGGAUAAAAGAGAUCAAGAUAUAGUUUAGGGAUUGAUUUGUCUCAAUUAGAGUUUUGAUGUCAACUAAGAAGAGAGAUAUAGUUGAAGGGUAGAAUAUAGAUAUAACAGUUCAAUGAUUGAUAUCAACGAGACAAUGACAACUUUGGAUUAUUACCAACCUCUUCUUGAUGGGAAAAGGAAAUAGAGAAGAAAGUCGGGCCUGGUCUAAGCCUGCUUCGGAGGCAAAACAACAUUAUGAAAUCACCGGCAUUCACACAAAUAUGUCAAAGUCACCGGCAUGCUAAGUUGCAUAAUUUAUACAAACACUGAAUAAUAUAUUGUUCUUAAAAUUUUUGUUUAAGAUUUAACAAUUAGAGCACGGUACACGAAUUAGCAAUAUUAAAUAAUGAAUGUUCACGAUUGAUAAAGUUAUCAAAGUACAGUUUGAGGACAACCCAUUCCAACGUGUACAAGAUGUUUAGCCUUUGAAAAGUUAAUUAGAGAAGGUGACGAGAUUUUACUAGGCUUAAAUCUUCUAGGCCUCGGAAGUAAAAAAUGAAGGCCUUUGAGUGCUAUAAAAAGGGGGCUAGAUGUUGCCUAGAAGCAUAUCAGCCUCAGACCACAUUUUGUAGCAAUGGGGAGCAAAGCAAAAGCAAUGGGGUCUAGGCUGACUCCUCUUCUUACCACCGUUUUAGUGGUAUUUGUUGCUCUUGGCUUGCCUUCAGAAACUGUGGCUGAUUACUACAAGUAUUCAUCUCCUCCUCCUCCUUACCAUUAUUCCUCACCACCACCUCCUGUGCAUUCACCUCCACCACCGCCAAUUUAUAAGUCACCCCCACCACCUUACCACUACUCCUCACCGCCACCUCCAGUGUAUUCAUCUCCACCACCACCUUCGCCAGUUUACAAGUCUCCGCCACCACCUUACCAUUAUUCGUCACCACCGCCUCCGGUGCAUUCACCUCCACCACCACCUGUUUACAAGUCACCUCCACCACCUUCGCCAGUUUACAAGUCUCCGCCACCACCUUACUAUUAUUCGUCACCACCGCCUCCGGUGCAUUCACCUCCACCACCACCGAUUUACGAGUCACCUCCACCACCUCCUCCAGUUUACAAGUCUCCGCCACCACCUUACCAUUAUUCCUCACCACCACCUCCAACGCAUUCACUCCCACCACCAGUUUACAAAUCACCGCCACCACCUCCUCCUAUGUAUAAGUCCCCUCCACCACCUUAUCAUUAUUCCUCACCACCACCUCCAGUGCAUUCACCCCCACUGCCACCAAUUUACAAGUCUCCGCCACCUCCAAUCUACAAGUAUAAGUCACCACCACCUCCUCCCCCAAUUUACAAGUCACCACCACCACCUCCUCCAGUAUAUAAGUCCCUACCCCCACCAGUGUAUAAGUACAAGUCUCCACCACCACCUCCUCCAGUAUACAAAUCACCUCCACCACCUCCUCCAGUUUACAAAUCUCUACCACCACCAAUUUAUAAAUACAAGUCUCCUCCACCACCUCCUCCGGUUUACAAUUCCCCACCACCACCAAUCUACAAGUCUCCACCUCCACCCUCCCAUUACUACUACAAUUCUCCUCCUCCUCCUCCUCAUCACUACUAAGCAAUUGUAUCCAAGUUUUUGAGGUAAUAAUGCUAAACCAAUAUAUUAACUUUCGCAUGAUAAACUUUAUCUCUAUCAAGACAAACUGCCAUGUGCAUCAAGCCAAAUACGUACACUUCGAUCCAUGAAAAUGACAAGUAGAAGGUUUUCUUAAGAACCAAGGAACAGCAUUAGUAUUCCCUCUGUUUCCAAAACUUGUGUAUUAAAUAGAUUAAUGAAUUGUUUAACAUGCUUAUCUACUUGAAAAUGCACAAUACCCAUAACCCACUGAAAUUUUUGCAGGUAAAGGGGAAGAGAAUCUGUGUUUGAGAGCUUCAUGAAGAUGUUGAAGAAUAAGAAUAAAAGCCCAAUGCGAGGAUGUUUUCAAGUUUUUCUAUGUUUCCACUUUAAUUUGUAAAUUGAAUUUUUCGACUUAAUUAAUUCCCUGUUUGUGGGGUACGUAUUGUUUUACGUACCAUGCCGUACAUGUUUGUAAGGAUUUCUAUCCUAUUGGCAAAAGUCGGUUCCAUACAAUUAAUCAAUUCAUUUCACUUCUAUUGGCUCUACUAUUUAUGCACGUUACGACAUUUUUUCUCUCUUUCCCUUAUAUUUUGUCUUUAAUAUUAUUGAGUCAAUAGUAAUACUGGGCCAUUUUUUUUAAAACUUAUACUAGUAUACAUAGGUAGUUUGGUCUAACGCCAAAUUCAUGUUUGUCUUUCUUUUAUUCCCUUUACAUUUCAAAGUAUACUAUAGUUUGUGAUCAUUGUGGUGAUGAUAUUACCAGCUGGUACUUAUAGUUUAAGGCAGAGACAUGAUAUUAACAACUAUCUCAUUGAAACAUAAGGAAAAAUCAUGACAAGUGUGAGUCUUGGUUAAUGCACAAUUUGUUAGUGGAAUUUAUAUUUAUAAAACUCAAAAAAAAAAUUUUGACAAUGCUAUUACUAAUUAAUUAAGGACUUUAUUGCUAUAAUUUAUCGCUUGCUAGUUUAAACUAUAAAUGAUCUCAAUACUUUUCUCCAUGAUGUCGAUUUCUUUAGAUACGAAAGGGAAAAAUUAGUGACAUAUCCCUUACUGAUUACAACAUCAGCAAAAAUUAGUUAUAAACUUUUCCGGUGGUUUUAAAUCCCCGGGCCCUAAGAUUUUUUGCUCAUCGAGUGAAUUAAGGAACAUAGGCAAUUCAUUUUGCAUACCAAGUCCUUGUUUAAGAUGCAAGUACUAAAAUGCAUCCACUUCAUUAAUUUGGGAAAUUGCCAUAGUUUUUUUAAGCAUUUUGAUUUUUUACAUGAUUUAAAAUUUUCUUAUUGGAUACAAUCACUUUGUAUCAAGAACACAUUUUCAAUCACCUUUUUUUAUCUUCUCAAUGAGAAAAUAAAAAUUUAUUCAUGCUUUUCUAACAUAUUCAAUCAUUGAUCUGAAAAUUAAAACAUUAAGAAAAGGACAUUUUCAAACAUUAAGAAGUAGUAUUUUAAAGACCAUGAUGAAAUUAAUACUUUCAAGGUCUCUAUUAGGAAGACUUCCUUUAUUAAUACUCUACUAGGCAGAGUUAUAUGCACGUUUACUGUUUUGGCCUUAAGUUGGGUGCAGAUGCUUAUAUUACAAAUAGAUGGUAUCAAAAAAUUGUUGUAUUCACGUCUGUUCUUUUUUUCUUCCUUAAGUUUUUUUCUUUAUUCUCGUGACUUCGCUAGUGAGGUAUAACUUCACAACUAGAGUCAAUAGAAAUCGUCAAAUGAUUUUUUGACAUCCAAAUUAAGCAAUAAAUUUUGUUUUCAUUUCAUAACAUAUAAUAGUACUACUUCAUGGGAGAUUUUAUAGUUUCUUUAGGGUAUCAUACCUACAAUUGAUAUUUAUCAUUGGAUAGUGAAAGAAGUGUUAAUGUCUCUAAGAUUAAAUAUUGUUAAAUAUUGAAAAUUUGAACUAUUUAUCUCUAUUGAGAGAUACAACUUAAAGAAUCCUACCCAAAAGAGACUAGAAUUUUCUCUGUUUUUCAUCAUCUGUAGACAUAAACUUUCCACGGUUGAUAGCAUUUUUCAUCAUCUAUAAGGAAAUUUUGCCUAUACAAUGUGAUAGCAUUUUUCAAAAAGACAAGAUGGAAAAUUGCCCCCCUUGAACGGAAAAUUGCCCCCUUGUCAAUUCUUUAAAAAAGAAUACCGUCCCGCAGAAUUCUAGAAAGUUAGGCAAAACUAGACAAGUUGACAGGUAUAAUCAGACCCAAGAUCAGGAACAAGCAGUUGCACAUUUCAAAAUUCGCUGCUGCAACAACUAAUUUGAUGACUUACAACACUAAAUGGUCAAACUUUGAAUGGCAAUGAAUCUUUUGUUGUACAUCAUGAUGUAAUUUUCAUGUUACAUAAUAGAUUGAUAUCUAUGUUCUUUAAAUUAUCAUAAUAAUUAAAUUUAACUGAAAAAAAGAACACAUAUCAAUACACAAAAGUGUGCAACGUGAAUGUUAUUUUAGUGUAUUGCAGAAGACCUAUAGUCUCUUCAUAUCUCUUCCUGCACGUAUCAAUUCGUUUCCUCUAGAUAAUAAUCUCCCAACUCAUUUAUUUACAAAUGCACCUUUUAUGUUUUAUUACCUCCAAAAGCCUAAAAAUCAAUUCACCGACUCGCAUUUGGUAUCAGAAAUUCUUAUUACGAAUUCUACUUUACUCAAAGAUUGACUGUUAAUAAUGAGACAACGACCAUUUUGUAUUAUUACACCGUCCUUCUUGAUAGGCAAAAGAAAUAGAGAGGAAAGCGGGUCCGUAUAUGGUCUUUUAUUCAUAGAUAAUACAACAUUACGCCAUCGAGCAUUCACACAAUAUUUCAAAGUCAUUGCAUGCCUAAGGCCUGCUUGAUAAUCUAAUUCCGUACUUAAAUUUAAUAAAUUCAAAUCUUAACACAUUCAAAUCGUUUGAUAACAAAAAAUUGAACAUCUAAAUUAAUUAAGUAACACUGAAUUUUCUAGGCAAAACUUGCUCCCAAAAUUAAGUGAUAAGUUAUUCACUUAUCACUGAAUAUGAUAUGUAUUCAAAUGUAUUAGAUUUAAUACUUAAUAAUUUAAUGAAUUCAAAUUUCAUAUUUCAUAUUUCAGUUUUAUCAAACACACCUUAAGUUGCAAAAUAAUACCAAAACUUGUUAUUACAUAGCUUGAGAUUCAAAAAUUUAGAGCAUAAUUCUCAACCAAACACAAUUGAAUAAUGAAUAUUCACGAGUGUCAAAUCUAUCAAAGUACAAUUUGAGGACAACCCAUUCAAACGCGUACACGAUUUUUAACUUUUCUAAAGUUGUUGAGAGCUGUUGAAAGAGAUUUACCAUGUUUACAUCUUCCAAGUCUUGGGAGUAAAAAAUGAAGCCACUGAGUGCUAUAAAAAGGGGGGUAGAGGCCACUUGAGAUCCUCGGUGACAUGUUUUCUAUGCCAAUCCAAUGCCACCAAUAGUGUUGCGCCAAGUGUCAUGUUAUUAUUUACACUUGUGUUAAACUAAGCCAAGUUGAAUUAUUAGAAAAUUAAAGUGUAAAUAAUAACAUGACACUUGGCGCAAUACUAUUGGUGACAUUGGGUUGGCAUAGAAAAUAUGUCACCGAGGAUCCCAAGUGGAUAGAUGCUGCCUAGAAGCAUAUCAGCCUAAAACAAGAAUUUGUAGUAACAAUGGGGAGCAAAGCAAAAGCAACGGGGUCUAGGCUGACUCCUCUUCUUACCACUGUUUUAGUGGUAUUUGUUGCCCUUGGCUUGCCCUUGGAAACUGCAGCUGAUUAUUACAAGUAUUCAUCUCCUCCUCCUCCUCCUUACCAGUAUUCCUCACCACCACCUCCAGUGUAUUCACCUCCACCAACCCCUGUUUAUAAGUUACCCCCACCAUCUCCUCUAGUUUACAAGUCCUCACCACCACCUUACCACUACUCACCACCUCCUGUGUAUUCACCUCCACCAUCACCAAUUUACAAGUCACUGCCACCACCCCCUCCAGUAUACAACUCCCCGCCUCCACCAGUGUACAAAUACAAGUCCCCACCACCACCUUCUCCAAUUUACAAAUCUCCACCGCCACCAGUUUACAAGUACAAGUCACCCCCACCACCUCCUCCGGUAUACAAGUCUCCUCCGCCACCUGUUUACGAGUACAAGUCUCCUCCACCACCUCCUCCAGUGUACAAGUCCCCACCACCUCCAGUUUACAAGUACAAGUCACCACCACCUCCUCCCCCGGUUUACCAAUCUCCUCCACCACCAGUUUACAAAUACAAGUCACCACCACCUCCUCCCCCAGUUUACCAGUCUCCACCUCCACCCUAUCAUCACUACUACGGUUCUCCUCCUCCUCACCACUACUAAGCAAGUGCAUCUAAGUUUUGAGGUAAUAAUACCGAUCCAAAACUUUAUCAACGCAAACUGCCAUGUAUAUCAUGCUAAGGACGUACACUUGAUCCAUGAAAAUGGCUAGUAGAAGAUUUUUUUUAAGAACCAGAGAAAUACAUUAUUUUUUCGCUCUGUUUUCAAGAAUUUGAGCAGUAUACAGAUUAAAGAGUGUUUUUUUUAAACUUGCUUAUCAACUUAGAAAUGCACAUAGCUGAAAGCCAACUGAAUAUUUGCAGGCAAAGGAGAAGGCAAUCGGUGUUUGAGACCUUCAUGAAGAUGUAGAAGAAUAAGAAUAAAAGCCCAAUGCGAGGAUGAUUUCAAGUUUCUACGUUACCAUUUCUACAUCUAAAUUGACUUUAGCUCCUGAGUUCCAUGUCUAUGGGGUUUGUACUGUUUUACGUACCAUGCAGUACAUGCUUGUAAGGUUUUCUGUCCUGUUGGCAAGCCGCAGGUCCAUAUAAUAAAUGAAUACUAUUUAUAUUACGACACUUUUCUCUCUUUCUCUUAUAUUUUGUCUUUAAUAUUGUUGAUCAUUUUUUUUUUUUAUCAAAAGUAUCAAAUGCUUAGGCAAUUUGGUCUAAUGCUAAUUGUUUUACAUUUAUUUUUCACCUACAUCCCUUUUCAACUCAAAGGAUGCUACAGUUUGUGAUCAUUGUUUAAGACCGAAGCAUGGUACUAAUAAAUAUCUCAUUGAAAGUCAAGGAAACUAACAUUAUGAAAAGUGUAAAUCUUGAUUUGUGAAACUAUUUAUUCGUGGAAUUUAGAGAUACAAAACUCAAAUUGUGACGGUGUUGUUGCUAAAUUAUUUUUUUUUUAUAAUAAAACACAGUUCAUUCAAGGAUUACUGGAAAUCGUCCAGCACAAUUGAGAUACAUUGUUGCCCAGGUGGCAGAUAAAUAUGCACUAAAAUUAUAGAUAUGCAAUUUAACAAAUACAUAAGAUUUGAGAAAUUAAGGACAAAUCUAAAAAGGACCAUAAAUUUGAAAAACAUUUCAUCCUAGAAUAAGUCGCUGCAACUCUCUUUGUGCAUGCUGUAAUCGUCAGAUCUACUAAUCAACAGUUGUAAGGUCCAGUAAAGAUGGUGAGAUCUGCCGAGAUUGAUCCAAAUCUGAAAUAUUCCCUCAGAUCUGCUAUCCAAUUGGUUCAAACUCAAUACUGAAAGUGAAAUCUGAUGAGAAGACUGAAAAAAUUGUAGAUCUAACAUAUAGAUCUAAAAAAACUCCAAGAUUUGAAAAAGUAAAGAAACAAAACUAAAUAAAACUCUCAUUAAGAUAGUUUAGGAGAGACUAAAACUCUCAAUAGGACACCCUAGGAGAGAAGAAAACUCUCACUAGGAUAACCUAUGAGAGACUUUAUUGAAUGAAAGGAAAAGCAAAGGACAAAGGAAGAAGAAGGGAGACCUUGGCUUAAGGCCAAGGUCUCCCUCCUAUGGAGGAGGAAGGGUAGAGGAGGAAGCCUAGAGAGAAGGAAGAGAAUCCCUCCGCUAGAGGGAAGGAAGAGCCUCUGAGAGGGUACCCGUGUUGUUGCUAAAUUAUUAAGGACAUUAUCACCAUUACUUUUCCCUUACUAGUUUCAACUGCAAUGAUCUCAAUCUUUUUGUGACUAAUUCUUUUCUUAAUAAUUUAUAAAUACAAAACUCACAAAGAAUAUGUGACUUAUUCUUUCCUUUCGUCUUCUAAAGAAAAUGCCAACUGUUAGUUUAUCAAGGGAAAAAGGAUCGACAUCAGUUGUUAUUGAAACUAGUAAGGAAUAAAUAAUGGUGAUAAUGUCCUUAAUAAUUUAACAACAGCACCAUCAGAAUUUGAGCUUUGUAUCUAUAAAUUCCACGAAUAAAUAGUUUCAUCAAAUCAAGAUUUACACUUUUCAUAAUGUUAAGUUUCCUUGACUUUCAAUGAGAUAUUUAUUAGUAUCAUGCUUCGGUCGUAAACAACGAUCACAAACGAUAGCAUCCUUUGAGUUGAAAAGGGUAGUGAAAAAGAGAAGUAAAAAAUACAAUUAGCAUUCCCUCAAAUUGUAGAAAGUUAGGUAGCAUUAUAGACAAGUUGAUAGCCGUAAUUAUACUAAAAAUCAGGCAAAAGCCAGCAAUUUUACAUUUCAAAAUUCACCUAUUCAAUAACUAAUUCGAUGGCUUGCUACAUGGUCAAAAUUCACCACAUAUCCCUUUCCUCAAUCAGGGGCUUCUACAAUUACCAGUUCCAAUUGUAUGGUAUAGUGUAAAUAUCAACAAAUUAGAUGUAGACACUAAUAUAAUAAAUAUGGAUGCUAAGGCAACAACAUACAAAAACAUAAUAAAUUUUGGCAUUCCUUAAAAAAUUACGUCCCCAAAUCAAUCUCAUACACCCAAUUUCUAAUUUAUUUAACUCAUUCCGUCUAUUAACUGCACCAUACAAUCCAACCUGCAAUUGCAUGAACCCCAAUCUCGCUUCCUAGUCCACCAUUUUUCUCUAGGUAAUAAUCUCCCUUCUAAUUUCUUCACAAAAUGCACCUUUCAUCACCUCCAAUAGCGUCGACAUGAUCUUUACCCUAGAAGACUAUUCACCGACUCCCAAUUGACGUCAGAAAAUCUAAGAGUAAUUCUACUUUACCCUAAGAUUGAUAUCAACUAGACAAUGACAAUUUAGAAUUAUUACACGCCUCUUCUUAAUAGGAAAAAGAAAUAGAGAAGAAAGUCAGGCCAGGUCUAAUUUCUUUUCGAAGGCAAUACAACAUUACGAAAUCAAGCAUUCAUUCAUACAAAUAUUUCAUAGUCACCGGUUUGCUGAGUAGAAAAGUUUAUACAAAAACUUAAUAUUAUAUUGUUUAAGAGUUAACAAUUUAGAGCUUAAUCUCCUUGUACUUUGGACUAAACUCGAACGUGAAAGGAAAUCCCAAAACCAUAUUGGGCAUGAAUUCACACUUAAAUAGACCCAAAAAAAGAUGGCGACUGGUGAAAGGCAGUGGAGACUGGUGGUGAGAUUUGAGGAAUAGAAGCAGACGGAAAAGCCACAAAUUUUUGCCGAAAGAGGGUCACUUUCAUGGUUAAUUUUGCUACUCUCUACUUGUACUUGACCAAUGACAGGUUGUCAGUCUGUGCAAUAAUAAAAACCUGUUCAAACUAAAAGUAAUUUCUGUAGAUAGUGGUAAGCAGGGUCGAAUCCACAGGGAUUAGGUGUAACUGUUUCUUUUCAAAUUCACAAUAACAAAGGGGGUGUUUUUAUGCAGAAUGUGACAAUCAAAGAAAUUCAAUUAAAAGUAAAAUAAUAAAAAUAAAAUAGCCAACUAGAAAUUAAAUAACAAUUUACUAAAAUCAAAUGAGUGAUAAUUAAGGAUCUAGCCAAGGAAUAACUUCAGCAGUGGUUCACCUAAUUGAUCAUUGGAACAAAGGCAAUUCCAAUUAUUUACUAAUAAAUAGGUUAUAACUGCCAAACAAGCGAUGACAGUCAAUCACUCCUUACUGUGUCGGUGAUUAAGGUACGCCCGUUAAUCACUGCCCUAAUUGAGAAAUAAUCUUAGGUACGCCCGUAAGAUUUAAUUUUCCAAUUGCCUUACAUAUUAGAGGAGUGUCAGGAACAAGGAAAUAGAAUGGGACGUCGUUUAAUGCAAAGGGUUGUGCGUUUAAGGCCUUAGAAGCAAUACUACGUCGUUCUAAUAACAUAGGCGGUGCUGGUGUGAUAGGCCAAGUUAGUUGAGGGUCAAUUACAUAAAUAGCCUUCUGUAACAGAUUUUUGGUUAUGUUUUUGAAUGAAAAGUAUCUCGCUGCUUUCUCUCUCUUGUCUGUUAUUUCCCUCCCUUUUCUUCUUUCUCUCUUCCCUCUUCUUAAUCUUGUUUCUUUCUUCUGAUUCUUCCCCCAAAUUCAAUACAAUUCCAGAAAUUAACCUGCAAGUCUGACAUUUGGUAUCAGAGCGGUCGAUUCUUGGCCGCGAAGGUAUCAGAAAUGGCUGAGAGCACGCGAUUCAGGACACUGGAGGAGCAACUCAAGAAGCAGGAGAAUCGGUUGCAAGAACUGGCGGAAUCCAUGGCUGCACUGCAGAGUACGAGUUCCGAGGAGUUGCGGCAUAAGCUACAGGCGGAAAUGGAGCAGAACAAUGCAAAAUUGGACGCGGUGGUGGGAAGUCUGGACCAGAAGUUCAAUAAAAUGGAACAGAGACUCAGUACAGUGUUGAAGCUGCUGAUGAAGGAGAAAGGUCUCCCUGAUGUCGAAGGAGGAAUUUCUGAUCCAAUCUUGCCGACUCCUCCAUCUCAUCUGAGGUUAGCAUCCUCAGUCGAAGGGAUUGGGCACCAACAAGAGUACAGAGGUAGGCAAUUCACUCCUAAUGUACCUCGAUUAGAACUGCCAAUGUUUAACUCUGGAAACCCUAGGGAAUGGACCAGGAAAUGCCAGAAAUAUUUUUUGAACUAUCAGAUAGCAGAGAGUCAAAAGGUAGAGGUAGCAGAGAUGUUUUUGGAAGGUAGAGCUGACAAUUGGUUUCAAGGAGUGAAAUUGGUGAGGCCAGGGUUGUCUUGGGGGGAAUUUAGUGAACUUUUGUGUGAAAGAUUUUCUGGAAGUAGUUCUCGUGACAUUGUGGAGGAAUUUAACAAGUUACAGCAGAAAGGAACUGUUGAGGAAUAUGAGGAGAAAUUUGAAGAACUAAAAGCUCUAAUGCUGAUGAAAACCCCCAGGUUGGAUGAACUUUACUUUGUUUCCAGUUUUAUUAGUGGCCUCAGGGAAGAAAUUAGACCUAUGGUGAAGAUGUUUAAGCCUCAAACACUGAUGAAGGCCUUUGAAGUUGCGGAGUUGCAGGAGUGUUCCCUGGAAAUCCAAUCGAAACAAAACAGAACUUCAAGGAGGACAGCAAUGGAACCCAAGUUUGGAAUGUAUAAGGGCACUACGAGUGAUUAGGGUCGCCAAAAUUCAUAUAAGUUGCCUGGAGUCACUCCUGUCUCCAGGAGGACUAAUGCAGUACACAAGGAAUUUAGUAAGAUAUCAGCGGAGGAAAUGCAGUAUAAGCGUAAGCACAGCCUGUGCUAUAGGUGUGGAGAGAAGUUUGGAAUAGGUCAUCAGUGUAAGAAAGGAAGUCUGAACUGUGUGAGCACUGAGGAAGAGGAGGACACUGAAUUUGAGGAUGCGGAAGGGGAACAGGAUGAGUUAACAGGAAGGGUCGGGGAACUUGCAGAAGUCUCUUUGAAUGCUUUAUCUGGUGCCAUAAGGAGGAAAUCCAUCCUGUUGAUAGGGAACUUAGGGGGGCUUCCAGUCAAAAUUUUGGUGGACACAGGCAGUUCUAACAGCUUCAUUCACCACAGGAUUGUCAACCUACUGCAUCUACCAUAUCAGGCAGUCAGUCCAUUUACUGUGACUCUAGCAGAUGGAACUGACAUUACCAGUGGAGCCAUCAGUCCCAGCGUGUCUUGGUUAAUUCAGGACUAUCAAUUCCAAUUUGACUUAAAAGUAAUGGAAUUAGGGGGAUGGGAUAUAAUUCUGGGGGUGGACUGGAUGUGCCAGUAUAGUCCCAUUACAUUUGAUUUCCACUCUCUUAGCAUUGCCCUUAGUGAUAGGGGUUCUUUACUACACCUCCAAGGACUUGUGAAGCAACCUACUAUGGAACUGGUGAGGGGCAGGGAUCUCAGCUCGUUUAUACAGGAGAAGCAAAGAAACUGUGCAGCCAUGCAUGCUGAUAGGGCCAGGGAAACAGGAGAGCAGCUUCCAAAAGCUAUAGAAAGGAUCCUGGAACAGCACUCUCAGGUUUUCUCCACCCCAACAGGAUUACCCCCAGAGAGGGAAUUGGACCAUCAGAUCAACCUCAAACCAGGAGCUGAACCCUUCAAGCUCAAACCUUACAGGUACCCCCACUCACAUAAAGCAGAAAUUGAAAAAAAAGUUGCUGAGAUGCUCACUAAUGGAAUUGUUAUACAUAGCACAAGCCCCUAUGCCUCCCCUGUAUUGUUAGUAAAGAAAAAGGAUAACUCCUGGAGAUUAUGCAUAGAUUACAGGAAGCUGAACGAGCUGACUAUAAAGGAUAAGUUCCCUAUUCCCAACAUAGAUGAACUAUUGGAUGAAUUACAUGGAACCAGAUACAUGUCCAAACUGGAUCUCAGAGCUGGUUACCAUCAGUUGAGGGUGAAAGCUGUUGAUACCCCUAAGACUGCCUUCCAGACACACCAUGGCCACUUUGAAUUCUUAGUGAUGCCUUUUGGACUCACAAACGCGCCAGCUACAUUUCAGUCCUUGAUGAACAGAAUAUUUCAGCCAUAUCUCAGAAAGUUUGUCCUAGUCUUCUUUGACUACAUAUUAGUGUACAGCCCCACACUAGAGAUGCAUGCACAGCAUCUACAGAUUGUGCUCAAUAUUUUAGAAGAAAAUCAGCUGUAUUACAAGAGGUCAAAGUGCUCUUUUGCCCAGUCCUCAAUUGAAUACUUGGGGCACGUGAUCUCAGAGGCAGGAGUGAGUAUGGAUGUGGCUAAGGUGGAGUGUAUCAAGUCCUGGUCUGUUCCUAGUACAGUCAAGGAGCUGAGAGGGUUUUUGGGAUUAAUUGGUUACUACAGGAGAUUCAUUAAAGGCUAUGGAGUGAUUAGCAAACCCUUGACUGUAUUGUUGAAAAAGGAAGGUUUUGCAUGGAACCAUGAAGCUCAAAUGGCCUUUGAAGAUUUGAAAAAGGUUAUGACCACAGCCCCAGUGCUGAGCAUGCCUAAUUUCGAACUUCCUUUUGUCAUAGAGACUGAUGCCUGUGGAAUAGGUAUUGGAGCAGUGUUGAUGCAGCAAGGACAUCCUAUUGCUUUCCUUAGCAAGGCAUUAUCAGUUCAGAAUUUGGGGUUAUCAGUCUAUGAAAAAGAGCUUUUUGCCUUAGUGCUAGCUGUAACUAAGUGGAGGCAUUACCUGGUGGGUCAUCACUUCAUUAUCAGGACAGAUCACCAAGCUCUCAAACAUUUGAUAGAGCAAAGGCUUACUCAUCCACUCCAGCACAAGUGGCUAACUAAGCUACUUGGUUUGGACUAUGAAAUACAGUAUAAAAAGGGUGCAGACAAUGGGGUGGCAGACGCCCUCUCCAGGAGAAGGAUUGAGGGAAACACUGUUGACUGUGGAGAGACUGGGCAUCAGACCUGCGCCAUAACCUCAGCUCAGCCUAGUUGGAUGCAGGAAAUGCUAGAAAGCUACAUUGGAGAUGCAGAGGCUCAACAGAAGUUAUCUGAGCUAUUGCUGGAUCCCAAUGCAGAUCCAGAUUAUCAGUUAAAGAAUGGGAUGCUCAAGUUUAAAGGGCGGCUGUACAUAGGAUCUGCUAACAACAUUAGGACCAAGGUGGUCAGAGCAUUGCAUGACUCAGCCCUUGGGGGGCACUCAGGUCCUGGAAUCCGUAAGGAUGUCCUUCAAUAUGUGAGAUCUUGUGAUGUGUGUCAAAGGAACAAACAUGAAAAUGUUCCUUAUCCUGGGUUGCUGCAACCAAUUCCUGUACCUCAGCAGGCUUGGUCACACCUCACCAUGGAUUUUAUUGAGCAACUACCCCCAUCCCAUGGAUUUGAUACCAUUUUGGUGGUGGUGGAUAGGUUAACCAAGUUCAGCCACUUCAUUCGACUCACUCACCCUUUUUCUGCACAGCAGGUAGCACAGCUUUUCCUUGACAACAUAUACAAGCUGCAUGGACUUCCUGAGACCAUUAUAACUGACAGGGACAUAAUCUUUCUUAGUAAGUUUUGGCAAGAGUUAUUUGGUAUGGUAGGGGUAAAGCUGCACUACAGUUCAUCGUAUCACCCUCAAUCAGAUGGUCAAAGUGAAAGGGUCAAUCAGUGUUUGGAAAACUAUCUCAGGUGUAUGUGCAGUGAGCAUCCUUCUCACUGGAGCAGUUGGCUUCCUACAGCUGAGUUAUGGUACAACACUAACUUCCAUACUAGCUUGCAGGUGACACCAUUCGAAGCACUAUACGGGUAUAAACCAAAUCACCUUCCCUUAGGACCUUUUCAUGAUAGCCUGGUACCUGCUGCUGGUAACAUGGUGCAGACUAGGCUCCAAAUUCUAUCCCUCAUCAAAGAGAAUCUAGCCACCGCCCAGAAUCGAAUGAAAAUGUUUACUGAUAAGCACAGGACUGAACGUGUCUUCCAAGUGGGGGAUUGGGUAUUUCUCAAGCUGCAACCUUACAGGCAACAAUCAGUGGCCUUACGGAAGAAUUUGAAGUUGGCUGCCAAAUACUUUGGACCUUUCCAGAUCCUUGCGAGAGUAGGGGAAGUCGCCUACAGACUUAAGUUGCCAGAGGGAGCUCGAGUUCAUUCCGUGUUCCAUGUGUCCUUACUUAAAAGGAAAGUGGGAGUUACACAGCAGGUAAAGCCCAGCUUGCCAGAAGUAGACGCAUCAGACCAAUGUUUGCUGAAGCCAGAGAAGAUUCUCCAGAGGCGUGUUAUCAUACGAGCUGCCAAACCAAUCAUCCAGUACCUGGUGAAGUGGAACAACUUACCAGAAUCCGAAGCAUCAUGGGAGGAUAAAAGCUUCAUUGACAGACAAUUUCCGGAAUUUCAAGCUUGAGGACAAGCUUUGCUUAAGGGGAAGAGAUUGUCAGGAACAAGGAAAUAGAAUGGGACGUCGUUUAAUGCAAAGGGUUGUGCGUUUAAGGCCUUAGAAGCAAUACUACGUCAUUCUAAUAACAUAGGCGGUGCUGGUGUGAUAGGCCAAGUUAGUUGAGGGUCAAUUACAUAAAUAGCCUUCUGUAACAGAUUUUUGGUUAUGUUUUUGAAUGAAAAGUAUCUCGCUGCUUUCUCUCUCUUGUCUGUUAUUUCCCUCCCUUUUCUUCUUUCUCUCUUCCCUCUUCUUAAUCUUGUUUCUUUCUUCUGAUUCUUCCCCCAAAUUCAAUACAAUUCCAGAAAUUAACCUGCAGAUCUGACAAGGAGCCCUAUUCUAACCAAAUAACACACUACCAGGGUUAUUUUAGGUUAGCCCGCGUAUUCCCCUGACAUGAAUCCAAUCAUGCCAGUUAUCACUAUUUUGAAACAAUUAAACAAUUACGGAUUUAACGUCCCAAUUGACAAUAGAUUAUCAAAUUAACUAAUUAUCCGGAUCCAAAACAAUCAAUUAAUUAAAUAAUCAUAAGCACUGUAAUCAGGGAAUAUUUGAAUACCAAUAAAUAAAAAGAAAGGACAAAAUUAAAUCGAUUUCACAAUUUUUAAACGAACCACAACCUCAGUUGUUCCUCGGCUAGAUUGAGAAAAUUAGCUCAUGUUCGAUGCGAAAAAUCCACAAGAAAUUGUUAAGAGAGCCGCGGCCAUUGUCCCUUGAAAUUGGGGAAAUUCAAUUCGGUUGAACUACGAAAGAAAAGUAAGCUACAGAGAGUUGCCGAUUGGGUUUUGCUUGUCCCUAACAUGCGAGGGAGCAAAGCCACGAAAGGACGACAAAGGUCAAAAAGAAAGGCUACAGAGCAUGUUCCAGGUCUUUUUGUGCUCUCCACAUCCGAGCCAACGAAAAGAAAUAAAAAACUACCAGGAGCUAAAGGAAAACCGCAAGAAAAGUCAAAGGCUAAAAAAACUUCCUAGUGCUUGUUCUCUGCUUAUCUCUUUAUCUAAUUCUAAGUCCCCGAUUUUUUGCUCCGUGCGGCGGCUCCCCCGGAGAGAAAGGAUUGCAUCCGCUGCCCUCUUCCACCAAUUACCAAAAUGGGCACACCGCUUCUUUUUCAAAAAUGCUCCUGGAUAAACUCUAUCAUCUGGACUUUUUUUCUGUCAAAUUGACAUUUAUUAUUAUAUUUUCGUUCUACUCCCUGAAAUAAAUGUAAAAUAUUAAAAAUGAGUAGAAUCCGACAAUUAAUUCACAUCAGGUCAGAUAAUAAAGAAAAUUAAUAAUAAAAUAAAUAAAUAAAUUGCAACCUAUCAACCAAAUACAACAAUUUCAUGGAGUUUGAUACACAAGCCCAAAUACACGAGAGUGUGUAACCUGAAUUGUUACUUAUACAUUAGUGUGUAAUAGAACGGCAAGCAUUAUGGUGGUCAUUGAGCAACUUGUAGGAGAAAUAGUCCUAUAAGCUGUUCAAUGACCAAUCACAACUUGCUAAUUGGAUGACUAAUAUAGCUCUAGCUGUAAUGUUUUAAUUAAAUUCCAUCACUAACGUUGGGAUGACUUUUUAAUCAAAAAAAAAAAAGCCUUAGUUCAAGCUUUUCCCCUUAUUGUGCAUUUUUUAAAACAUUUGAUAGGCACUGCAAAUCUGUCAUUUUGGACAUUUUAUUAUUAACUAACAAUGAAAGCCGUGGACAUCAACCCAUAUCCAACAAAAUAUUAAAUUAAUAUUAGAAAAAAUUAUUAAGUAAUUGGAAAAAAAAAGAAGAGGCUAAUUUUCAUUGAAACCCACCGACAAACUAUACGCUGCUUUCAAUCAGUUUUAACACGGGAAAAAGAAAAGGCAUGAAAAGCAAAAUUUGUGGGGAUAAUUUCGGAAACCUCCCAUGAAGUUUUUGACUAUUUUACUGGCCUCCCUUCAGAUUUUAAAAAUUGGACUAAUCUUCCUUAAAGUUAAUUAUCUUGUAACAUUUAGAUCCGAUCAAUAAUUUAAAAAAUAAUAUUAUGAGAGAGAAAAUAAUAUGAUUUUAUUAUUGCCCCCAUCUCACCACAUUAUUUAAUUAAUUUAAUAGCAACCCACACAUUAAAGAAAAUGACAGGUCGUCAACCUGUGCAAUAAUAAAAUUAAACCUAAUUGCCAGUUAAAAUGACCAAAACCCAAUUCCAAGUACUGGAGCAGGGACUCUAGGUGUGCAAUGGGUUACUUGAUUCACCCUGUUCCCGAAGAGUUUGCUUGAUCCGAUAUACCCGAAUGGAAUGGUUAUUCCUUUUCACAAAUGAUUAGGAAUUUGUAGACAGGGCAAGUAGGGUCGUAUCCACAGAGACUGGGUAUAUUUGUUUCUUAAGAAAUCCAAAGUAACACAGGGGGUGAUUUUGUAGGAACGACGAUAAUUAAAUAAAUUCAAAUGAGAAAGUAAAAAUAAAUAAUUAACUAGAAAUUAAACCACAAUUUACUGAACUCAGGAUAACAAUAGUUAAAGGCCUCAAUUAAUUAAAAUAAGGAAACAAUCAAAAAUAAAAUAAAGUAGGUAAUUAAAAGUCAAAUGGCAAUCCACUACAAUCAAGGAAAUAUUAACUAAAGAUCUAGCCAAGAAAUAACUUCAGCAAUGGUUCACCUAAUCGAUCAUUGAUGCAAAGCAAUCCCAAUUAUUUACUAAUAAAUAGGUUAUAACUACCAAACAAGCGAUGGCAGUCAACCCCUCCUUACUGUGUCGGUGAUCAAGGUACGCCCGUUAAUCACUGCUCUAAUUGAGAAAUAAUCCUAGGUACGCCCGUAGAAUUUAAUUCCCCAACUGCCUUACGUAUUAGAGGAGCCCUAUUCUACCCAAAUAACACACUACCAGGGUUAUUUUAGAUUAGCCCGCGUAUCCCCCUGACACGAAUCUAAUCGUGCCAGUUGUCACUAAUUUGAGGUAAUUAAACAAUUACGGAUUCAAUACCCCAAUUGACAAUAGAUUAUCAAACCAAUGAAUUAUCCGGAUCCAAGACAAUCAACUAAUUAAAUAAUCAUAAGCACUGCAACCAAGGAAUAUGCGAAUACCAAUAAAUAAAGGAAAAGAUAAAAUUAAAUCGAUCUCACAAUUUACAGGUGACCCAAAGCAUCAGUCGUUUCUUGACUAGAACGAGGGGGUUAGCUCAUAUUGGAUGAACUAAGCCCGCGGGAAAUUCCAGCAAAAGUCACGGCCGUUGUAUGCAUUUCAAGAGCCGCAAUUCGUCAAACACUUGGAAAGCGAAUGUAAGGCACGGGUAACAAUUGAAACUUUCUAAUUGUUCCUAGCAUUCGUAAAGCAAAUUCACUCCAGAAGUACAGUGAGGAAAAGUCAAAGAAAGUGGGCUUCAAUUCCUUGCUCCUGACAUGCGUGGAGACAAGCCAAUGCAAGACUACAAUAAACUAACAAGGAAAAGUCAAGAAUUGGAGCUAAGCUCCCCUGCCAUGCGCAGGAAUCCCAAAAGUAAAAAGUAAAGCUUCAAAGAAAAGUCAACAAUUCUUCCUAAGCUACAGACGGAAGAUCCAGCACAAAAGCCAGCUCCCUUUUUGAUCCCUUUUUCCCCCUUCUUAUUGCGGCGGCUCACCAGGAGAGGAGAGCCCUCCGUCCGUCCUUUCUUCCGGAAAUUACCAAAAUGGGCAUGACAUCUUCUCUUCCAAAAGUGCCCCUGGGACAAGCUUUCUCAUCUGAAUUCUUUUUUUUUCCAAUUUGGCACCUGUUAUCAUAUUUAUAUUCUACUCCCUGAAAUAAACGUCAAAUACUAAAAGUGAGUAGAAUCCAGCAAAUAAAUCCACAUCAAGUCAGGUAAUAGGAGGAAUUAAUAAUAAAAUAAAUGAAUAAAUUGCACCCUAUCAAUUCCCUCCACACCUAAACCAUGCUUGUCCUCAAGCAUAAGAAAAGUAAACGAACACCAAAAUUCGACGAUAGCCAUUGCCCAAUCUCCUAUAUUGCCAAGACAUUCAAGAGAAAAACACAUAUCGAGCAUUGGUGAUUAGAAUCCCAGAAGCAUCCCCCCGGUUAGCCUCUAACCCCCAGAUUCCUUCAAUUUCCAACUUAACUACUCUAAGAAAGAGGAAUGGCACACAACAUUUAUCAGCUAGUGGUCCGAAUAUUCACACAAGUCUUCAUAUCCAAUCCAUAAACCGGCAAGCUUCCCUAUUAUUUAGUCUCUCUUUUUUUCCGUUUUUUUUCAUUUUCAUUCUUCCCCUCUUUUUUUUUUUUUUUUAAAGCAGUAGCAAUCAACACAAAAGACUUAGUCGUUAGCCGUCAGGGCCUUUUGAUGCGAACUCCAACAUUUUUAGAAGGAGGAGCCCGGUUACUCAGCUCCUACCGCUAUACGACCACGCACUCAUAUAAAAUACCACCUUUUGACGCGAGAAUCGACACUUUUAGGUGCCGAUCCCCGGUUACUCAGUAGUAACUUAAUAGCGGAGCACAGUCAAGCUUAUUCUCAGCCAAACAAUGCACAAACGCAAAAUAACAGCACUAACAAUCAAACAUAGGAGCAGCUCGCCUCAUUAUUGUCAAACAUGGAGAACUGGAGUCAAUAUUGGACCAGUUCACAUUAAAAGGCCAUAUUCAUUCCCUACGCCUAGAAAAGUUAACAAAGAAAUCGAAAGAGUCAAACAGUUAAAUAUUCACCAAGGGGAUAUUCAGGACCCAACCACACUAACCCGAUACAUUUUGUAUUUUAAAAACUUGGCAAAAGUAGAUUUGGAGUCAAUGAGUCCACAUCUCAAUUUUAGCCUUCACAUGAAAGGCAAUCACCAAGAAGAAAGAACGGAAAAAUAAGCAACUAGAAAUGAGACUACGAAAAACUACUAAAACUAAAAACUCACUUUUUUUCUUUUUCUCUUUUUUUUUCUUUUUGAAUUUUUUUUUCAUUUUUAUUUUUUUUUAUUUUUUUUAUUUUUUAAACAUUAACUAUAAACAUUAACUACUAAAAACUAAAAACUAAAACUACUAAAAACUAAAAACACUAAAAACUGCUAAAAUGAAAAGCUGAAAACUGAAAACUACUAAAAACGGAGCACACUAGCAUAACUUUAGAUCCCCCCCACACCUAUAGGACACAUUGUCCUCAAUGUGACAAAUAAGAACCAAAAGUGAAGCACAAGUGAGAGGGGAAUCAGCCAAACUUCCCUGAAAUCGGGUCACAGCGGAGGGCGAGGUGGAAAUGGAGGUGCAAAGCCUGUAUGCAUCAGGAACUGUGCCAAAUUCUGUGCUAUGCCGGCGACAUUGGCGUCGACGUUGGUCAUCCGGGCCUGCAAAUCCUGAACCAGCUCCCUGAGAUGCUGCCAAUCAUCGGUCCCAGGUGGUGGAGGUGGCGCAGAAGUAGAGGUAGACGGCCCAGCAGUGUCCGCGGCCGACCCAGGGAAUGAAGAUGGCCCUGCCCGGGCCGAAUGGUGUGCACCCGGGGCUCGAGGUGGUCCCGGACGGGUAAACUGGUGAAAACCAUCUGGCAGACGCUCGACGACCCCCAUUUUCUCUAAGCAAACUACGUCCAAGUGCUCCAUCUCAAAUGCCAAAUGGAGGUCGUGGUCAUCCAGGUUAAGAACUCCCAACUGGGUCGCCAAGUGAGUGAUGUAGGACCCAAGGAUCAGUGGUUUGUUCUUCUUGGUCAAGACCGUCUUGAACUGUGCGGCCAACCAACAUCCCAAGUUCACCUUGAUAUUGUUCUUCAUACUCCAGAGAAAGAAGAAUUCGGGCCGAGAGAGUAUACCGGAGCUGUCCUUGCGCCCCGAGUAGCUAUAAGCUAAGAAUCGCUGAACAUAGCGGGCGCUAGGGUCCUUAAGAAAGGAGCUCCUGGACCGGGAAGGAUCGUAGCGUUGCCUAUCGACGGACAUGUCCUCCCAUACAUCAUGGUAGUGGGAGAGGAAAGGCUCUACGUAGUCACAGGCACUCUCCGCAUACUCCCUAGUCUCAGCAUACUCUCUAGUGAUAAACCCAAAUGCCAGAUUGAAUUGAGUAAUGGAGAAAUUGAAUUCUCGACCCAUGAGCCGGAAAUGAAUGACAUUCGGUGUUUCACCCGUGUAUCUCGUAGGUAAUUCGAACUCAAAGGUGGAGUAAAACUCCCGGAUCAGCUCAACAAAAGCGGGACAAGAAAUAUGGAAAUAUGGGCGCCACCCAAUGGCUGUGAACAUUUGCUCAACCUCCUCCCGUAUACCCAGGGCAGUUAGAGAGAGUCUAUGACAAGACUUACAGGAUAUUAUACGCCUCUCGCAGACCUUAGCGUACCUCUGCCGAUCGGCGGGUCUGGUAAAUGUUAAGUGCCCCCCAAAAUGAACAGGUGCAUCUACCUGAGCACCCCUAUCCCUACCCAAACGGGUUCGAACACUAGAAGAGGAGGGUAGGUUGGUAGGUGAGUUGACAGGAAUAGAGGCUUGUGGAGGGGGUUGAGACUGAGAGGUCCUAGACCUAGAGGAGGAUUUCGGUCUCACCAUUCCCCCCAAAGUAAGUUCAAGGCAACAGAAAAUCCGACAAGUAUAGAAACCAGCAAUUGACAAAGCAAAAAUCUCCCAGUAGUAACCCAGCCAAUAGCAAACAAAAGAGUUCCAGCAAGUAAUCAACAAGCAAUUCAGAAAUAUCUCAACUAAAAUCUCAAGAGAAACCCCAGCGAGUUAUCCAGCAAUUCAAGCAAUAUCCCCAAGCAAUGUGGUGGUCAAAAUGUCAUCUCCAAAUUGAACAAAUAAUCAGAGCAUUGCAACACAUUGAAAAUCUCAAUAAACGGCUCCAGUUGGCCAAGAAAAAUUGCUAACUCAUACUCAGCAAUAGUAGUGCAGCAAAGGGACAGUAACCACGCAAUAAAAACACUUAGCUUGCACUCAAAUGGUCACCCCAAAUAACAACCCAGUAUGAAACCCGCAGGCAGAGUAUUCCUCAAACCGUUAGCCUAAACCCAGUCAACAACCACGGCCAGAAAUAACCCCAUAAAUAGUGCAAUGAGUAAUCCCCAGCAACAUAAUCAGGUGUAAUCAACUGGAGCAAGCAAUUUACAUGGCAUAGAAACCUCCCAAUCAAACAAGUGCAUUAUUCUAGCGCACCCCAAAAUUCCAAGAAAUGGCUCCAGUUGGCCAAUUAAUUUCACAAUGUCACCCAACUCAGGAGAAAUAGCAAUUCCACACAAAAAUAGUCAAACCAGUACCACUGGCGAAAAAUCUUUCAAAUAUGCACAAUUUGCUACCAAAUAUCACCGGCUAACACUGAAAAAUUGAGGGCAAGUGUCAAAUACCUCCACAGGGACUACCCCAGGCGGCAGACAGAGAAGCGGCGUUGAAGCUGGUGGUCGAGCGGGGCGGCGCUCGCGUCGGCGUGCGCAGCGGCGACGGCGCGCGAGGAUGGAGUUUCGGGAGGUUGCGUGCGGGCUUGGCUGAAGACGCGGCGCGCGCUAGGGCUUCGCUGCGGCAGGCGUGCAGCAGGGGAGAAGAAAGAAAAGAGAAAGAAAGAAAGAAAAAGAAAGGAAAGAAAGAACAGAAAAGAAGGAAAAGAAAAAGGAAUUUUUCUUUUUUUUCUUUUUCUUUAGGCUACGGUUUAGAGGACAAAUUUUUCUUCUUCUUGUUUUCUACUUUUUUAUUUUUUUAUUUUUUAGUUUUUAAUUUAUUACUAUUAUUAUCAUAUUUAAUUGAGGAAAAAAAAUGUUUUUUUUUAAAUCCCUACCUUUCCCACGAACGUGACGCGGGCACGUCAAGAGGGCAAGAGAGCUCCCAGAAGUUUCAGAAUUUUCUGAUCGUAAGCGUCCUGCACAUCACCACGCGGGCACGUCAUGAGGACAGGAGAGCUCCCAGAAGUUCAGAAUUUUCUGAUCGUGAGCGCCCUGCACGUCACCACGCGGGCACGUCAUGAGGCCAGGAGAGCUCCCAGAAGUUUGAAGUUUCUGAUUCCUGCCCGUCAUCACGCGGGCGCGUCAUGACUGAAGGUCACCUACAAAUCAGCAAAAACGAAAACUAACACCCAAAAUCAGUCAAAUUCAGGGAAAGCAGAUUUAAACUAUGCUACAAAACCAACAAACAAUUAAAAGAAAUAAUUAGGUUGCCUCCCAAUGAGCGCCUUUCUUUAAUGUCUUUGGCUAGACAUGGUAAAGUGUCACUGAUUAGGACACGGUGGUGCGUCAAGCCUUAUUGUCUCCACCUCUCUACCUGAAAAUCCUUCGUAAUAAUAUUUGAGACGGUGUCCAUUCACCACAAAUUUGUUGUCUGUCUUAGCACUCUGGAUCUCAACUGCACCAUAGGGAAAAACAUGAGUAACAAUGAAAGGUCCAAUCCAACGGGAACGUAGCUUACCUGGGAAUAGCUUGAGCCUGGAUUGGUACAGGAGGACCUUCUGACCAACUUCAAAUGUUUUUCUUGAAAUUUGUUGGUCAUGAAAUGCCCGGCUUUUCUCCUUAUAUAUCAAGGCGUUUUCGUAUGCUUCGUUCCGGAUCUCCUCCAAUUCUUGCAAAUCCAACUUCCGUUGAGCACCGGCCUCCUCUAAAUUCAUAUUGCAGUGCUUUAUCGCCCAAAAAGCCUUGUGCUCGAACUCCACUGGAAGGUGACACGGCUUCCCAAAUACCAACCUGUACGGUGACAUCCCAAUAGGAGUCUUGUACGCCGUCCGAUAGGCCCAGAGUGCGUCUUCCAACCUUUGGCUCCAGUCUUUUCUAUCAGGGCGCACCAUUUUCUCUAAAAUGGACUUAAUCUCCCGAUUCGACACCUCCGCUUGACCAUUGGUCUGAGGGUGGUAUGACGUUGAGACCCUGUGGAGUACACCAUACUUGCGAAACAACGCAGCUAUGGUUUUGUUGCAAAAGUACGUUCCCCUAUCACUGACAAUAGCUCUAGGCAUUCCAAACCGCACAAAGAUAUUAGACCUGAUAAAAUCUGCAACUACUCUCGAAUCAUUAGUUCGAGUGGCCUUAGCCUCCACCCAUUUAGACACAUAAUCAACUGCCAGCAAAAUAUAUAAAAAACCAAAUGAAGUAGGAAAAGGCCCCAUGAAAUCUAUACCCCAGACAUCAAAAAUUUCAACAAAAAUCAACGGGACCUGGGGCAUUUGAUCUCUACGGGCUAUAUUACCUACCAUUUGACAGCGAUCACAUGACUUACAAAACACAUAGGCAUCUCUAAACAAUGAAGGCCAAUAAAAUCCACUUUCUAAAACCUUAUGAGCAGUUCUCUUAGGUCCAAAAUGACCUCCACAGGCAAAAGUAUGACAAAAAGCUAAAAUUGAUUGAAAUUCCAUUUCACUUACACAUCUCCUCAUCACUUGAUCGGCACACCUCUUCCAUAGGUACGGGUCAUCCCAGAUAAAAUACUUGGCAUCGCUCUUCAAUUUAUCCCUCUUCGAUUUCGGCCAACCUGCAGGAAAAUUACCAGUUACCAAAUAAUUGACCAAAUCAGCAUACCAAGGCAACUGAGAAUUUAAGAAAAAUAGGUAUUCUUCGGGGAAUGCAUCCUUCAAUGGCUCGCUAUCCUCUUCAACUAGUAUGCGACUCAAAUGGUCCGCUACUAGAUUUUCUGAGCCUUUUUUGUCCCUUAUCUCCAAGUCAAAUUCCUGUAGGAGCAGUAUCCACCGUAUGAGCCUCGGUUUUGCAUCUUUCUUGGUCAUCAGGUACCUCAAUGCUGCAUGAUCAGAAAAUACAAUCACUUUAGCACCUAACAAGUAUGACCUAAAUUUUUCCAAAGCAAAAAUAACUGCCAGAAGCUCCUUCUCAGUGGUGGAAUAAUUCAACUGGGCUCCAUUCAAGGCCCGGGAUGCGUAAUAGAUGACAUGAGCCGCCUUGCCUAUUCUUUGCCCCAGUACAGCCCCAACAGCGUGAUCACUGGCAUCGCACAUGAUCUCAAAUGGCAAAUUCCAAUCGGGGGGUUGGAUGAUUGGGGGUGAAGUCAGCAAUUCCUUCAGCUUGUUAAAGGCUCUCUCACACUUAUCAUCAAAUUCGAAGGCUACAUCUUUUUGUAGGAGUUGGAACAACGGGGCUCCAAUCUUUGAAAAAUCCUUGAUGAACCUUCGAUAAAAACCUGCAUGUCCAAGAAAAGAGCGCACCUCCCGCACACUCGCGGGGUAAGGUAAUGCAGAAAUAAUGUCUAUUUUAGCCUUGUCAACUUCUAUGCCCUUAGACGAUACAAUAUGACCCAGGACUAUUCCGUGCUCAACCAUAAAAUGACAUUUUUCCCAAUUAAGCACAAGAUUAGUCUCUAUACACCUGAUCAGGAUUAAUUUCAGGUUAUCUAGACAAGUAUCAAAACUAUCACCAUACACACUGAAAUCAUCCAUGAAAACUUCUAUUAUUUUCUCAACAUACUCGGAAAAGAUGCUUACCAUACAUCUUUGGAAAGUCGCAGGUGCAUUGCACAACCCAAAUGGCAUUCGUCUGUAGGCAAAGGUCCCGAACGGGCACGUGAAGGUUGUCUUCUCUUGAUCCUCCGGGGCAAUUGCUAUCUGAAAGUAUCCUGAAAAUCCAUCCAAAAAGCAAUAAUAAGCCCUACCAGCUAAACGUUCAACCAUUUGGUCAAUGAAAGGGAGAGGGAAAUGGUCCUUUUUGGUGACGGCGUUUAGCCUACGGUAAUCUAUACAUUGCCUCCAUCCAGUGGGUUUGCGCACUGGCACGAGCUCACCAGUUUGGUUGGCCUCUACCGUCACUCCUGCAUUCUUUGGGACUACCUGGACCGGACUCACCCAAGGGCUAUCAGAUAUUGCAAAAAUGAUGCCCACAUCUAGCAAUUUUAGAAUCUCUUUCUUUACGACUUCCAUCAUGAGGGGAUUGAGCCUUCUUUGAGCCUGCCUAACAGGUUUGGCAUCGUCUUCCAGCCUAAUCCGGUGCAUACAAAUGGCCGGGCUGAUCCCCUUAAUGUCUGCGAUUGUCCAGCCUAUUGCCUCUUUAUGCUCCCGAAGGACCCGGAUCAAUUUCUCUUCCUGGGUCUUUGACAGUGCCGAUGAGAUAAUCACUGGGAGUGUCUCAUUAUCACCUAGGUAUGCGUAUUUCAGGUGCUCUGGUAGAGGUUUCAACUCCAGUACAGGUGCCUGCACCACAGAUGGCAAUACCCUCUGGUGAGCCUUGGGAGUAAAAAUAGGUAAGACUUCAUACCUUUUCGUGGUGGUCUGCAACGAGUGUAAUGCACCUAUUGUGCAUUUUAAAUCCUCGCUCCACUCCACCUCAGGAGUUGUCUCCAACUCGAGGUGCUUGGUUAAAGCCACCUCCAGCUCAUCCCUGCCAUCAGUUUCAAACACUUCCUGCACUACAGGGUCAAUAGCACUCACAGAAAAAACUGAGCUAAAGUUGGAGUUAGAGGGGUACUUCAUAGUAUCAAAAAUAUUAAAAUGCACAAUUUACCCAUCAAACUCCAUGGACAAGGUACCCUUAUUAACAUCAAUUUUCGUCUGCGCAGUGCUCAUAAAAGGUCUACCCAAUAACAAAGGUGAGGGAUCAGGGGAGUGAUCAUCAUCCAUAUCUAGUACAUAAAAAUCAGCUGGAAACACCAAAUCAUUAACCUUUACCAACACAUCUUCAAUCAACCCAUCAGGAUAUGCAUUAGUUCGGUCAGCUAAUUGAAUAAUUAUUCCAGUUUCUUUUAAUGGACCUAGUUUCAAAGAAGCAUAGAUAGAUUUAGGCAUGACAUUAAUUGAUGCUCCCAGAUCCAGCAUGGCCCUUCUGAUCACAGUAUUACCUAUCUUACAGGGAAUAGUAAACAUACCUGGGUCCCCGCACUUUGGUGGGAGCUUUCUCUGCAGGACCGCAGACACAUUUUCUCCAACUAUGACCCGUUCAUCUCCCCUCAACCGCCUUCGGUUGACACACAAGUCCCUUAGGAACUUGGCAUAUUUUGGUACUUGUUUGAUGGCGUCUAAGAGGGGGAUAUUUAUCUCAACCUUGCGAAAAACCUCCAAGAUCUCCUUCUCCUUAUCCUGCUUCUUCGAUUUUUCCAACCUGCUAGGAAAAGGAGGCGGGUUAGUUUUAACUGUAAUUAUUGGGUCAGGAAGUACCUCUGGAUCUGCACCAUUGCUGUCCUCCCUUUCGAGCUCAUUUUCGAUCUUCUCUUCAUCCUUGUCCUUGGGAAUCACAGGUUCAGGCCCCUGAAUUUCUUUCCCACUCCUUAGGAUCAUUGCGCUCACGUUCUUCGGAUUCAACUCCGGUUGAGAUGGCAGCUUCCCUUGGUUCUGGGACUCCCAACGGUUCAUUCUGGUGGCCAAUUGACCUAUCUGAUUCCUUAUGUCCUGCAUUUCGGAGUCCGUCUUUUGCUGAUUUUGCAUAAUAGCUGCCUCCGUCCUUUGCUGAUUCUGCGCCAUGGUUGUCAUCAUUUGUUUCAGCAUCUCAUCCGUAGAUGAACCAGAUUGAGGGAGCGGAGGUGGUCGGGGUUGGUAUUGCUGCUGGUACCCUGGUGGCUUAUUUGGCACAAAGUUAGACUGCCUGUUUGGCGUGAAGUUGGAUUGCCUAUUUCCACCAUAACUGAGGUUGGGAUGAUCUCUCCACCCGGGGUUGUAGGUGCUUGAGUAAGGGUCGUACUGCUUCCUUGGCGCGGGCGCGUGGUCAGCCAUGUUCACCUGUUCCGCAGUUUCUUCCUGAAUCAUUGGGCACAUGUCUGCAGAGUGACCUAUACCAGUGCAAAUCCCGCAUACCCUGGCUUGUGAUGCAUUUCUCACAGCCUAUUGCCUAACGAACGCAGUCAACUCAUUUAGCUGCUGCUGCACAGAGGGUGUCUCUAUCUCAUUCACCCUACGUAUUGGGACAUCCUAUCUUGUACUGAAUUGCUGUGAAUUCUCUGCCAUCCCCUCUAUUAACUCCCGUGCUUCCUGAGGGGUUUUGUUCACCAGUGCCCCUCCACUUGCAGCAUCAAUGAUGCUCCUGUCUCUAAAAAUGAGCCCCUCAUAGAAAUAUUGUAUGAUCAACUGCUCACUUAUUUGGUGAUGGGGGCACCUGCGCAACAAGCUCUUAUACCGUUCCCAAUACUCGUAAAGUGACUCCUCGGGAUGCUGCUUGAUCCCACAAAUUUCUUUCCUUAGACUCGCAGCCCUGGACGCAGGAAAAUAUUUAUCCAGAAAUUUUUUCUUCAAUUGGUCCCACGUGGUGAUGCUACCUGGUGACAGGUAGUACAGCCAGUCCUUCGCAGAAUCUUUCAAGGAGAAGGGGAAUGCCCUCAUUUUUAUCUGCUCUUCUGUGAUUCCCGGGGGUUUCAUACUGUUGCAAACGACAUCAAACUCCUGCAGAUGCUUAUACGGCUCUUCACCUGGUAAACCAUGAAAAGAGAGUAAAAGCUGAAUCAGACCAGAUUUUAGUUCAAAUGGAAUGUUGUCAUUUAAAGCUGGGAAAGUAAUGCAUAACGGCUGCUGAGUUAAAUCAGGAGCAGCCAACUCCCUUAAUGUUUAUGCAUUAGCCAUGGUGCCUUCCUGCUGGUCAGAGUCACUCGAAGUGUUACCAAACGAAUCUGUUGGUUCAACUUCUGACUCGGGUCUUUGAGAUGUAGCACUAGAGUGCUCUUCUCUGAGCUGUCUGGUUUCCUUUCUCGUUCUACGCGCGGUCUUCUCUACCUCAGGAUCAAAAACCAAAUCACCUGUGCGACAAGAUCGAGGCAUACACUAGAAGAAAACCAGAAAAUUAGGACAAAAUUGAAUUUAAGAAGAAACAAAUAAUAACGCCAGUCCCCGGCAACGGCGCCAAAAAUUGACAGGUCGUCAACCUGUGCAAUAAUAAAAUUAAACCUAAUUGCCAGUUAAAAUGACCAAAACCCAAUUCCAAGUACUGGAGCAGGGACUCUAGGUGUGCAAUGGGUUACUUGAUUCACCCUGUUCCCGAAGAGUUUGCUUGAUCCGAUAUACCCGAAUGGAAUGGUUAUUCCUUUUCACAAAUGAUUAGGAAUUUGUAGACAGGGCAAGUAGGGUCGUAUCCACAGAGACUGGGUAUAUUUGUUUCUUAAGAAAUCCAAAGUAACACAGGGGGUGAUUUUGUAGGAACGACGAUAAUUAAAUAAAUUCAAAUGAGAAAGUAAAAAUAAAUAAUUAACUAGAAAUUAAACCACAAUUUACUGAACUCAGGAUAACAAUAGUUAAAGGCCUCAAUUAAUUAAAAUAAGGAAACAAUCAAAAAUAAAAUAAAGUAGGUAAUUAAAAGUCAAAUGGCAAUCCACUACAAUCAAGGAAAUAUUAACUAAAGAUCUAGCCAAGAAAUAACUUCAGCAAUGGUUCACCUAAUCGAUCAUUGAUGCAAAGCAAUCCCAAUUAUUUACUAAUAAAUAGGUUAUAACUACCAAACAAGCGAUGGCAGUCAACCCCUCCUUACUGUGUCGGUGAUCAAGGUACGCCCGUUAAUCACUGCUCUAAUUGAGAAAUAAUCCUAGGUACGCCCGUAGAAUUUAAUUCCCCAACUGCCUUACGUAUUAGAGGAGCCCUAUUCUACCCAAAUAACACACUACCAGGGUUAUUUUAGAUUAGCCCGCGUAUCCCCCUGACACGAAUCUAAUCGUGCCAGUUGUCACUAAUUUGAGGUAAUUAAACAAUUACGGAUUCAAUACCCCAAUUGACAAUAGAUUAUCAAACCAAUGAAUUAUCCGGAUCCAAGACAAUCAACUAAUUAAAUAAUCAUAAGCACUGCAACCAAGGAAUAUGCGAAUACCAAUAAAUAAAGGAAAAGAUAAAAUUAAAUCGAUCUCACAAUUUACAGGUGAUCCAAAGCAUCAGUCGUUUCUUGACUAGAACGAGGGGGUUAGCUCAUAUUGGAUGAACUAAGCCCGCGGGAAAUUCCAGCAAAAGUCACGGCCGUUGUAUGCAUUUCAAGAGCCGCAAUUCGUCAAACACUUGGAAAGCGAAUGUAAGGCACGGGUAACAAUUGAAGCUUUCUAAUUGUUCCUAGCAUUCGUAAAGCAAAUUCACUCCAGAAGUACAGUGAGGAAAAGUCAAAGAAAGUGGGCUUCAAUUCCUUGCUCCUGACAUGCGUGGAGACAAGCCAAUGCAAGACUACAAUAAACUAACAAGGAAAAGUCAAGAAUUGGAGCUAAGCUCCCCUGCCAUGCGCAGGAAUCCGAAAAGUAAAAAGUAAAGCUUCAAAGAAAAGUCAACAAUUCUUCCUAAGCUACAGACGGAAGAUCCAGCACAAAAGCCAGCUCCCUUUUUUAUCCCUUUUUCCCCCUUCUUAUUGCGGCGGCUCACCAGGAGAGGAGAGCCCUCCGUCCGUCCUUUCUUCCGAAAAUUACCAAAAUGGGCAUGACAUCUUCUCUUCCAAAAGUGCCCCUGGGACAAGCUUUCUCAUCUGAAUUCUUUUUUUUUCCAAUUUGGCACCUGUUAUCAUAUUUAUAUUCUACUCCCUGAAAUAAACGUCAAAUACUAAAAGUGAGUAGAAUCCAGCAAAUAAAUCCACAUCAAGUCAGGUAAUAGGAGGAAUUAAUAAUAAAAUAAAUGAAUAAAUUGCACCCUAUCAGAAAAAUGCAAAAAUUUGUUAUUUAUCAUUAAGGAUCAUAUCGCAUAUAACAUCAAAAAAUAGUAUAUUAUUUAUAUCUUUCACUUAAUAUAAUAUCCAAAUUACUCUUUUCAGUUACAUACCCAUUGUUAGACAAAAUCAACAACAAAUAACCAAAAAAUUUGCAACCAAAAUAUUACCAAAAAAAUAAACUUUAACAUCAUAAAUAUUUUUAUCAACAUAUUAAAGUUAGUUAUUGAAAUUUUUAUGGUGUUAAACUUCACUCUUAGCAAUAUUUUGGUUACAGAUUUUUUUGAUUAUUUAUUGUUGAUCGUGUUUGACAAUGGAUUUGUAACUGAAAAGAAUAAUUUGAAUCUUACAUUAAGUGAAAUAUAUAAAAUAUUAUACUAUUUUUUAUGGCAUAUGUGAUUCUUUUUUUUUUUUUUAUCAGAACGGCAACAUUGUAUUAAUAGUAAACCAAUUACAGUAUAGGUGGGCAACCGCCCUCACAAUCUGCCUGGACUUGUUCCAGCAGCCAAACUGGGAAGUUUUCCUUCCAUUCAGUAUUUUGUUCCAAAGUAAUAGCUACUUUAGCUAGUUUAUGGCUAACAAAGUUGUUCACCCUAUUUGCAAAGGUAAAACAACAUUCAUCAAAUUUUAUUCAUGUACAAUUGUUGCUAUCACCACGUCCUCCUCCUCCUCCUCACUGCACACUACUUGACUACCACCCUUCGCCAACCUUGCUGUUGCAUGUGCAACUAUCAUGGCCUCUCUUAGCGCCUUUGCUUCUUCGACCUUUGGACUGGCACAGCUAAAAUUUGGAACAGCCCAGGCCCACCCGCAAUCUUCCCAACCAAUCCCUGGCCACCCUUUUCCCACCCAGCUUCUAUGGCAUGUGUGAUUCAAUCCUUCUUGAUAGGAUUGGUAAUAGAGGCAGAGGGGGGAGCCGGCUGCAUCCGGUCUACUUUUCAUAGAUAGUACAAUAUUGCGAAAUCGAUCGCAUUCACACAAGAAUAUUUCGAAGUCAUUGCAUCGCUAAGUUGCAAAAAAGUACAAACACUUGUUAUUAUAUAGCUUAAGAUUCAAAACUUUAGAGCACAACCCUCCACCUAACACAAUUGAAUAAUGAAUAUUCACGAUUGUCAAAUCUGUCAAAGCACAGUUUGAGGACAACCCAUUCCAACCUGCAAAAGAUUUUUGACUUUUUUAAAGUUGUUGAGAGCUGUAAAAAGACUUACCAUGCUUACAUCUUCCGAGCCUUGGGAGUUAAAAAUGAAGGCACUGAGUGCUAUAAAAAGGGGGCUAGAGGCUGCCUAGAAGCAUAUCAGCCUAAAACAAGAAUUUGUAGUUAUGAUGGGAAGCAAAGCAAAAGCAAUGGGGUCUGGGCUGACUCCUCUUCUUACCACUGUUUUAGUGGUAUUUGUUGCUCUUGGCUUGCCCUCAGAAACUGCAGCUGAUGAUCACUACAAGUAUUCAUCUCCUCCUCCUCCUUACCACUAUCCCUCACCACCACCUCCAGUGCAUUUACCUCCACCAGUGUACAAAUACAAGUCCCCACCACCACCUCAUCAUGUUUACAAGUACAAAUCUCCACCACCCCCACCACCACACCCAGUUUACAAGUAUAAGUCGCCACCACCACCUCCUCAUCCGGUAUACAAGUACAAGUCUCCUCCGCCACCUCCUCAUCCGGUACCACACCCAGUUUACAAGUAUAAGUCACCACCACCACCUCCUCAUCCGGUACCACACCCAGUUUACAAGUAUAAGUCUCCUCCGCCACCAGUUUACAAAUAUAAGUCUCCUCCACCACCACCUCCAGUGUACAAAUACAAGUCUCCACCACCACCAGUUUACCACUACAAGUCUCCACCACCUCCUCCCCCAGUUUACAAAUACAAGUCUCCACCACCACCACCACCAGUUUACCACUACAAGUCACCACCACCUCCUCCCCCAGUUUACAAAUACAAGUCUCCACCACCUCCUCACCACUACUAAGCAAUUGCUUCUGAGGUAAUAACACUUGUUCAAUAUACCCACUUCUGCAUGAUAAAGCAUAUCUCUAUCAACACAAACUGUCAUGUCUAUCAUGCUAAGUGCCUUCACUUCAUCCACCAAAAUGACUGCUAGAAAAUUUUUUUUAUGUUACCAAAGAAAGGCAUCAUUUUUUCCCUCUGUUAUCAAGAACUUGUACAGUAUAUAGAUUAAAGAGUAUUUUUUUAACUAGCUUAUCAACUGAGAAAUGCAUAUAGCUGAUAGCCAGCUGAAUAUUUGCAGGCAAAGGAGAAGGAAACCAGUGUUUGAGACCUUCUUGAAGAUGUAGAAGCAUAAGAAUUAAAGCCCAAUGUGAAGAUGAUGAUUUCAAGUUUUUCUACGUUACCAUUUCUUUAUCUAAAUUGGUUGUAGCGCCUUAGUUCCUUUGUUUAUGGGAUUUGUAUCGUUUUACGUACCAUGCAGUACAUGUCAUGUUUGUAAGGUUUUCUAUCCUGCCGGCAAACCGCAGGUUCCAUGUAAUAAAUCAAUACUAUUUAUAUUACGACACUUUUCUCUGUUUCUCUUAUAUUUUGUCGUCUUUAAUAUUCUUAAUCAUAUUUUUAACAAAAAUAUUCAAACACUUAGGCAAUCUGGUCUAAUGCUAAUUGUAUGUUUUACUUUUCUUUUUCACCUGCUCCCCUUUUCAACUCAAAAGGAUGCAAUAGUUUGUGAUCACUGUUGAAGACGGAAGCAUGAUACUAAUGAAUAUAUCAUUGAAACUCAAGGAAACUAACAUUAUGAAAAGUGUAAAUCUUGAUUUGAUGCAACUAUUUAUUCGUGGAAUCUAUAGUUACAAAACUCAAACUCUGACUGCGCCAUUGAUAAAUUAUUAAUGACGCUAUCAUCAUUAUUUAUCCCCAACUAGUUUCGACUACAACUGAACCCAAUAUUUUCCCCAUGAUAAAAGUUUUUUACUAUUUUACUGGCCUCUCUUCAAAUUUUAAAAAUUACACUAAUCUUCAUUGAGAUUAAUUAUCUUGUAGCAUUUAAGUCCAAUUAAUAAUUAAAAAAUAAUAUUAUGAGAGAGAAAAUAAUAUAAUUUUAUCAUUGCCCCCCAUCUUGCUAUAUUAUUUAAUUAAUUUAAUAGCAACCCACACAUUAAAGAAAAAUACUAAAAUUUGCUGCUUUUCAUUAAAGAUCAAAUUGCAUAUGCCAUAAAACAUAGUAUAUCAUUCUAUAUGUUUCACUUAAUGUAAGAUCCCAAUUGUUCUUUUCAAUUACAAACCCAUUGUCAAACAUGAUCAAUAACAAAUAACCAAAAAAUUUGCAACCAAAAUAUUACAAAAAAAAACUUUAACAUCAUAAAUAUUCUUACCACCUCUAGUGCAUUCACCCUCAUAAAAUAAUUCAAGACCCUACUGUCAUAAAAUGACUGAUCAACUCCUGUAAACCUAAUUUGACAACAUUUAAAUGGAGAACUUUAGCUAAAAGAAUUAUGGUCAAGCUAAAGAAAAAACCAGUUAUUUUCCAACAUAUGCAAUCAUUGAUCAGGGAAAAAAAAAAGAAGCAAAAAGACAUCUUCAAUCAUUUAAUAGCUUACAGGGCAAAUUAACCCCUAAGCGAAAACUGGUUGCUCUAGAAUCAAAAUUUUACUUUAGUUACCCAGGCAACUUUUUUUGUUGCCUUUUCUUUUUCUUUUUUGGGUAUAUAUAUAGCUCCAGUUUUGCCCCCUCUGUCAAGCUUAUAUAAUUAUUAAGAUAAUAAAAGUGCCUUUAAUAGUAUUAAUAUAUCCAUUGACUUGAGCUGUCAUCGAUCGGUUUGGGCUACUUCGAUUCCAUGAGAACAAAUGGUAAUAAAAGUACUCAGAAAAUGGGGAGUCAUGAAACCCUUUUGUUCUAUUCAUUGCUAAGAUGCUUUUCUCUAUAAAGACACUUCCUAACGAAAAUACUUUGUAGAUUUCUUUACUCCAAGUGGUGCAUGGAAAAUUAAUAUUUUCAAUUAUCAAAUAAAAUUCCCUUUUUUCGGUGUAGAUUUCAUCCAUUCAGCUGUUAACACUCCGAAUUGACUAAUCUUUUCGUUUCCAUUUUCCAACUUGCGAAUACGGCAUCUUACAUAUUGUCUGCUGAAUAUGAAUACAUAUCCCUUUUCUGAGCAGGUGCAGAGUCAUUAUCAUUUUUAUUCCCACCUAACAAAUUAGUUAAUAAUCUUUUAAAGAACAUGUUAAAUUAAUUUAUUGGUAUGAAUAGUAGUCAAAGAAGUAUGUUAAAGUUAGUAAUCUUUAAAAUAAUAUGUUAAAAUUAUUCGUACAAAUUAGCCAGAGAAGUAGCAUAAACACCGCGAUGCAAUUAAUACUUUCAAUCUCAAGGUCUCUAUUAUGGAAAUUUGCAUCGGUCAACAUACACAAAGCAUUAUUGUAUGCACGUCUCUCUAUUAUGGAAAUUUGCAUAGGUCAAUAUACACUUGGCAUAGUUGCAUGCACGUCCAAUUUUUUUUUAUUUUUAUUUUUGGUAUUUUACUUCCUGCCUUAAGUUGCCUGCAGAUGUUUGUAUUACAAAUAUAUGGUAUACUAAAUAUAUAGUAUGCACAUUAAUUUCUUUGGGUUGCUUAAGGGUAUAUUGUUAAUAAUAGGGGGUUUAACCAUAAAUUAUAACAAUGAUGAAGUAAUAUAUAUUAGAAAAUUAACACAAUUAUGAUUUUUUUUUUUGUAAAAUUCAAAUUUUAUUAAUAAGAAAUGAAAUAGGCAGUAAGCAUUUACAAACCGAAAACAAAAUCCUACAACAACUCUAGGACUCUACACCUUAUUAAAAAAAAACAUUUUGAUAGCGUUUUUCCAAAAGCAGAAGAUGGAAAAUUGCCCAUUUGUACUGGGGAGUUCGUGAUCUUUUCCUCAUUCUAGUCUACUUACAAUUCUUGGAAAAAGGAAUACUCACAUCUCAAACAACAGCCUGUUCAUCUGCAGUGUCCUGCCGAAUUCUAGAAAGUUUGGUGGCAAUGUUAAUUACAUUUCAAAAUUGACUGCUGCGAUAACUAAUUCGAUGGCUUACUACAUGGUCAACGUUUGGAUCUCUUCCUGUCCUUUUUGGAUGCACAUUUUUUUUCUCUAGGUAAUAUAUAAUCUCCCAACUCAUUUCUUUACAAAUGCACCUUUAAUCACCACCAAAAGGUGUGGACAUGAUCUUUACCCUAGAAAACUAUUCACCGACAGGCAAAUUGACGUCAGAAAUACUAAGAGGAAUUCUAGUUUCCUUCGGGUUAAUGCCAUUUUGUACCCUUCAACUGUAACUCAAUUUCUAAGCUGUAAUUUGUGACAUUAUAGUCCUUAAACUAUGAAACCCUUUCUUAUUUAAUUACAAUGGUUAAUACAAUGCCCGUGACUAGACAAGUAUGAAGCAACCAUAACAAAAAAAAAAUCCAAAAUUAGAGAAAAGAAAGAAGUUGCGACCAAAGUAUGUAUCAAGGCAUAGUAUAGAAAUAAAAGUGUCAAAAUUAAGAGUUUAGGGAUAAAAAAGAAUCAAAAUAUAGUUUAGGAAUUGAUUUGUCUCAAUUAGAGUUUAGAUGUCAACUAAGAAGAGAGAUAUAGUUGAAGGGUAGAAUAUAGAUAUAACAGUUCAAUGAUUGAUAUCAACGAGACAAUGACAACUUUGGAUUAUUACCAACCUCUUCUUGAUGGAAAAGGAAAUAGAGAAGAAAGUCGGGCCUGGUCUAAGCCUGUUUCGGAGGCAAAACAACAUUAUGAAAUCACCGGCAUUCACACAAAUAUGUCAAAGUCACCGGCAUGCUAAGUUGCAAAAUUUAUACAAACACUGAAUAUUAUAUUCUUCUCAAAAUUUUUGUUUAAGAUUUAACAAUUAGAGCACGGUACACGAAUUAGCAAUAUUAAAUAAUGAAUGUUCACGAUUGAUAAAGUUAUCAAAGUACAGUUUGAGGACAACCCAUUCCAACGUGUACAAGAUGUUUAGCCUUUGAAAAGUUAAUUAGAGAAGGUGACGAGAUUUUACUAGGCUUACAACUUCUAGGCCUUGGGAGUAAAAAGUGAAGACACUGAGUGCUAUAAAAAGGGGGCUAGAUGUUGCCUAGAAGCAUAUCAGCCUCGGACCACAUUUUGUAGCAAUGGGGAGCAAAGCAAAAGCAAUGGGGUCUAGGCUGACUCCUCUUUUUACCACCGUUUUAGUGGUAUUUGUUGCACUUGGCUUGCCUUCAGAAACUGCAGCUGAUUACGACAAGUAUUCACCUCCUCCUCCUCCUUACCAUUAUUACUCACCACCACCUCUUGUGCAUUCACCUCCACCACCGCCAGUUUAUAAGUCACCCCCACCACCUUAUCACUACUUCUCACCACCACCUCCAGUGUAUCCAUCUCCACCACCAUCUGUUUACAAGUCACCUCCACCACCUUCGCCAGUAUACAAGUCCCCACCACCACCUUAUCAAUAUUCCUCACCACCACCUCCAGUGCAUUCACCUCCACCACCACCGAUUUAUAAGUCACCUCCACCACCUCCUCCAGUUUACAAGUCCCCGCCACCACCUUACCAUUAUUCCGCACCAUCACCUCCAGUGCAUUCACCUCCACCACCACCGAUUUACAAGUCACCUCCACCACCUCCUCCAGUUUACAAGUCUCCAUCACCACCUUACCAUUAUUCCUCACCACCACCUCCAGUGCAUUCACCCCUACCACCACCGGUUUACAAGUCUCUGCCACCACCUUACCAUUAUUCCUCACCACCACCUCCUAUGCAUGCACCUCCACCACCAAUAUACAAGUCACCUCCACCACCUCCUCCAGUUUACAAGUCUCCACCACCACCUUACCAUUAUUCCUCACCACCACCUCCAGUGCAUUCACCCCUACCACCACCAGUUUACAAGUCUCCGCCACCACCUUACCAUUAUUCCUCACCACCACCUCCUGUGCAUGCACUGCCACCACCAAUUUACAAGUCACCUCCACCACCUCCUCCAGUUUACAAGUCCCCACCACCACCUUACCAUUAUUCCUCACCACUACCUCCAGUGCAUUCACCUCCACCACCACCGAUUUACAAGUCACCUUCACCACCUCCUCCAGUUUACAAGUCUUCACCACCACCUUACCAUUAUUCCUCACCACCACCACUCUUCAAUUUGGAUGUAAUUCAAUUUUCCUUGUAAUCGGUGGCCCUCCUUCGGAAUCCAAAUAGUCAUUGAGUGCAGCCUUCUUUCUUUAUUUUUUACUCAUUUUCACCUCAUAAAUUGCUUUCAUCCCCUAAAACUUGUUCGCUGGAAUUUUGAAUUUACCCAUACAACUAAACUCAGAAAAUUCUUACACAAAGGGAUUAGUAGCAUGAAUAGCAAACACAGAAUAAGAGAUAACAGUAUGUUUUAUUGUAUUAAAAAUAUUAAAGUGGAUUAUUUCUCCAUCGAAUUCCAUUGUGAGAGUAUCGUUACUAACAUCAAUCUUAGUUUGAGCAGUACUCAAGAAUGACCUUCCUAAUAUAAUGGGUGAUGGAUUUGGGACACUUUCAUCAUCCAUAUAAAACACAUAAAAAUCAACAGAAAAAAUUAAUCCAUCUACUUGAACUAAAAACAUCCUCAACUACCCCAUUUAGAUAAGCAAAUAUACGAUCAGCCAAUUGAAUUAUUAUCCCUAUUUCUUUUAAAUGUUCUAAAUUUAGGGAAUCAUAAAUUGAUUUAGACAUCACAUUAAUAGAAAUCUUUAAAUCUAUCAUGGCAUUUUUUAUAUUAGAAUGUCCAAUCUUACAUGAGAUAGUAAACAUACCUAGAUUCUCGCAUUUAGGUGGUAGUUUCCUUUGUAAAAUUGCUGAAACGUUCUCAUCUACCACAAUAUGCUUGUCCUCCUCAAUUUCUUCUUGUUGACACACAAGUUUUUCAAGCAUUUAACGUAUUUUGGAACUUAUUUGAUUUGCGUCCAACAAAGGGAUAUUGAUUGCCACCUUGCGAAAAUCUCUAAAAUCUCCUUUUCUUUAUCUUGUUUCUUUGAUUUCUCUAACCUGCUUGGAAAAGGUGGUGAGUUAGUUCCAACUCUAAUUAUAGAAUCAACAAUUACCUUUGGAUUCACAUUUCUCAUUCCUUCCUCCUCAAGCUCUUUGUCGAUUCGAUCUUCAUUUUUAUCCUUUGGAAUCACAACUUCGGAUCCCUGAAUUUUCUUCUCGCUCCUUAAGGUCAUUACACUUACAUUCUUCAGGUUCAGUUCAGGUUGAGACGACAAUUUUUCAUAGAUUUGGGAUUCCAGGCGGUUGAUUGCUAUUACCAUCUGACUCAUCUGACUCUGCAGUGCUUGCACCUGUCCCAAUUGAUUCCUCAUACUUUGCAAGUCAAAAUCCAUCUUUUGUUGAUUAGCAAUUAAUUGCUUCAUUAUCUCUUCUAUAGAUGGACUUGAGUUUGAAAGAGGUGGUGGCGGGCGAGACUGAUACUGUUAUUGAUACCCUUGCUAUCUAUUUGGUGCAAAAUCUGGCUACCUAUUUCCUCCAUAGCUGAGGUUGGGAUGAUCUCUCCAACCAAUAUUGUACGUAUUCGUGUACGAGUCGUAUGGUUUUCUUGGCACGGCGCGUGACCAGCCAUGUUCACUUGCUCCGUACUUUUCUCUUGAAUCAUUGAGCACAUCUCUGUAGAAUGACCCAUAGCAGUGCAGAUCCCACACAUCUUGACUCGUGAUGCAUUUCCUAUAGCUAAUUGCCUAACAAAGGAUGUUAAUUCGGUCAACUGCUGUUGGAUAGAAUAUGUUUCUACCUCAUUUACUUUGCGUGUUGGGGCAUCCUCCCUCGUACCAAACUGUUGCGAAUUUUCCGCCAUUCCUUCAACUAGCUCCCACGCUUCUCGAGAAGUCUUGUUCACCAAUGCCCUUCUACUUGCAGCAUCAAUUAUACUCCUGUCUCUAAAACGCAGCCCCUCGCAAAAAUAUUGGAUGAGCAAUUGCUCACUUAUUUGGUGUUGAGGGAACUUGAUGCAUAACUUCUUGAAUCGCUCCCAAUAAUCAUAAAGCGACUCUCCUGGAUGCUACUUGAUACCGUAUAUCUCCUUCCUUAGACUUGCAGCUCGAGAUGCAAGAAAAUAUUUGUCCAAGAACUUUUUCUUCAGCUGAUCCCACGUGGUGAUGCUACCUGGUGGUAGAUAGCACAGCCAGUCUUUUGCGGAGUCCUUCAAGGAGAAGGGAAAUGCCCUCAUUUUUAUCUAUUUUUCUGUAAUUCUCGGAGGUUUUAUGCUGUUGCAAACGACAUCAAACUCUUGCAAGUGCUUAUACGGUUCCUCACCUGGUAAACCAUAGAAAGAUGGCAAGAGAUGAAUUAGACCAGAUUUUAACUCAAAUGAAGUGUUAUCAUUUAAAAAUAGAAAAGUAACUGAGAUGCAGCACUGGAAUGUUCUUCUCGAAAUUGUCUGGUCUCUUUCUUUGUUCUACGCGUAGUCUUCUCUACCUUAGGAUCAAAAAUUAAUUUACCUGUACGAGAAGAACGAGGCAUACACUAGAAAAACACUAGAAAAUUAGAACAAAAAUGAACAUAAAAAGAAACAAAUAAACCAACGUCAGUCCCCAGCAACGGCGCUAAAAAUUGACAAGUUGUCGAUGCCUGUGCAAUAAUAAAAAUAAACCUAGUUACCAAUUAAAAUAAUCAGAGCCUAAUUCUGAGUACUAGAGCAGGGACUAUAGGUGUGCAAUGGGUUACUUGAUUCACCCUAUUCCUGAAGUUUGCUUAACCCGAUAUACCAGAAUGAGAUUGCUUAUUCAAAAGGAAUUAUUGAUUUGUAAACAGGGCAAGUAGGGUCGUAUCAUCAGGGAUUGAAAAAAUUUGUUUCUUUUCAAAUCCACAGUAACAAGGGGAUGUUUUUGUAUAAAUGAUAACAAUCUAAGGAGUGCAAAUAGAAAUAAAUAGAUAACUAGAAAUUAAAUGACAAUUCACUAAAAUUAGAGUAAUAAUAAUUAAAGGUCUAGCUAAGAAAUAACUUCAGCAAUGGUUCACCUAAUUGAUCAUCGACGCAAAGGCAAUUCCAAUUAUUUACUAAUAAAUAGGUUAUAACUGCAAAACAAGCAAUGACAGUCAACCCCUCCUUACUGUCGGUCGGUGAUUAAGGUACGCCCAAUCACUGCUCUAGUUGAGAAAUAAUUUUAGGGACGCUCGUAAGAUUUAAUUUUCCAAUUGCCUUACGUAUUAGAGGAGCCAUAAUCUAACCAAAUAACGCUACCAGGAUUAUUUUAAAUUAACCCGUGUAUUCCCUUGAUACAAAUUCAAUCAUGUCAGUUGUCACUAUUUCAAGGUAAUGAAACAAUUACGGAUUUAAUAUCCUAAUUGACAAUAGGUUACUAAAUCAAUUCACUAUUUCGAUCCAAGAUAAUCAAUCAAUUUAACAACUAAUAGCACUGCAAUCGGAGAAUAUGUAAAUACCAAUAAAUAAGAGGAAAAGAUAAAAUUAAAUCGAUCUCACAAUUUUUAAACAAAUCAAAGUAUCCGUUGUUUCUUGACUAGAAAAGAAAAUUUAGUUCAUUCCUAAUGUGAAAGACCCACGUGAGAAUUCAAAAAUAAUAUUCACGGAUAUUGUCUUGAUUCAAUAGAUUCAAUUGCGUUGGAAUAAGGAUAAAAAGCCAAACUAUAGAGAGUGAUUCAAUGUUUUGUUUCGUUUGCAUUUUUUCUACACAUAUGGAAGAAGAAAAACAACUAAAGGACGAAAAAAAAAAGUCAAAGAAAGGCACCCAAAGUAGUGCUUGGUCUCUACCAUCCUAUUUCCUAUCUAAUUACUACUUCCCUUCUGCGGCUGCCUAGAGGAAGAAAGAGAAAGCAGACUUCAGGUCUUGUUCCAUCUCCUCCCUUUUCGGCAAUUCCCCAAAAGUAGAAAAGUUCCUCCGUUUACCAAAAUGCCCCUGGAAUGAGGACUGCUACUUGAACUCAUUUUCUUGAUAACUGUCAAAUUAGCACUUGUUAUGGUAUUUGCGUCUACUUCCUGUAAUAAAUGUAAAUUGCCAAAAGUGAGUAAACUGAUAAUUAAUUUACAUCAGGUCAGGUAAUAGGAAAAAUUAAUUAUAAAAUAAAUGAUAAAAUUGCAACCUAUCACUUAGAAUAACCAGAAAUAAAACAAAACAAGAAAUGAAAGAAAUAAGAGGGUAGCAUAGACAUUUUGGAUUUUUCUGUUAAUUUGGAUGAUUUCCACCUACGGUCUAAUUUAAUCCAAAACACAAAUGGAUUAUGUGGAGAUUUUUAAACAAUGAGGGAGUAUCGUGACCGAAUCCCAAACCACAAAGGGGAUUUACUAUAUUUUACUCUUAAAUUUUGGUUUCAUCUCAUAGCAUACAAGAGUACUAUUUCACUGUCUGUCGACCAGGGAGGAGGGUUGGGUUGGGUGGUACGGGGGAGGGAGUCUAAGUAAGAGGUCUCAGGUUCGAAUCCUCCUGUUUAUACUAAAAAAAAAAAUUUACUAUCUGUCGACAAAGAUUUUCUAUGGUUGAUGUACCAUAGGAAAAAUCUGCCUAUACAAUUAUUUGGAAAAAUUAUCCAUCCAAACAUAGUCACGAUAGCAUUUUUUCAAAAACACUAGAUGCAAAAUUGUCCCCUUAAACGUGGAAAUUCAUGAUCUUUCCUCGACUAGUCUACUUGUCAAUUUUUGAAAAAAGAAUACUCACGCCAAAAACACGGCCUCUUCAUCUGCAGAAUUCUAAAAAGUUACGUAAACUCUAUAAACAAGUUGAUAGGUACAAUCGUACCCAAGAUCAAGUACAGAUAGUUGUACAUUCACUGCUGCAAUAACUAAUCUGAUGACUUACAAACACAUCAUGGUCAAUCGUUGAAUGGUAAUGAGUCUUUUGUUAUGCAUUAGUAUUAGUGUGUACACUCUAAUAGAUUGAUACUUAUACUCUUUAAAUUAUCAUAAUAAUACCCUUAAUUAACUUUAACCCUUAAAAAGAAUACGUGUUAAUACACGAGAGUGUGUAACCUGAAUUGUUACUUAUACAUUAGUGUGUAAUAGAACGGCAAGCAUUAUGGUGGUCAUUGAGCAACUUAUAGGAGAAAUAGUCCUAUAAGCUGUUCAAUGACCAAUCACAACUUGCUAAUUGGAUGACUAAUAUAGCUCUAGCUGUAAUGUUUUAAUUAAAUUCCACACUAACGUUGGGAUGACUUUUUAAUCAAAAAAAAAAAAGCCUUAGUUCAAGCUUUUCCCCUUAUUGUGCAUUUUUUAAAACAUUUGAUAGGCACUGCAAAUCUGUCAUUUUGGACAUUUUAUUAUUAACUAACAAUGAAAGCCGUGGACAUCAACCCAUAUCCAACAAAAUAUUAAAUUAAUAUUAGAAAAAUUAUUAAGUAAUUGGAAAAAAAAAAGAAGAGGCUAAUUUUCAUUGAAACCCACCGACAAACUAUCCGUGUCCAUAGCUUUUGAAUAGUGCAUUCAACGUUUAAUUGUAUGGUCCAGUUCAUUGCCGAUUACAUGGAGUAAAGAUUGUGCUCUUUCCUUUUUCACCCCUUUUGGAAUCGAUACUGUGGAGAAUUGGGUUUUUCCCUCCUUUUUUUCUUUUCUUUCCUUCUGUGCUUUGCAAAACAUACGUAAAAAUAUGAAAUCCGAAGCAUUCUUUAAUUGGGAUUAAGUAUUGUUGUUGAAAUUAAAAAGAAGAAAGAAAGAACAACAAAAAUCCCAAUCUGGGUUGAUUGUUGAGCUCUAGAUUGGCUGCAUCGUGCUUCCAUAGAAGUUCUCUUAGUGUGAUACGCUGCUUUCAAUCAGUUUUAAUAUUUAAGUAGAGUGCAAAAUAACUUUACUAUUUAAUGGGUUAUAAUGCACCAUUUGGUACCUCUCACCCACCUAUGAUUUGAUUUACUACUGGCAUGGUAAUGGACAGAGUUGGGGGAGCAGGAGGAGGGAGAUGGCGGUACCAGUCCGUCAACCACAGCACACCCUCCCUCGGACUUUGCGUGGUAGCGAAGUGGAGGCAGAUCGAGCACACAUGCACUAACGCCUUAAGUAUGUACAAUAUAUGUAUGCCAAAAGCAUAGCCAAGCCUACCAGCGCAUUUCAAUAAUAUAACCCGGAAAUUAAGGGCAUUGAAUUAAGUACGAUGAAUCAUAUUGGUGCACAAUUACAGUUUGAAGCUACCGAUUCGAGUAAAUUUAAGCGUAAGCACAAUCAAUCGCCAGUCAAAUGCUGAAAUAUGCAUAUGCAUGGAUGAAUGUAUGGGUUUCUUAGUUCCAGACCAAAGGCCAACAAUAAGGGAAGGAAGGACAGUUCUCAUUUUUAGCACGGACAAGGAGAUGAAGAAAAGUGUAUGUAGCUUGAGACAGAACAAUGGCAUGUGACCGCUCCUGAGACCACAUAACGUGGGGUGGGGAUGGGACGGCCAAGAAUGAAGAUGCCUGUCGGUCUCUCCGUGCUGCUACCAUAUGAAUCCCCCGUUAACCAAUUCAAGAUAAGCCUGAAGUUCUUUUCAUCCCCAAACCCUGUCCCAUCUGUGUAAAUCCAACAUCAUCAUUUACGACCUGCAACUCAGGUUAAGCAUGUUCUAUUGAGAUUCAGACACCACCCUUCAAAAGAUAUACUACUGUGAAACCAGCAGCUUAAUAUCAUUGUAUAAAAAAAAAAAAAAAAGAAAGAAGAAAAGACAUGAAAAGCAAAUUUUGUGGGGAUAAUUUCAAAAUCUCUCCUAAAGUUUUUUACUAUUUUACUGGCCUCCUUUCAAAUUUUAAAAAUUACACCAGUCUUCCUUGAGAUUAUUUAUCUUGUAACAUUGAGGUCCAAUCAAUAAUUAAAAAAUGAUAUUAUGAGAGAGAAAAAAAAUAAACUUUAACAUCAUAAAUAUUCUUAUCAACAUAUUAAAGUUAGUUACUGAAAUUUUUAUGGUGUUAAACUUCACUCUUUGUAAUAUUUUAGUUACAGAUUUUUUGAUUACUUGUUGUUGAUUUUUUUUUUUUUAGUGUAAACAGGAGGACUCGAACCUAAGACCUCUCACUUACACUCCCUCCCCCCGUACCACCCCAACCCAACCCAACCCUCCCCUCGUUGUUGAUCAUGUUUGACAAUGGAUUUGUAAUUGAAAAGAACAAUUUGGAUCUUACAUUGAGUGAAAUAUAUAGAAUGAUAUACUAUUUUUUAUGGCAUAUGUGAUUCAAUCCUUGAUGAUAAAAGCAAAUUCAAGUGUUUUCUUUAAUGUUUGUGCUGAUAUUAGAUUAAUUAAAUAAUUUAGUAGAUGAAGGAAAAUGGUGAAAUCAUAUUAUCUUCUCUUUCCUAAUAUCACUAUUUAAUUAUUGAUUGAACUUAGAUAUUACAAAUAAUAAAUCUCAAGGGAGAUUAGUAUAAUUUUCAAAUUUUGGAGAGAAGCUAAUGAAAUAGUCAAAAACCUUAAGGGAGGUUUACAAAAUUAUCCCAAAUUUGUGGGAAUUAGAAUAAUUGUACUGGACGGCACUGCCGCAACAGAGGGAAAGAGGAGGAGGUGCAGUUAACUUUUUGUUGUUUGAAAUCCUUGGUGAAAUAUUACAGAAAGACAGAUAAAACAGUUAGUACAUAGAUGUAUAUGACAGGGAAAAUGGUACGUCUGUUAAUCACAUUUGAAACACUUUCAUUGGUGAAUGACGAAAACUAUCAGGCUUGCCCAAUAGUUGAUCAUUGACCAAGACAAAUCUUGCCAUGCUAGAGGUACCAUCUUUUCGUACCUCUUUAGUGCACAGGACAUUCCUUUGUUUCAUCUAGCUAAUAAUCUACCAACUCAUUUCUUUGCAAAUGCACCUUUUAUGGUCACGUCUACGAAAGCUUUACAGGAUCUUUACCCAAAAAAUCAAUUCACCGACUCGCAUUUGAUGUCAAAAUUUCUUUACUUUACUCCAAGAUUGACUGUUAAUAAUAAUGCCACUUUGAAUUAUCACACCAUCCUUCUUGAUAGGAUUUGUGCUAGAGGUAGGGAGGGAGUCGCUGCAGCCGGUCUUCUCUUCAUAGACAGUACAAUAUUGCGAAAUCGAUCGCAUUCACGCAAUAUUAUAUUUCCAAGUCGUUGCAUGGGUAAGCUGCCAAAAAGUACGAACACAUGUUAUUAUAUAGCUUAAGAUUCAAAACUUUCGAGCAUAACCCUCCACCUAACACAAUUGAAUAAUGGAUAUUCACGAUUGUCAAAUCUGUCAAAGUACAGUUUGAGGACAACCCAUUCCAACCUGCAAAAGGUUUUUUUACUUUUCUAAAGUUGUUGAGAGCUGUUAAAAGAUUUACCAUGCUUACAUCUUCCGAGCCUUGGGAGUUAAAAAUGAAGGCACUGAGUGCUAUAAAAAGGGAAUAGAGGCUGCCUAGAAGCAUACCAGCCUAAAACAAGGAUUUGUAGUUAUGAUGGGAAGCAAAGCAAAAGCAAUGGGGUCUGGGCUGACUCCUCUUCUUGCCACUGUUUUAGUGGUGUUUGUUGCUCUUGGCUUGCCCUCAGAAACUGCAGCUGAUGAUCACUACAAGUAUUCAUCUCCUCCUCCUCCUUACACUAUCCCUCACCACCACCUCCAGUGCAUAUACCUCCACCUCAUCCUGUUUACAAGUACAAAUCUCCACCACCCCCACCACCACACCCAGUUUACAAGUAUAAGUCACCACCACCACCUCCUCAUCCGGUACCACACCCAGUUCCUCAUCCGGUGCCACACCCAGUUCCUCAUCCGGUGCCACACCCAGUUUACAAGUAUAAGUCACCACCACCACCUCCUCAUCCGGUACCACACCCAGUUCCUCAUCCGGUACCCACACCCAGUUUACAAGUAUAAGUCACACCACCACCUCCUCAUCCGGUACCACACCCAGUUUACAAGUAUAAGUCACCACCACCACCUCCUCAUCCGGUAUACAAGUAUAAGUCUCUCCGCCACCAACACCCAGUUUACAAGUAUAAGUCACCACCACCACCUCCUCAUCCGGUGCCACACCCAGUUUACCACUACAAGUCACCACCACCACCUCCUCAUCCGGUACCACACCAGUUUACCAUACAAGUCACCACCAAUCCUCACCCAGUUUACAAAUACGAGUCUCCACCACCUCCAGUUUAUAAGUACAAGUCACCACCACCUCCUCCACCAGUUUACAAGUAUAAAUCUCCUCCACCACCACCACCAGUUUACCACUACAAGUCUCCACCACCUCCUCCCCCAGUUUACAAAUACAAGUCUCCACCACCUCCUCACCACUACUAAGCAAUUGCUUCUGAGGUAAUAACACUUGUUCAAUAUACCCACUUCUGCAUGAUAAAGCAUAUCUCUAUCAACACAAACUGUCAUGUCUAUCAUGCUAAGUGCCUUCACUUCAUCCACCAAAAUGACUGCUAGAAAAUUUUUUUUAUGUUACCAAAGAAAGGCAUCAUUUUUUCCCUCUGUUAUCAAGAACUUGUACAG
RNAcentral lists this long non-coding RNA (119621 nucleotides) under Coffea arabica (coffee). Its description in RNAcentral is "long non-coding RNA (CARA_LNC007267)". The stretch from base 112223 to 112329 matches the Rfam family "Plant small nucleolar RNA R71". Lineage: Eukaryota; Viridiplantae; Streptophyta; Magnoliopsida; Gentianales; Rubiaceae. The record is from RNAcentral.